GCGGAUCCCGUACGCAACCUUGACACGUGCUAUGACUUGACCCGCUUCCCCGAGGUCAAUGUCCCCAAGGUGUCCCUAGUGUUCGCAGGCGGUGCCACCUUGGAGCUCGAGCCGGCGUCCAUCAUGCUGGACGGCUGCCUGGCUUUCACGGCCUCCCCUGGCGGCCACGGCUCCAUCGGAUUCAUCGGCAACGUGCAGCAGCAGACCUACGAGGUUUUGUACGACGUCGGCAGCGGGAGCGUGGGAUUCCGCAGUGGCGCGUGCUGAUGUGGCAAGCUGCAGGCCAACCACGGCCACUUGUACGUGUGAUGCAUGAUUGGCCCCCUAAUAUAUAUCUGGGUCUACAAGCUAGCUUGCUCAUUGGGAUGGAGCUAGUUUGUGAGUAUAAAUAAAUGCAAGAAAGAAGAUUGAUGUAAUACUUAUAUAUGCAUGUAAUUUUAUAUAGUUUUAUAUAUGCAUGUAAUUUUGUUCAACGGUUGUAUGAUUGUAAACCUUAUAAUAUAACCUUACAGAUUGUCAAGGAAUUCAACCGAUAUAAUUACUCUACUUAUUGAUGUGCAAUAAUGUAAUAUGACUAUUAAGAAGCAUUCUGAUUGUGGAGGUGGUUUCGCACUUUUUACUACAACAAAGGUGUUUGAAGGAUUCCUCGGCAGAAACUAGAACGCACUCCUUCAAUAAUUGACGAGCUAAUUGGUUGUUGAACUUCAGACAAAGAUUGUUGGGCAUGAAAGCGGUCACCAGCGGGUUGAUUGGCCUCACCAGCUCAUACGUGUUCAUGAGGCGUGGUUUUUUUCUUUUCUUGAUUAAUAGUAUUUGUUUCUGGAUGCUUGCAUUGUUAGAUUUGGAAGCGUUCCUACUCCUCGAUGAGGAGCCGGGUUGGUUUAUAUUGAACGAGGCAGAACAGCCCUGCCGUGGCUUACAAGAAGAGGAAACUGAUCGCAAGGAUUGGGUUGUAAGGAGGACUCCUAAACAGCUACGCGAGGGAGAGAGAUAGAAUAGAGUUGAGAUUACAAUGCGGAGAUAAACAUGAAUUCUAACACCCUCCCUUAAUCUCAACUAUUCUAUGUUUAGAUUCCUCUUGAACUCAUCAAAUGGUUUUGCUGGUAGUGCCUUGGUGAACCCAUCAGCCACUUGAUCUUUGGAAGGGAUGAACCGUAUCUCAAGUUUCUUUGCUGCAACCCUUUCAGGCACAAAGUGAAAAUCAAUCUCUAUAUGCUUGGUUCUUGCAUGAAACACUGGGUUUGCAGACAAGUAUGUUGGUCCCAAAUUAUCACACCAUAAACAUGAGAUGCGAUUCUGCUUGACCCCCAUUUCAUCCAGUAGUGAUUCAAUCCAAAUGAUUUCUGCAGUGGCAUUAGCUAAGGAUUUAUACUCAGCCUCUGUAUUUGAACUUGAUACAGUGGCUUGUUUCCUACCACUUUAAGAAACAAGAUUAGGCCCAAAGAACACUGCAAAGCCUCCGGUUGAUUUUCUAUCAUCACUGCAACCUGCCCAAUCAGCAUCAGAGAAUGCACUCACAAGAGUAGAAUUAGAGCGUCUAAAAUGCAGUCCUACUCCCAUAGUAUGUUUGACAUAUCUUACAGUUCUCUUAAUAGCUGUCCAAUGUGCAGUAGUGGAUGCAUGCAGAUAUUGACAAACUUUGUUAACAGCAAAUGAGAUAUCUGGGCGAGUAAGAGUCAAGUACUGUAAUGCUCCAACAGUACUUCUAUACUUUGUGCUAUCUUCCUCAUAAAGUGGCUCACCUUCAUAUGCUGAAAGUUUCUCCGAGGAGGACAAUGUGUAGGUACAGGUUUGCAGUUUUUCAUCCCCAUACGAGAUAGAAGCUUGGUAACAUAUUUCUCUUGUUUUAGUACCAUGCCAUCUUGAGUCAUCUUAACUUCAAUGCCUAGAAAGAAGUGCAAAUGUAACAUCCCAAAAUUCUAAAUUUUGGAAUGUUAUAUUAAAUAAUUAAUUAUGAUUGUUUGUUUGUUGUGUGAUUGAUUGUGUGAAAAUGAUUGGAAAUUGAAAACUUUUUGAAAGUUGAAUGAGAGGGAAUAAAAGGACUUUCUCGAAACUUUUCAUCUUGCAUUUUGAUCUUCCUGAAUUCAAAUUCAUUUCAUCACAAAACCCUAGAGUGAAGAUAUUAUGACUUCUUCCAUUUAAAGAAAUUAAAAAAGGGGUUUGAAAAUGAUUUGAAUUCCAUUUGAAACAUUUCGAAUUUAGAAACUUUAAGAGCAUCUCCAGCCGUUCGCCCCCCAGGACGCAUAAAAAUCGCCCCCAGGGGGCGAGCCGGCGAUAUAAUCGGCGCUGGGAGCGGUUUCGCGCCCAGUCGUCGCCCCCAGGCGUCGAUAUUGGCCCACUUAUCCCAUUUCGGCGAAUAAAGGGCCCAUAUGGGCGACAAUAGGCCCAUAUUCCGCGUGGUUUGCCGUUGUUCGGCGUUCAGUUGUCACACCCUAGCUAGUCAUGCAUUAGAGUGUUGCAUCAUGUUUACUCUUUCAUCAGAAACUUGAAAUGGGGAUGACAGAACCCCCAGUCCCCUCUGAAACCAACUAGGGUUACUAAAAUAAUUUUUCAAUGAACCUGAAAUGCCCUUCUAAAAUGCCCAUCAUUUUUGCCUUGGUUCAGAACCUUUGCCAAAAGUGGUGCACAUUUUCCUAGGCCAUCCUAGGGUUUUUGAAUUAAGUCAUAAGUAUUUGAAUUUGGGCAUUUAAAAUUAUAUAAAAUAUUUAAAUGCUCAAAUAUCUCCAAACUAAAAUGUUUCAUGUUGGAAAUAAUCCAACUAUGGACCAGGAGUAGUUUGGUGAUUUUUGGAGUUGCCUAGGUAUUUUAUUUAAUUCAACAAAGUUGCAGAUAUAUUAAAUAAAAACAGAAAACAGAAAAAUAAAUAAAAGGAGUAGACUUACCUGGACCUACCUGCCCAGCCCAGCCGGCCCAGCACUGUGCUGGCCCGUGCCAGCCAGCUGCUUCCCCUUGCCAGAGCAGGCAGGGAGGUGAGCAUGGCGCGCCCGAGCUCGCCACGCACCACCCAGCCUCUCUGCAUCGCCCUGGUCGCCGUUGCGCCGCGUGGAUCGUCUUCUGGUCGUCGCCCCGACCUCGCCGACACCCCAUUCAUUCUCCCCCGGCUCUCCCUCGCUCUCUCCCCCGCCCGACCGAACACCACCGUCGCCGCCGUUCGCCAUAGCCACCGUCUCCGACCACCCCUCGCUCCCCCGACCAGCUCAGAAGCUCCGCCACAACUCCCUCUUCCUCCCCACCGCUCCACAGCUCCCCGGAAGCCCUGCAUUGCCGCCACGUCGCCGUUCCCCUCUUCGGGCUCCGACCACCGCCGCCGUCGAAUUCGCCGUCUCCAGCGCGUCCCCGAGCCCGCUUCGACGCCCACUGCAACCGCGGUGAGCUACGCCACCGUUUCCCCCUCUCCUUCCCCUCGUUCCCUCACCGUAGCUUCCUCCCCACCACGGCCGAACCUCCGCCGUCGCCGAGCUCGCCGUCGACGCAGCUCCGGUGACCAUUUGGUCACCCCGGCGAGUCCAACGGGUUCACAGAACCCCGUAGAGCAUCCCUAGCGCCUCGCCUUGCUCGACUUCGAGCUCCAGCACCGUUCCCGGACUGCUCAACUCACCCAUCCUUCGGGAAAGAUAGUCAAUGUCUUGACCCGAAUAGCCAAGCGACAAUUAUACUCUCUUAACGCCAGCCCCUUGCCAGACCUUGAGGACGUGCCGGUAGUCUGUGACUUCCCGGAUGUCUUUCCAGAAGAAUUGCCAGGUGUUCCACCUGACAGGGAUGUUGAGUUCGUAAUAGACCUCAUCCCCGGAACCGUUCCGAUUGCUAGAAGACCUUAUAAGAUGGCACCCCUAGAACUAGCCGAGCUUAAGAAACAACUCGAUGAAUCCUUGAAAAAGGGUUUCAUCCGCCCUAGUUCAUCUCCGUGGGCUUGCCCCGUCCUAUUCGUCAAGAAGAAGGAUGGUACGGACCGAAUGGUUGUAGAUUACCGACCUGUCAACUUGGUCACAAUCAAGAACAAAUACCCGCUUCCCAGGAUCAACGAUCUGUAUGAUCAGCUCGCUGGAUCCUCAGUCUUCUCCAAGAUGGAUUUGAGGUUGGGAUACCAUCAAAUCAAAAUCAGAAACGGGGACAUUCCUAAAACGGCCUUUGUUACUCGUUAUGGCCAAUACGAGUACACCGUCAUGUCCUUCGGUUUAACCAACGCUCCAGCCACCUUUUCUCGGUUAAUGAACUCAAUCUUCAUGGAGUAUUUGGACAAAUUCGUCAUAGUUUAUCUCGAUGAUAUACUCAUCUACUCCAAGAACGAGGAAGAACAUGCCGAACAUUUAAGGCUAGUGUUGAAGAAACUUCGAGAGCAUCGCCUUUAUGCCAAAUUUUCUAAAUGUGAAUUCUGGUUAUCAGAAGUGACCUAUCUGGGUCAUGUAAUAUCUGGUAAAGGUAUUGCUGUUAACCCUGAGCGAGUUCAAGCCGUCCUUGAUUGGACUCCACCCGAAUCGGUCAAGCAAGUUCGGAGUUUUCUAGGCUUAGCGAGCUAUUGUCGUCGCUUUGUCGAGAACUUCUCCAAAGUUGCUAAACCUCUAACCGAACUCCUCAAGAAAGAUAAGAAGUUCGAAUGGACUCCACAAUGUGAGCACAGCUUUCAGGAACUGAAAAGACGCCUGACUUCUGCUCCCGUGCUGGUACCGCCAGACUUCUCCAAGGACUUCGUUAUCUACUGCGACACCUCGCGACAAGGACUAGGUUGCAUUCUCAUGCAAGAUCGACACGUAAUUGCUUACGCUUCACGGCAAUUGCACCCACAUGAGGAGAAUUAUCCUACUCAUGAUCUAGAGCUUGCAGCCGUAGUCUAUGCACUUAAGACCUGGCGACAUUACCUCCUCGGUAAUCGUUGCGAAAUAUUCACUGAUCACCAAAGUCUGAAGUAUAUUUUCACCCAACCGGAUUUGAAUCUCAGGCAGAGAUGUUGGGUUGAAUUGAUCACAGACUUCGACUUAGGAAUAACCUACACCCCAGGGAAAGCCAACGUCAUGGCUGAUGCGCUAAGUCGUAAAUCUUAUUGUAACAACCUGAUGUUACAACAAAGUCAACCGCUUCUCCAUGAGGAAUUUCGGAAGCUUAACCUUCACAUUGUACCUCAAGGUUUUCUUUCCACCUUGGUGGCAAAACCUACCCUUACGGAUCAAAUUAUCAAAGCACAGAAGGUAGAUCCGGGAAUCUCCCGCAUCAAGAGAAACAUUCAGAAAGGAAUUGCGAAUUGCUUCUCCAUUAAUGAUCAAGGGGUCGUAUACUUCGGGGAUCGACUAGUGGUUCCCAAAGUGCGAAACCUGAGGCGAUUGAUCCUUAAGGAAGCUCAUGAAUCUCCUCUCACCAUUCAUCCCGGUAGUACUAAGAUGUAUCAGGACCUACGCCAGAGGUUCUGGUGGACUAGGAUGAAGAGAGAAAUUGCUCAGUAUAUUGCUAAUUGCGACGUCUGUCAUCGUGUAAAAGCAGAGCAUCAACGGCCUGCUGGCACCCUUCAACCCUUAGCUAUUCCUGAAUGGAAAUGGGAUAAAAUUGGUAUGGAUUUCAUUACCGGGUUUCCCAGGACCAAGAGAGGGAAUAAUGCUAUUUUCGUCGUGGUCGAUCGUCUCUCCGAAGUAGCUCAUUUCUUACCUGUUCGUGAGAGUAUAACCGCUAGUCAGCUGGCAGAUUUGUACAUCUCCCGAAUAGUGUCUCUACAUGGUGUUCCUUUGGAAAUUAACUCGGAUCGAGGAAGUCUUUUCACCUCUCGAUUUUGGGAAAGUUUCCAAAAUGCUAUGGGAACUCGUCUCUUCUUUAGCACCGCUUUCCACCCUCAGUCGAGUGGUCAAGUGGAACGCGUCAACCAAAUUCUAGAAGACAUGCUUCGAGCCUCUGUUAUCUCUUUCGGAAUGGACUGGGAGAAGUGCCUUCCAUUUGCCGAAUUCGCUUACAACAACAGCUAUCAAUCUAGCUUGGGUAAAGCCCCUUUUGAAGUUCUCUAUGGACGACGAUGUCGAACACCCCUUAACUGAUCAGAGACCGGGGAAAGACAAUUCUUUGGCCCGGAUAUGAUUCAGGAAGCAGAAGAACAAGUUCGUAUCGUUCGUGAAAAGUUGAAAACAGCCCAAUCUCGUCAAAAGAGUCAAUAUGACCGAAAACAUAAGGCUAUGACUUUCGAGGUUGACGAGAAGGCUUAUCUUCGGGUCACCCCUCUGAAGGGAACCCAUCGUUUCGGUAUCAAAGGCAAAUUGGCUCCUCGUUACAUUGGACCUUUUCGCAUUCUUGCCAAACGAGGAGAAGUUGCCUACCAGUUGGAACUACCUCCGCACCUCUCCAGAGUUCACGAUGUCUUCCACGUUUCUCAACUCAGGCGUUGCUUCUCGGAUCCUAUCCGUGAAGUGGACCACGAAACGCUUGAUCUCCAAGAUGAUCUUACAUAUCGAGAGUACCCCAUUCGUAUCCUCGAUCAAGCCGAACGUACCACGCGACGUCAUAAUAUCAAGUUUCUCAAGGUUCAAUGGUUGCACCAUUCUGAGGAUGAAGCAACUUGGGAAAGGGAGGAUCGUCUUCGACUCGAGUAUCCCGCCUUCUUCUCGGAGAAACCCAAAUCUCGGGACGAGAUUCUUUUGAGUGGGGGUGAGUUGUCACACCCUAGCUAGUCAUGCAUUAGAGUGUUGCAUCAUGUUUACUCUUUCAUCAGAAACUUGAAAUGGGGAUGACAGAACCCCCAGUCCCCUCUGAAACCAACUAGGGUUUACUAAAAUAAUUUUCAAUGAACCUGAAAUGCCCUUCUAAAAUGCCCAUCAUUUUUGCCUUGGUUCAGAACCUCUGUCAAAAGUGGUGCACAUUUUCCUAGGCCAUCCUAGGGUUUUUGAAUUAAGUCAUAAGUAUUUGAAUUUGGGCAUUUAAAAUUAUAUAAAAUAUUUAAAUGCUCAAAUAUCUCCAAACUAAAAUGUUUCAUGUUGGAAAUAAUCCAACUAUGGACCAGGAGUAGUUUGGUGAUUUUUGGAGUUGCCUAGGUAUUUUAUUUAAUUCAACAAAGUUGCAGAUAUAUUAAAUAAAAACAGAAAACAGAAAAAUAAAUAAAAGGAGUAGACUUACCUGGACCUACCUGCCCAGCCCAGCCGGCCCAGCACUGUGCUGGCCCGUGCCAGCCAGCUGCUUCCCCUUGCCAGAGCAGGCAGGGAGGUGAGCAUGGCGCGCCCGAGCUCGCCACGCACCACCCAGCCUCUCUGCAUCGCCCUGGUCGCCGUUGCGCCGCGUGGAUCAUCUUCUGGUCGUCGCCCCGACCUCGCCGACACCCCAUUCACUCUCCCCCGGCUCUCCCUCGCUCUCUCCCCCGCCCGACCGAACACCACCGUCGCCGCCGUUCGCCAUAGCCACCGUCUCCGACCACCCCUCGCUCCCCCGACCAGUUCAGAAGCUCCGCCACAACUCCCUCUUCCUCCCCACCGCUCCACAGCUCCCCGGAAGCCCUGCAUCGCCGCCACGUCGCCGUUCCCCUCUUCGGGCUCCGACCACCGCCCCCGUCGAAUUCGCCGUCUCCAGCGCGUCCCCGAGCCCGCUUCGACGCCCACUGCAACCGCGGUGAGCUACGCCACCGUUUCCCCCUCUCCUUCCCCUCGUUCCCUCACCGUAGCUUCCUCCCCACCACGGCCGAACCUCCGCCGUCGCCGAGCUCGCCGUCGACGCAGCUCCGGUGACCAUUUGGUCACCCCGGCGAGUCCAACGGGUUCACAGAACCCCGUAGAGCAUCCCUAGCGCCUCGCCUUGCUCGACUUCGAGCUCCAGCACCGUUCCCGUGCACGACCGAACCCCGGCGGCCGCAGCCGAGCUCGCCGCCGUCGACUCCGGCCACCCCGACCCCAACGGGCUCCGCCAAGAGCUGCGGGUUGUCCUCAGCUCCACUCAGGUGGCCUCCGCGAUCCAUUUGGUGGCCGAAACGACCAAAAUCACUUCCGCCGCCGCGUCGGGCUCGCCGGCGACUAAACGCCGGCAGCCGACACUGACUUUGACCACGGGUGGGCCCUGGUUGACUCCCCUGAGUCAAUGACAGGUGGGGCCCAGCCCUGUUAAUUAAACAGGAUUAGUUUUAAUUAAGUUUUAAUUAAAAUAAUCACCCUGACAUGCGGGACCCACUGUCAGGUUUGACCUGGACCAGUUCCGUUGACCUGCUGACGUCACACUGACGUCAGGCUGACGCAGUAAAUUAAUUUCUGGAUUUAAAUUAAAUCAGGAAAUUCCAGAAUAUUAUUUAAACUUCAAAAAUUCAUAACUUUUAUUCUGUAACUCCAAAUUGGACAAAUUAUAUAUGAAAAAUGAUCAGAAAAAUCCAAUCUAUCCAUCUGUACCAUUUUCAUGCAUGAUCAAACAAGUUAAGUUGAUGUUUUAAUCAGAACAAGAAAAGGCACUUUAAAAGGCCAUAUUUGAAUUUGAAAUCUGAAUCUUUGAUUCAAAUUUGUUCAAACCCUUCUGGUUUUUAGUUGCAUUAGCCCAACACACUCAUAUUGCCAUGUUUCAUGCAUGCAUCAUAUUGUUGCAUAUUGUUUGGUGAUGUUUGUGUAUCGAUGUCCUUUGCGACAGGAUCUGUCCCCGAGGAGUAUCGUGAUUACCCUAACGAAGAACCGUAUCCGUGCAACGAACCAUCAGGCAAGCAACCAACCAUUUGAUCAUAUCAAUACAAUCCCAUGUUCUCGCUCCUGCUCUCAUUUACUGCAUUAAGACAACGCGAUUCAAACUGCUGUGUGCUACGGUAGUUGAACCCAUUUCAUCUGCAUGACCUGUCAUUGCCACAGUAACUAGAUGAAACCCACUAGCAUGUGUAGGAGUUGAUUGAGCCAUAUGUAUGUGUUGUUCCUACCUUGCUAUGCCUGCUAUGCUUAGAGUCGUGUCAGGUCUGGUUCAUCUGGGUGAUGGGCUAGAGUGAAAUGAUUAUGUCGGUAAUGAGAGUGGUGUGGUGAACACGAUUUGGUAAAGGUAUCGAUGAGAGGCCAUGUAGGAGUACAUGGUGGGUUGUUUCAUUGAAGCCGACCUUAAGCACUGAGAUCUGUAUGUGUGAUUUAAGAUACAGCUACUACCAUGCAUUGGGCCCUGAAAUAUGACCCCGCUCGACUUCUUAUUCACCCUAGCUCUCUGUCUAGGAGUUGCAAGUAGUUUCUGGUGUUUGUAGCCUACUGGAGGCCGUGGACAGCGCUGACCGUAGGGGUGGGCUGUGAUGCGGUAGGUACGUGGCACGGUGUACCGAAUACCCGUUAGGUAUCUCGGGAACCCUGUUCACAUCGUUCGGGGCCGUAUGGGAAACCUCGGCCGGACUCCCUGCGGAUGGAACCUGAAUAGGCGAUAAACCUGGACUAGAGGCUUAAGUGUUUAGGUAGGUCGUGGUCUACACCCACGUCGGUUUUCGCUUGAAGUCUGCCGAGCACAUGUCGUGUGCAGACGCUAAGUGGUGGAAACAUGUAUGAAGAAGUACACCCCUGCAGGGUUAUCAUAAUCUAUUCGAAUAGCCGCGUCCGUGGUAAAGGACUACUUGGUUGCCUAUACAGUUCAUAGACAAGUAAAUGGAAACUACUAAAAGCCUCAAGAUAAGUGUGAGUGCCGAGGAUGGCUCUUCCGUAGGAAGACGGAGGUGAAUCCUCGGUAGUGUAUUGAAGUGGUGAGUAGUGGACUCGUGUGCGCAAAACUAUUUCAAGUUGGAGUAUCGUAGGUUAGCCUAGCCAAGAGUCAAAGCUGGCUUGCUGCAAUAACUCCACCAACCCUUCUUGAUACUAUGCAUGUAUGUAGGAUCUGAUGUAAGUCUUGCUGAGUACCUUUGUACUCAUGUUGCUAUAAUCUACAUUUUUUACAGAAGACGCUGCAACCCCUUCUGAUGGGUUCUAUGUAGACGUUGACAUCAACGAGUAGGCUAAAGACCCAGGUGGUGACCCUGAGCUUGUGAUGGACCACGUAGUAUAGCUAGGCUUUCCAAGCCUCUUUUAUUUUACUAGUUGUCUGUACCCAGACAAAGUACUUCCGCUGUUGGCUUGUAUGACUGUAUGAUUUGUAUGUUGGGUCGUGAGACCCGUACCUGUGUGUAUGAUAUGUAUGGCUCCCUGAGCCUUAAAUAAAGUACUUGUGUCAUAGAGUCAUGUUGUGAUGCUUCGUUGUAUUUGCACAUAUCGAGCAUAUUGUGUGUAUGAUUGAAAUGCUUGGUAUGUGUGGGAUCUGACUAUCUAGUUGUUUAUCUUUAGUAGCCUCUCUUACCGGGAAAUGUCUCCUAGUGUUACCGCUGAGCCAUGGUAGCUUGCUACUGCUCUGGAACACUUAGGCUGGCCGGCAUAUGUCCUUCUUCGUUCCUGUGUCUGUCCCUUCGGGGAAAUGUCACGCUUUGAGUACCGGAGUCCUGUUAGCCCGCUACAGCCCGGUUUACCGGAGUCCUGCUAGCCCAGUGCUACAGCCCGGACCCACUUGCUGAUGACCGACACGUUCGAAGCUGGGUCAUGGAUGCCUGUCCCUGUAAGUCUGUGCCACUUUGGGUUUACGACUAGUCAUGUCAGCCCGGGCUCUUUAUCAUAUGGAUGCUAGCGACACUAUCAUAUACGUGAGCCAAAAGGCGCAAACGGUCCCGGGAAAAGGUAAGACGACACCCGUGGGGAUACCGUGCGUGAGGCCGCAAAGUGAUAUGAGGUGUUACCAGCUAGAUCGAUGUGACAUCGAGUCGGGGUCCUGACAUCAAUUAUGCACAUAAAUUUUUUAUCACAUAUUUCAUCACAGAAAUAUCAAAUACUUCAACAAAAUAGUACAACAACAAAUAGUUCAAUACAAUUUAUAUAGUUGAAGAAAUAAAAACUCAUAUUCCAUCACACGUCGCGCCCGACGUCACCCUUGAGCCUCCAUAGAUGCUCUAUCAGAUCUUGCUGCACUUGAUGAUGCACCUGUGGGUCUCGGAUCUCCUGACGCAUACUGAGAUAGGCAGUCCAGGUUGCCGGUAGCUGGUGAUCAACUUCGGCUAGAUGACCCUGCCUAUAGUAUGGUUCAGUGUCAAACACUGGGUCUUCUUGCUCGUUCUCGAUGAUCAUGUUGUGCAAGAUGACACAGCAAGUCAUAAUCUCCCACAUUUGAUCUUUCGACCAGGUCUGAGCGGGGUACCGGACAACAGCAAAUCGAGAUUGGAGCAUACCAAAUGCCCUCUCGACAUCCUUCCUGUAAGCCUCCUGAACCUUCGCAAACCAGCCGUUCUUGCCUCCUGGCACAGGGUUUGAGAUCGUCUUCACAAAUGUCGACCAUCUCGGAUAGAUGCCAUCAGCUAGAUAGUACCCCUUGUUGUAGUGCCGCCCAUUGAUCUCGAAGUUCACCGGAGGAGAAUGACCUUCAACAAGCUUGGCAAAGACAGGAGAGCACUGCAGCACGUUGAUGUCAUUGUGAGUUCCUGGCAUACCAAAGAAGGAGUGACAAAUGCAGAGGUCCUGUGUGGCCACCGCCUCAAGUACCACACUGCAACCGUCUUUGGCGCCUUUGUACAUCCCCUGCCAAGCAAAUGGGCAAUUCUUCCAUUUCCAAUGCAUGCAGUCGACUCUUCCAAGCAUCCCAGGAAAUCCUCUUGCUGCAUUCUGUGCUAGGAUCCGAGAAGUGUCUUCCGCAUUGGGUGUUCUCAAGUAUUGCGGUCCAAACACGGCCACCAUUGUCCGAAAGAACUUGUAGAAACACUCUAUGCUGGUGGACUCGGCCAUGUGCCCAUAGUCGUCGAGUGAAUCACCGGGAGCUCCGUAUGCAAGCAUCCUCAUCGCUGUCGUGCACUUCUGAAUGGAGGUGAAUCCAAGGGCGCCGGUGCAAUCCAUCUUGCACUUGAAGUAGUUGUCGAACUCCCGGAUGGAAUUCACAAUCCUGAGGAAGAGCUUUCGGCUCAUCCGAUAACCGCGCCGAAAUGUUUUCUCGCCGUGAAGUGGAGCAUCGGCGAAGUAGUCGGAGUAGAGCAUGCAGUAGCCUUCGAGACGAUGCCGGUUCAUUGCUUUCACCCGCCCCGGCGCCGAGCCACCUCGCUGCGGCUUUUCAUUGCUCGCCAGCAGCUGGGCAAGGGCGGCGAGCAACAUGAGAUGCUCUUCUUCCUGGACAUCGGCCUCGGCUUCCUCCUCCAACAGCGCGGCGAGCGCUUCCUCAUCAUCCGAGUCCAUCGCCGAGGCAGGCAAAUCGCCGAACACCUUGCGCCCGGUGGGCGUGUACCCGCCGCUAAACUGCCCCUCUGCGGCCGGAAACACCCAGCUGCUGUUGGAGGGGCUGCCGCGGUGAAGCUCUGCUAUUUUUUCGGCGGGGAAUGGCUAUCUAGCGGUGAAGGGCGGCAGGCGGCGUCAGGAUAUAGCUAGUGGCGGCCGAGGGCGCGGGGGUGGGAGGCGAGUCGGGGAAGAAAACCUUAACUUUUCCCCUGCUGGUGUGGGCCAGCCGCGCUUUUCCCUUGCGCCGGGGCUCCCAAUUGCCCCUAGUGCGCCGGGUUUGGCCUGUGACCGCCGAGCGGAAAAAAGGGCCGAACCGGCAAUUUUCGGCGUCCUGGGGGCGCGAGUGGGGAAUUUUUUUGGCGCCGGCGGCGAAAAAGUGGCCUGGGGGGCCUGUUGGGGGCGCGGCCGGAGAUGCUCUAAGCAAUUCAAUGAGUUCAUGAGGGAAGAUAAAAUGACUUCUUCAAAUCAAAGGAAGAGAGUUGGAAGUUUCAAAGGAAUAAUUUGAAGACACUUUGAAGUUAUUUGAAACUCAUUUUUCCAUUUGAAGUUGUUUGAAAUUCCAAAUUUCAAAUCCUCUUGGGAGUUAUUUAGGUUUAAUUCAAAUUAUUUUUCUCCAAAAAAUAAAUAGAUGGAAAUAAGGGUAAAAUGAUUCCCUUCAAUAGAAAAUUAGGAGAAAAUAUAUUUGAAAUCAUUUUGCUAUUUUAAAAACGAUUUUUAUUGAUUUUAAAUGCAAUAGUAGCACUAUUUGACUUUUAUGAAUUUUUAUGGAAUUUAGUUGAACUUGAAAAAUAAUUCAUCUUAUUGCUGCUAUUUUUCUGAGCAUUUUGGUAUAUAAUAUUCCUACGUAAUUUUUUUAGUUAUCUUCCUAUGUUGAAGGUUUUGUUUCUGCAAAAAAAAACACGCGCCCGCCAGCCAGCCCAGGGUCUUCGGCCCAAGAGCCAGCCAGCACACCAAGCCGGCCCAGCAGCGCCCCAGGCCGCUCGAGGCCUCUUGCCUCGUUCUCCCAGGCCCCUCUUCCCUCGCUCGCUCUCUCCCACCGCCGCUGCUAGUGGGGCCCGCAACCCUUCGUCCCUAACUUCCCGCUCCUCCCGUUGAUAUAGAGCACGUUGAUAUAGAGCACGCGUGUGCCGCCCGCAACUGCCGGCUGCUCUGCUCGGGAUAGAGCUCAUCCCCAGUGUCCGCAGCCUCUUCUCGCGCCUAUAAAUUCCCCCGACUCCCCUCGUUCGAUUUUGCCACUCCGCAACGACCCACGCCACUCACAGCCGCCGCCUUCGUCGUUUGGAUCUCGCCCGUCGGAGCUACCUGGCCGGUCCGUUCCCCCGUCCGUAAGACUGCCUCGACCCGUUCUUCUUUGUCAAUUGACUCCCCGCGUCAAGGCGCAUCUGAUUGACAAAAAAUUGCCGCCUUGGUCGUACCAGAGACGACGCCCCGACGCGCCGCGCUCUCGCCGGAGCACCGGAGCUCCGCCGCCUCCCUCCGCUCGUCGCUGGCCACCCCACCGCCCGCCGACCCCACCAGCACGCCGCCCACGCCGCGCCCGACCUCCCCGACCCCUUCGUCGCCGCUGCCCACUGAGGACCGCCGGAGACGCCCCCGUGUCCGCCGUCCGCCGCCUGACGCUAGCGCUGCCGCCCCUGUUCGCCGUCCUCGCUCGCUGUGAGCCGCUGACCCUCAGUCAUUUUUGUUGUUGUUGUAUUAGAUCGGGUAACCGUGGUUUUAUUAAACCGUGCAGUUUAGUAAAAAACCGGUCUCCGGUUUUCUUUUUAUUUAGCCGCGGUAGCCGUUUUAUUUAUUCAGUGGCCGUCCGCCGUUUAGCCUGAGCCGCGAACGCUUCUCAGCCACCCGGAAGCCGCCACGUGGCCAGGGACCUGGUCACGAAUAAAACUUUCACAAUUAAGACCCUUAGAUUUCAGUUUAGCCCCUAAACUUCGAAUGGUUGUAUCUUUUUAACCGUAACUGCAAAUUCGACGAAACCAGCAGCAAAAUGUUCAUGUCCAAUAGUUUUAUCCAGAGAACCAACUUUGAAAACUUUUGGACAAAUUCAAAUUUGAACUUUAUUCAGAUUUGAAUUCAAACUUCAACUGGCCAUAUCUCUUAAACCGUAGCUCCGAUUGGUGUGAUUCUUUUUGCAACGUGUCAUCGUAGCCAAACCCUACCACCUAGACCUUGUCACAAUCUGUCUAUGAUAGUUUUACUAUUAUGCCAUGUAUGGACUUUAGUACACAUCACAGUUUUGAACCCCAUGUCACAAGUUGUUUUGCACUUAGGAUAUUUCCAUGCUAGUUAACUGUGUUGAAUAUUCAUUUGGUUUUUCUGAGACUUUGUGCUUUGCAUGUUCUUCUUGGUUCUCUGAAACGAUUGCUUAUGUGAGUGCAAUGUUUGACUUUAUAGAUUUUCAUCGGAGAGUGAAGAAUAGUUCUAUUAAAUAAAUUUCUGAGAGCGAUAUAAUCUUCAUCAACUAUUACCAGGCAAGUUCACAUUUGACCAUUUUUCCAAUUACCUAUGUUUAUAUUAUGCACUUAGUCCUUUUGUGGUAGGAUUGCAUGGUAGGAUUUAUUGUUACCAGAUGGCUAUGCCGUUACCUAGUAGUUCAUUUAAGGUAGGUAUGAUCUAUACAUCCUUGUCACCACCGUGUAAGUUUAUUUUUGCCUCACUAAAUGUAGACGUGGUUUGGGAAGCGAACAUGGCGAGACAUGAGUGACAAAGUAGUAAUCAGGACCAAGACUUGUAAAUGAACUACCUGGGCGGUAUUUUGUUUGAAUGGUGGCGAAGUACAGUGGGAGCAUGCAUGGUUAAUCCAUGGUGGUGCACCACUAGUGGUUGGCCGCUUAGGCUCAAAGAGAUCAAUAGUAUUCUCAUGUCUAGAAGCUUAAGUGUGCAGCCACAAACCAAUAUGGGCUCUAGCUUAGUUGAGUAGUUAGUGUGACCCAUUCCGGGAUGGGCUAGCAGAUGUAGAAUGAUGUAGGUGUACCGGCCUAUCCAUGGGUUAAGGGGUGACAUUUUUGAAAGAGUAUGUCUCGGUCAUCCUGUUCUCAAACGCCAGGCAGUGCGAGAACUCCAGGGGAGGCGAUCGAGUCUUGUGGGGAAAAGUGCGCAAACCUCUGUAGAGUGUUUUUUUUGAACUUGACAGUGGGAGAGAACUCCCACUGUAUAUUUUCACAUAUCUAUAUAAAUGGGGUGUUUACAUAGACAUACCACUCACACACAUCCAGCUCCACUCUUGGUGGAACCACCAGGGGUGGGGCAACUACACCAUGGUCACUGCUAUACACUUGUCUCUAAGUAUUUAAAGAGGGAAGAAUAAAACACAGUAUGUCUCAGCUAAGUGUGCCACAGUAUGAAAGCAGGGCAGCUCUACGUGUACCCUGAACUCUAUGUUGCAGAAGUCCCAAGUCCUCUUUGAAUCGAUGGAACCAAGAUGCAAUGCUUGGGGUUACACCUCUGAAGUGUUUAUUGUUUCUUUCCUUCCACAAACUCCAGGUAGUAGUGAAAAAUGCUUCAAUGAAGAAAGGAUUGGGCCAGUUGGGUUGUGCGUUUUGCAACGCAUCAAACCUAUUUUGAAAAUCAAUCCAGUGAACACCUAUCUUGGCCCAACACCUUUCGCUGAACUGGCAGGUGAAGAUCAUAUGCUCGAGAGUCUCAUCUGCAUUUUGCCCACAAAGGAGACAUGUGAUGUCAUUCCCAAUGUCAUAGUGUCUUCUUCUCAGCAUGUCACAUGUGUUCAACCUGUCGUGCAGCAACAACCAUCCAAAUACUUUGAUUUUCAUCAUACAGUUUGAUUUCCAAAGGAGCGGGAAGAUGGGAUGAGCUGUUGCAUCACGGGAGAAGUUGUUAUAGUAGUCUUUUGGCUUGUACCCAGCUGCCCCCCAAGCAUAGAGCCAAACAUCAGAUAUUGUUGUGGAUGGGUGUAUGCGGAAUGCUGCAUGUUGGACAUCUUGCACCUCGUUGAGCGCACGAGCAGAUAGCGGUAGGUGAAAGGUUUCAUGCAGUUCAGUGUUGGCCCAGAAGUCAGCGACCGUCAUGUCUUCCUGCAGAGCAAAUGAAAAGGCACGCGGGUGCGAUGUUUGUAGCACAUCAUUUGACCACAAGUCUUUCCAGAGCAGCGUAGUCGAGCCAUCAACUACUUGGACACGAGUGAUCCCUCGGUAGAUGGGCGUUAAUUUGAGAAUGUCUUUCCACCAGAAAGAACCGACUAGAUCAACCGCAUGAGGCACCUGGUUAGCAUACUGAUUAUCCCAAAGCAUAGUAACCCAUGGUACGUCCAGUUUGUUAUAGAACUUGUGGAGAAAUUUUAGCAGGAGGGCUUCGUUGUAGAUUGUAAUGUUGAUCACUCCUAACCCACAUUUACACUUGGGCUUGCACACUAGUUCCCAAGCCGCAAGCGAAUUACAUUUGUCACCUUGGUCGGUUUUCUUUGUCCAGAGACAUCUCCUUCUAAUCUUGUCAAGAAUUUCAAUUAGAUUCGGAGGGAACUUGAGCGUGCACAUGGCAAACACCAGAAGGGAUGUGACCGAUGCAUUGAGCCAGGAGAGGCGGCCCCCAUAGGACAUCAUAGCGAUCGUGGCAGUGAGACGAUGCUCCAUUUUGCAAACUAGAGGCAUGAAUUCUUGAAUGGUUGGUCUUGUAGUGCCAAGUGGCAGGCCAAGGUAGGUGAAAGGCAUUGUACCUAUAGUGCAGCCAAAAAUGGCAGCAAGGCUAGAGGUUGCACUUGCGUCCAGGUUGAUUGGUAUGAGCGUCGACUUGUGAAAGUUAAUUUUGAGGCCAAUAGAGGAUGCAUAGUCAGAGAGAAUGUUCUUGACACGGGCAGCCUGUUGUGGGCAAGCAGGCAAGACAAGGAGGGUGUCGUCCGCAUAUUGGAUCACUGGGUAAUCAUUUUGCCCAUUGCAUGGAAAAGGCAGGCUGAUAUCUCCACGUCGAUAAGCAUCAUUGCCGUGGCUUGAAGUAGUUCAGCUGCCAGGACGAAAAUGAGGGGGGACAGAGGAUCACCUUGCCGCACACCGCAUCGACAAAGGAACUGUCGGCCUGGGACCCCAUUAAGAAGUUUGGACGAGCGACCCGAGGAGAAGAGGCACUUGAUCCAGGAGAUCCACUUGUCACUGAAACCCAUCUGCUGCAUAAUGCAAAUCAUUGGUUCAUGCGUGAUGGUAUCGAAUGCUUUGGCGAAAUCAAGUUUAAGAAUAAUGAUUGGCCGGCCCAAGUUUUGACAGUGAUAAAGAUAUUGAUAAUCUCAUGCCAGACAAUUCUGUAUAGUAUGCCCUUUAAUGAACCCAUACUGAUUCCGGUGAAUGAGGGUGAGAAUGACAAGUUGAAGUCUGUCUGCUAGCAGUUUGGUAAUCAACUUGAGGCAGCAGUUGAGCAAUGUAAUGAGUCUGAAAUCAUUGACUGUUUCUGGAGAGUUAGUCUUAGGUAUAAGUGUGAUAAGACCAUCAUUGAUACUUGUGACAUCUAACGUACCUGCAUAGAACUGAUCACAUAGGGUGUAAAAGUCAUGUCGAAUGAUGGGCCAGCAGGCUUUCAAAAACGCCCCACUAAAGCCAUCUGGGCCAGGUGCGUGGUCCGGAGGCAUACCUUUGACCACAUUAUCGAUUUCCUCAUGUGAAAAAGGCGUGGUAAGUUGGUCAAGAUUUGUAGCGCGGGGGAUAAUGUUUGGAAGAUCAAAUUUCAUGUCUGAAGGGGAGACCGUACCCAGGCGGUUUUUGUAAGUUUGAAACAAGAGGGCCUCUUUUGCAGGAUGAUUGUCGACCAAUGUGCCAUCCUCAAGCUUGAGUGAGGAGAUAUUGUUUUGUCGAUAACGUUCCCUGGCCACUGCUUGGAAAAACUUGGAGUUUUCAUCGCCAAACUUGAUCCAACGAAUAGUACAACGCUUCUUCCAAUAAAGUUUUUGAUAUUUGAGCAGUCUCAGCAAGUGUGACUUUAGGAUACGUUUGAAGUUCAUUUUUGGAAUUGAAAGGAUUCGUUUAUUCUGCCAGGACAUGGUUACAGUUCGUGAUGGCCACUAAUAGACGAGAAAUAUUCUUACUCCAGAUUUUGAGAGUGUGUCGAAGAGCUUUGAAUUUUCAGCAAAGGAUUGUGGCAGCAUUUGCGUUCCAAACUGGCCAUUCCCAAACCUCUCUAACUAUGUCCAUAAACCCUGGGUGUAAGGUCCAGUAGGAUUCAAAACGAAAGAGCUUGGAUCGGGGGAUUUUGGUCUCUAUGGUGACAACGCAAGGGAUGUGAUCAGAAACGGGCUUGCCAAGGGGUUUAACGAGCAUCUUAGGAUAUGCGUUACUCCAAUGCAAGGAUGUGGAGAACCAGUCAAUCUGUUCAAGCAAAGGAUCGGUCUGCAUAUUGCUCCAAGUGUAGGUUCUACCUUUUACCGGAAGCUCAAUCAGUUGCUGCUGACGAAUGAUGUCAUUGAACGUAAUCAUGUCGUGAAUGUUACCCCCAGGUUUAUUAUGAUUGUCUGGAGCUCUCAUGUAGUUAAAGUCGCCCAAAAGUAACCAGUCUUGGUUACGGGGUAUUUGAACAUCGUACAACCAUUGCGUGAAAACAUCCCUGUCUGUACCAGUGCAAGGCCCGUACACGUUAACUAACGUCCAAUGUUGAGAGGAUUGCGUGCUAACGAACUCGAUGGCUAGCGCAAAUGGAUCAGACGAGAGUACUGAACCAGAGAAAACCGAGCUUUUCCAGAUUGUAAGUAACCCCCAGAGGCGCCGCGCGAAGGGACAAAAGCAAAACGAUCAAAUUGUCUAGGACAGCAAGUUUUAAUAGAAGCAAAAGUAACCUCAGGCAUCUUAGUCUCCUAAGGACAAGCGAUAGCAAAACCACUGGUAGAGAUAGCAUUAUUCAGAGCCAGUCGCUUCUUCUCAGAAUUGAGCCCACGGAUAUUCCAUGAGAGCACAUUCCAGCAGCUCAACGACGUCAUAUAGAACUCCAAUAUUAAGCAGAGGUGUGAGAGAGAUCCUCUCCCUGGUCAUCACUAUUAAUCGAAGAGGCAAAAGAUUCGGGCACGGCAGCAGUUUCAGCAAGCAGGGCUUCUUUAGAAAGUUCAGUAGCAGGUAUAGCACAUCUGUUAACUCCAAUGGAUUGUAGAGUAACUAUAGGAGUUGGGGGCGGGACCUCACCAGCAGAAGUAGCAGCAGAUGCUGAUGUGCCAAUAGACGGGAUGACACGGGGCUUAACUUUGGAAUUGUUCUUGCGACUGUCAGAGAGGGGAGGAACCUUGACCCCAUCAUACGUGUUGGAGCGGAGACUGCGGCGCACUUCAGUUGUGGAGAUAGGGGCAGCAGCCCUGGUCCUACGGGGGCGCGGGCCAGUGGUGGCCAUAGAAGCAGUUGCCUCUGAGAUCACAGAAGGUUCUGAAGGUGGAAUGUGCACAACUUGUUCUGUGUCCAUUGGGGCGUCUUCAGUGUUGGGCGGCAUGGCGGGCUCAAUGGCGUUUUCCACACUAGCAUGUUCAGAUAGGUCCUCAAUGAUCACAGCGGAGGCAGCCAAAGCAGAAGUAGAGCUUGAUUGCUGGGAAAAGGUCAGACUAGUAGAAUCCUGUGUGAUCAAGACAGACAACUGAACCUGGUUUGUUCUCAGACCAAACCCCUCUAUCCAAGGUCCAAAAGUUGCAAGCAUUGGGCUAACAGCUUGGAAGAUGAAUGUGUUAAGAUUCAGGCGUGGGAUUGGGUCAUUCAGCAGCCUGGAAAGGAUCUCAUCUCCUUGAGCAGAUAAACCAAAUCUGACACCUUGAUCAUUGAUCUCCAGUGUGAUGUUAAGAGAUUCAAAGCUUGCACUGUCAGACAGCUGUAUAGCUGGAUCAGCCGGGAUGAGAAUGUCAGACUGGGUCAAGCUUGAACUGUCAAACUGGGUGAUCGAAUCAUUCCAAGCUUGGAGAGCAUUAUCAGUGACAUUGUUUUCAGGGACUAACCCAUGUUGCACAGUCAGACCCUGCGCAGCAAGCCAGGCUUGUUAGUUCACCAAAUGGAGCGGCAUUUGCGGGAGUGGAGGAGCAGCGGGCGCCUCCCAAGUGCCCCAUCCAGUGUUGUCAUCCACUUGUUGAGCCUCAUUGUUGCCAGCUGCGGGUGCACCAUUCUGAAUGAGCCAAUUGUGAACUUGCUGCUGAUAUAACUGUUCUGCAGUGAGUUCAGGGCCAAACUGUGGAUGUGGGUUGCCAUCGGGGGGUGGCAUUUCCUCAGGUGCAGCAGGUACAUCAGGGAGGAGGCCAUUCCAGUCGUUGCUGCGACGGAUGGUCACUACUACUGUCCAACUGUCGUGCGCACCACCCAGCUGCCAUACCACAAAGCUCUUGGGGAUGAGGCGCAGACUAAGUACUCUGACUUUUAGAAGGAUGAAUCUGCGGUCCUGACGCGGAUUAUACCAGGAAACUAAGGAACCAUAUCCACCCAAGGCCUUAGUGAUGUAAUAGUCCAUUUGGUAGUCAUACGGAAAGCCGAAGAACAUAAUCCAAAUCUCAGGCCCAAACGGUGCAGCUCUACGAUUAAGAGCCGCAUUGUGCGAAACGAAGGUGAUCAACAGAUCUUCAUCUUCAAGCUCAAGCGGUGUGUUGACAGCAUUAUCUCUCAUAAAGGAAUCCACAAAACCAAAAAUCCCAACACCAAGGGGGUGAUCCGAUGGCGGACGGUGGCCCGGCGAUGCAGGGGCAGAUACUCACUGGCUUCUGCAAUGGCCAGGAACUCAUGGCUGAGUGGAGCAAUCGGGCCAACGACCAUGCCGCUGCGCACAAGACUAUCGGCCGGCCCUGGCUCAGCGGCAAAACCCGGCGGGAGGAAAGGCACAGGGUUCAGUGGGUAGUUCGCCAUUGUGGUGGAAGGGAUCAGAGGGGAGGACGGUGGUGCGGAGAUGGGAUGCAACUGCAAUGGCGCAAGCUGCAGCAAAGCGUCAGACUGUGGCGAUGGGACUGGACGGGAUGUGGCCCAUUGGGUUCUCGAGGCGGAAGCUGAAGCGUGAAUGGGGGCGGUAGAAGGCAAAGUUGCCUUUGCAACCUCUGUAGAGUGUUAAAACCUAAUCGAUUAACCAUGUCCCCGGUUACGGACAACUUGAGCAUCUAGUAGUGGAAAUGAUGGGAGAUCUCAUCACUCUUAAUUAAACAGUUGGUUUUUAAAUGAAACAUUGGGAAUGGAUUGAGUUGGGUUUGCCAACUCAUCCUAUGCUAUACUGUAGUGAUAGACUAAUGUCUUUUAUUCUAGGGAAAAACUAGCUUUAUGCAAAAACUAAACUUAGAGUUUUCCACCAGCCAAAUUGCAUGUACAAAUAGGUUCAUUAUUCUUAUGAUGUGACUUGCCAGUACAUUCAAUGUACUGACCUAUAGGGCUGCAACGUCUUAUGUUGCAGGAAUUUCUACGACGAGUAAGAAUUAUGUUGUAGGGUUAUCGUCUACACUCAACUUGCCGUUGGCGUUGAUGGGACUCCACACCCGUUCGAUUGUUUCCACUGAGAUUUAUGAGGUAUAUAUCAGUUUUGCGUUAUUUAUACAUUUGAUUGAACUUUGAUAUAUACAUUGAUGUACUGUGUGUGCCAGCAUAUCAAUCCAGGGAUGGCCCGGAUACACAGAGGCUUGACAGUUUGAGCUCGGGUCGCUACAGAGAUGGUAUCAGAGCACAUGUUGACUAUAGGACGUGACCCUAGAAACUGGAAAGCCCUUAGGAAAAGAUUUCUCUAAAAGUUUAUUUUCAAAAAGAUCCUUUACCUCUCUUCAUUUCUGAGCUUUAUCAAAUCUUUCCUUUUACCCCAAAUAGGUAGGCAAUAUCCCUUUUCCCUUUCACCACGCGGAGGAUCAACUGAUGAGACCACUCCGAGAAGGGCAAGAUAUCGGCCAACUGAUGGCCACUUCAAAGUAAAGAGGAUUUCAUCAUGCAUUAGAACAGUUAAUGCUACGACAGUCGAAGACUCGAAGAAUUUGAAGACACUGAAGAAUUCCAAGAUUUAUAUGACCUUUAGAAGACCAAACCCUUGUUGUGUACUCACGUUAGAUGCGAUGAUUUGUGAGCUGUCAUAUUUGGUGUGUGUUUUCCAUUGCAACAAAUAAAACUUAUUUUCAAAAACUAUAUUGUUUGUAUUGUGUGUAUCUUUCUCUAUCCCUCUUAUCUCAUCCCAAAACCCUUGGACCCAAUAGAUGAUGAAUGAAGAUGGACUUGUAUUCUCUGGACCGAUCACUCGGUUAGAGGAAGAGCUAUGGAUUCAAAACAUGGAGAGUCACUUCGAGAGCAAUUUGGUUGCAAGGAAGUAUGAGGUUCAAUAUGCUCUUUAAUACUUUACAAAAAGUGCUACAACAUGGUGGAAAAUGCAUCAAGCCAUACAAGGAUGUAAUGGAGCAAAAACUUGGGAGGAAUUGAAGAAGACUCUGUUGGGAUCCCGUCUUAUCCGGAAGCACGGUGAUAAACUGAUGAAGAAACCUUGUGCCUGCAAGAUAUGUGGAGAAAUAGGACACACCCAUGAAGAACACAAGGAUGGAUGCCCUCAUUAUGAAGGAAAUCACCCAGCAGAAGAGUGCCCAACUAGGCAGGUUACUUGUUUCUUGUGUGAAGGAACUACGCACUACCCUGCCCAGUGUCAUAUUUACCCCAGGGUACAAGAAAUUACCAAGAACCAGAAGGAAGAAGUGAAAGAAGCCCUCAGGGAAAGUUUAAGAAAACUGGUGAUGAAAGAAGAUGUUGACGACCCUGAUGGAGAAAGCCUAAACAGAUUUUACUCCAAUGCUUGCUAUGCAUGUGGAGAAGAAGGACAUUUCUCACAAUAUUGCGUGAAGGAAAACCAAGAGUAUCUGGGAGACUUCCCGAUAGAAGAAGUGGGGUUUGAUCGACAAGAGAUAGAAGAAUUGAUCGGAACGAAGAAGUCGAGGAAGAGAAAGAGCAUGUAUCCCCAGAACAACCCAGUUUCUGCAGAAAAGGACCUGAGUCAUAUCACUUGUUACAGCUGCAAGGAUUUAGCUCAUUAUUCUAGCAAAUGCCCACCAAGGAAGCCAAGAACCCAAGGAACCAAGAUAACCACCAGGAACCCCUGGAUUUGUCUGACGCCAUUUGUUUACGCUGCAAAGGAGUAGGACAUUUUGUCAGAGAAUGUUCAGACCCGAGGAAAGCUUGAGCAGAGUAGUUGAGAUCUUGAUAUUGGAAUAAAGCAUGUAAUAAAUGUGGAACGCACUUUUAUUUUCGUGGGGGGUGUUGAUACGUCUCCAACGUAUCUAUAAUUUUUGAUUGCUCCAUGCUAUAUUAUCUACUGUUUUGGACUAUAUUGGGCUUUAUUUUCCACUUUUAUAUUAUUUUUGGGACUAACCUAUUAACCGGAGGCCCAGCCCAGAAUUACUGUUUUUUUGCCUAUUUCAGUGUUUUGGAUAAACGGAAUAUCAAACGGAGUCCAAACGGAAUAAAAUCUUCGGGAACGUGAUUUUCUCACCGAACGUGAUCCAUGAGACUUGGACCUUGCUCUAAGGAACAAAAGAGGCGGUCACGAGGGUGGGGGGUGCCCCCCCUAGGGCGCGCCCCCCUGCCUCGUGGGCCCCUCGUUGCUCCUCCGGCGUACUUCUUCCUCCUAUAUAUACACAUGUACCCCCAAACGAUCAGAAGAGGAGCCAAAAACCUAAUUCCACCGCCGCAACUUUCUGUAUCAGAAGAGAUCCCAUCUUGGGGCCUGUUCCGGAGCUCUGCCAGAAGAUGGCCGUCAUCACGGAGGGCUUCUACAUCCUCCUAGCCCCUCCGAUGAAGUGUGAGUUGUUUACCUCAGACCUUCGGGUCCAUAGUUAGUAGCUAGAUGGCUUCUUCUCUCUCUUUGAAUCUCAAUACAAAGUUCUCCCCCUCUCUUGUGGAGAUCUAUUCGAUGUAAUCUUCUUUUCGCGGUGUGUUUGUUGAGACCGAUGAAUUGUGGGUUUAUGAUCAAGUCUAUCUAUGAAUAAUAUUUGAAUCUUCUCUGAAUUCUUUUAUGUAUGAUUGGUUAUCUAUGCAACUCUAUUCGAAUUGUCCGUUUGGUUUGGCCAACUAGAUUGGUAGUUCUUGCCAUGGGAGAAGUGCUUAGCUUUGGGUUCGAUCUUGCGGUGUCCUUACCUAGUGACAGAAGGGGCAGCAAGGCACGUAUUGUAUCGUUGCCAUCGAGGAUAACAAGAUGGGGUUUAUUUCAUAUUGCAUGAAUUUAUCUCUCUACAUCAUGUCAUCUUGCUUAAGGCGUUACUCUGUUUUUAACUUAAUACUCUAGAUGCAUGCUGGAUAGCGGUCGAUGAGUGGAGUAAUAGUAGUAGAUGCAGAAUCGUUUCGAUCUACAUGUCACGGACGUGAUGCCUAUAUACAUGAUCAUGCCUAGAUAUUCUCAUAACUAUGCUCAAUUCUGUCAAUUGCUCAAUAGUAAUUUGUUCACCCACCGUAGAAUACUUAUGCUCUUGAGAGAAGCCACUAGUGAAACCUAUGGCCCCCGGGUCUAUUCUCAUCAUAUCAAUCUCCAUCACUUUAAAUCUUGCUUUGUUUUUACUUUGCUUUUACUUUUUAAUUUGCAUCUUUAUACCAAAAAUACCAAAAAUAUUAUAUCUAUCAGAUCUCAUUCUCGUAAGUGACCGUGAAGGGCUUGACAACCCCUAAUCGCGUUGGUUGCGAGUAGCUAUCGCUUUGUGCAGGUACGAGGGACUUGAGCGUGGGCUCCUACUGGAUUGAUACCUUGGUUCUCAAAAACUGAGGGAAAUACUUACGCUACUCUGCUGCAUCAUCCCUUCGUCUUCGGGGAAAACCAACGCUAGCUCAAGAUGUAGCAGGUGUUGAGUUGAGUUACCGAAUGGAAAUUGUAAUAGCUCAUGAAGAAAUAAAAAUUGAGUUGUUUGGAAUCUCAUAUGAAAUGUUAUGAGUUGUUUUUUGAUUGUGAGUGCCUUUCUCACUAUGUCACCCAGACAUAAACCUUGAACCCAUGGACAAGCUGACCCCAAAACCUUCACUAAAAAAACGACAUUUCACCCAAGGAAAUACAUGCAUUAUCCUAAGUACCCCUUCUAUCUUAUACCUGCAGAUGGCAACCCUUUACGAGUCUUUUCUCAAGGGCCCAGAAACGAUCAUGACCCUAACUAGUGAUCAGGAUUACCCAAAGAUCCUCAAGGACAUGAUGAAGCAUAUUCAUCUUGAAGGAGAUGCAGUCUACAAGGGUUAUCCUUUCAUGGAGAAUGGAGUUGAACUUUGGUACGUGGAGGUACACCUCCAUCGUGUGAAGGGAGUUUUCCCAAAGAGUAUGGGGCAAUACUUUUUCAUUUCUCGAGUACCCCGAGCAACAUUCUUCGACUCUGUUCGUGAAACUGCUAUGGAAGCCAUACGUCAGAUAGGAGAAAUACUUGAAGCCAGACUUCGUUAUACUCAGGAAUACCCGAGGGAGGUGCAUGCAAAGAUGAUGGAGAUGAAGCUCAUGGCCACCAUGAUGAAGCAAAAGGUCGAUGAUUUCAAGGACCACAUUGUACAAUUCCAGUGGGACUAAAUUAUCUUCAAGAAGGGCAAAUGAAUAAAGAUGGAAGUAAUGCUUGACCAUAGCAAACUAUGUGGAUGGCAGCUUUUUGUAAUAGAGUACUUUUGAAAUUUGAGUUUUGAGUAGUGGUUAAGGAUGUAAUAAAGGAUUUGAUAUGAAGAGAAUUAUGGAUGAACCAGUGCAUUUUUUGGCGAUACCUGUCUGUGCGAACACUUGACCAAUGGAAAAGGAAAUGUAUUCCAUAGAGUGAAGUUUGGACAAAUGAGUUGGAGUUUGGUUUUAGUUAUGAUGGUUACCCCAAGAGUAUGAAGGAAUGAAGUACUAUUGGAUUUAAAGGAGAUGUAAUGUUGGAAUAUGGAACAAUAGUAACUCCAAGGAUGAGUUAAAGAUAUACAAGUGUUGAAGUGGGCCAUAACCCACAGGACCCAGGAUUUGAUAAGGAAACAAGCACAAUCUUGUUGAAGAAAAUAAUUCUGAAAGAAGCCAUGAUUUCAUCAGCAUACGUUUCAUAGGAGGUUACAUAAACCCAGGAGUUGUGAAUAAACGAUAGAGGUUUUCUUUGGCUUGCAGAACCAAUGGAUUUAUCCGAACCCAGUUCGUGGAGAAGAGAAGUUUUGCAAUGCUUGUGAGGAUGCCCAAGGGCUAGAAUGCGUGAUUCACUAUCUACGUAUGUGGUAAUGAUUCAAGUACGACAUGGAUUGGCCCCCAUACCGGAGACUUCUAUCAUGAGCUAUCAUAUGAUUGAUAGAAAAUCAGAGAGCCUUAAAACCCUAGAAGAGUGUCGACACGACAAGCCAAAAGCCUUAGAAUGGCAGGAUGAUGGAAACCCUGUACAGGCACCUAUUGCCUACCGUAGGUUAUGCGGUGAGGUUCAACCCAGACCCAUUUCCUGUAGGAGGAACCAGAAAUUGUCGACCACCAUCAGGUUUUCGAUAGUUGUUUAGCAUUGGCGCCAGACCUGUCAAGUCUCAGAAGGAUCCUAUUUUGAUGCAAGGAAUCCUGAUAUUGAGGAAAAGGCCAUGCCCUUACCAGAAGAGCAAAAGUGAAGGGGUUAUCUCAGAGAAUAUGAGAAGACCGACACCGUCAACGCAAAGGAUGGAGUUCAUGAGUUUUAUUGGAACUGUAACCAUGCUUCUAAGGGUGGUAGCACCCCAUUCCUUGUGUUGAUGAAUGGAUUUUCAAGGAGAACCCCCAAACCUAACAUUCUUUCUAGCCUCUUCGAAUCUCGAGGACGAUAUUCAUUUUAAGGGUGGUAGUUUGUAACAUCCCAAAAUUCUAAAUUCUGGAAUGUUAUGUUAAAUAAUUAAUUAUGAUUGUUUGUUUGUUGUGUGAUUGAUUGUGUGAAAAUGAUUGGAAAUUGAAAACUUUUUGAAAGUAGAAUGAGAGGGAAUAAAAGGACUUUCCCGAAACUUUUCAUCUUGCAUUUUGAUCUUCCUGAAUUCAAAUUCAUUUCAUCAUAAAACCCUAGAGUGAAGAUAAUAUGACUUCUUCCAUUUAAAGAAAUGAAAAAAGGGGUUUGAAAAUGAUUUGAAUUCCAUUUGAAAAAUUUUAAAUUUUGAAACUUUAAGCAACUCAAUGAGUACAUGAGGGAAGAUAAAAUGACUUCUUCAGAUCGAUGGAAGAGAGUUGGAAGUUUCAAAGGAAUAAUUUGAAGUCACUUUGAAGUUAUUUGAAACUCAUUUUUCCAUUUGAAGUUGUUUGAAAUUCCAAAUUUCUAAUCCUCUUGGGAGUUAUUUAGUUUUAAUUCAAAUUAUUUUUCCCCUAAAAAUAAAUAGAUGGGAAUAAGGGUAAAUUGAUUCCCUUCAAUAGAAAAUUAGGAGAAAUAUAUCUGAAAUCAUUUUGCUAUUUUAAAAAUGAUUUUUAUUGAUUUUAAAUGCAAUAGUAGCACUGUUUGAAUUUUAUGAAUUUUUAUGGAAUUUAGUUGAACUUGAAAAAUAAUUCAUCUUAUUGCUACUAUUUUUCUGAGCAUUUUGGUAUAUAAUAUUCCUACGUAAAUUUUUUAGUUAUUUUCCUAUGUUGAAGUUUUUGUUUCUGCAAAAAAAAACAUGCGCCCGCCAGCCGGCCCAGGGCCUUCGGCCCAAGAGCCAGCCAGCGUACCGAGCCGGCCCAGCAGCGCCCCAGGCCGCCCGAGGCCUUACGCCUCGCUCGCGCGCGCCCCUCUUCCCUCGCUCGCUCUCUCCCACUACCGCUGCCAGUGGGGCCCGCAACCCUCCGUCCCUAACCUCCCGCUCCUCCCCUUCAGAUAGGGCACGCGCGUGCUGCCCGCAACUGCCGGCAGCUCCGCUCGGGAUAGAGCUCAUCCGCAGUCUCCGCAGCCUCUUCUUGAGCCUAUAAAUUCCCCCGACUCCCCUCGUUCGAUUCUGCCAUUCCGCAACGAUCCACGCCGCUCACAGCCGCCGCCUUCGUCGUUUGGAUCUUGCCCGCCGGAGCUACCUCGCCGGUCCGUUCCAUCGUCCGUAAGACUUCCUCGACCCCGUUCUUCUUUGUCAAUUGACUCCCCGCGUCGAGGCGCAUCUGAUUGACAAAAAUUUGCCGCCUAGGUCGUACCAGAGACGUCGCCCCGACGCGCCGUGCUCUUGCCGAAGCACCGGAGCUCCGCCGCCACCCUCCGCUCGUCGCUGGCCACCCCACCGCCCGCCGACCCCACCAGCACCCCGCCCACGCCGCGCCUGACCUCCCCGACCCCUUCGUCGCCGCUGAGGACCACCAGAGACGCCGCCCUGUCCGCCGUCCGCCGCCUGACGCCAACGGCACCGCACCUGUUCGCCGUCCUCGCUCGCUAUGAGCCGCUGAUCCUCGCUCAUUUUUUGUUGUUGUUGUUGUAUUAGAUCGGGUAACCGUGGUUUUAUUAAACCGUGCGGUUUAGUAAAAAACCGGUCUCCGGUUGUCUUUUUAUUUAGCCACGGUAGCCGUUUUAUUUAUUCAGUGGCCGUCCGCCGUUUAGCCUGAGCCGCGAACGCUGCUCAGCCACCCGGAAGCCGCCACGUGGCCAGGGACCUAGUCGUGAAUAAAACUUUCAUAGUCAAGUCCCUGAGUUUUCAAUUUAGCCCCUCAACUUCGAAUGGUUGUAUCUUUUUAACCGUAGCUCCAAAUUCGACGAAACCAGUGGCAAGAUGUUCGCCUCGAUUAGUUUUAUCCAGAGAACCAACUUUGAAAACUUUUGGCCAAAUUCAAAUUUGAAAUUUAUUCAGAUUUGAAUUCAAACUUCAACUGGCCAUAUCUCUUAAACCGUAGCUCCGAUUGGUGUGAUUCUUUUUGCAACGUGUCAUCAUAGCCAAACCCUACCACCUGGACCUUGUCACAAUACUUUUCACACAACUAGAAUCUGUCUAUGAUAGUUUUACUAUUAUGCCAUGCAUGCACUUUAGUACACAUCAUAGUUUUGAACCCCAUGUCACAAGUUGUUUUGCACUUAGGAUAUUUCCAUGCUAGUUAACUGUGUUGAAUGUUCAUUUGGUUUUUCUGAGACUUUGUGCUUUGCAUGUUCUUCUUGGUUCUCUGAAACGAUUGUUGAGAGUGACGAAUAGUUCUAUGAAGUAAAUUUCUGAGAGUGGUAUAAUCUUCAUCAACUAUUACCAGGCAAGUUCACAUUUGACCAUUUUUCCAAUUACCUAUGUUUAUAUUAUGCACUUAGUCCUUUUGUGGUAGGAUUGCAUGGUAGGAUUUAUUGUUACCAGAUGGCUAUGCCGUUACCUAGUAGUUCAUUUGAGGUAGGUAUGAUCUAUACAUCCUUGUCACCACCGUGUAAGUUUAUUUUUGCCUCGCUAAAUGUAGACGUGGUUUGGGAAGCGAACAUGGCGAGACAUGAGUGACAAACUAGUAAUCAAGACCAAGACUUGUAAAUGAACUACCUGGGCGGUAUUUGAUUUGAAUGGUGGUGAAGUACAGUGGGAGCAUGCAUGGUUAAUCCAUGGUGGUGCACCACUAGUGGUUGGCCGCUCAGGCUCAAAGAGAUGAAUCGUAUUCUCAUGUCUAGAAGCUUAUGUGUGCAGCCACAAGCCAAUAUGGGCUCUGGCUUAGUUGAGUAGUUAGUGUGACCCCUUCCGGGAUGGGCUAGCAGAUGUAGAAUGAUGUAGGUGUACCGGCCUAUCCAUGGGUUAAGGGGUGACAUUUUUGAAAGAGUAUGUCUCGGUCAUCCUGUUCUCAAACGCCAGGCAGUGCGAGAACUCCAGGGGAGGCGAUCGAGUCUUGUGGGGAAAAGUGCGCAAACCUCUGUAGAGUGUUUUUUUUGAACUUGACAGUGGGAGAGAACUCCCACUGUAUAUUUUCACAUAUCUAUAUAAAUGGGGUGUUUACAUAGACAUACCACUCACACACAUCCAGCUCCACUCUUGGUGGAACCACCAGGGGUGGGGCAACUACACCAUGGUCACUGCUAUACACUUGUCUCUAAGUAUUUAAAGAGGGAAGAAUAAAACACAGUAUGUCUCAGCUAAGUGUGCCACAAUAUGAAAGCAGGGCAGCUCUACGUGUACCCUGAACUCUAUGUUGCAGAAGUCCCAAGUUCUCUUUGAAUCGAUGGAACCAAGAUGCAAUGCUUGGGGUUACACCUCUGAAGUGUUUAUUGUUUCUUUCCUUCCACAAACUCCAGGUAGUAGUGAAAAAUGCUUCAAUGAAGAAAGGAUUGGGCCAGUUGGGUUGUGCGUUUUGCAACGCAUCAAACCUAUUUUGAAAAUCAAUCCAGUGAACACCUAUCUUGGCCCAACACCUUUCGCUGAACUGGCAGGUGAAGAUCAUAUGCUCGAGAGUCUCAUCUGCAUUUUGCCCACAAAGGAGACAUGUGAUGUCAUUCCCAAUGUCAUAGUGUCUUCUUCUCAGCAUGUCACAUGUGUUCAACCUGUCGUGCAGUAGCAACCAUCCAAAUACUUUGAUUUUCAUCAUACAGUUUGAUUUCCAAAGGAGCGGGAAGAUGGGAUGAGCUGUUGCAUCACGGGAGAAGUUGUUAUAGUAGUCUUUUGGCUUGUACCCAGCUGUCCCCCAAGCAUAGAGCCAAACAUCAGAUAUUGUUGUGGAUGGGUGUAUGCGGAAUGCUGCAUGUUGGACAUCUUGCACCUCGUUGAGCGCACGAGCAGACAGCGGUAGGUGAAAGGUUUCAUGCAGUUCAGUGUUGGCCCAGAAGUCAGCGACCGUCAUGUCUUCCUGCAGAGCAAAUGAAAAGGCACGCGGGUGCGAUGUUUGUAGCACAUCAUUUGACCACAAGUCUUUCCAGAGCAGCGUAGUCGAGCCAUCAACUACUUGGACACGAGUGAUCCCUCGGUAGAUGGGCGUUAAUUUGAGAAUGUCUUUCCACCAGAAAGAACCGACUAGAUCAACCGCAUGAGGCACCUGGUUAGCAUACUGAUUAUCCCAAAGCAUAGUAACCCAUGGUACGUCCAGUUUGUUAUAGAACUUGUGGAGAAAUUUUAGCAGGAGGGCUUCGUUGUAGAUUGUAAUGUUGAUCACUCCUAACCCACAUUUACACUUGGGCUUGCACACUAGUUCCCAAGCCGCAAGCGAAUUACAUUUGUCACCUUGGUCGGUUUUCUUUGUCCAGAGACAUCUCCUUCUAAUCUUGUCAAGAAUUUCAAUUAGAUUCGGAGGGAACUUGAGCGUGCACAUGGCAAACACCAGAAGGGAUGUGACCGAUGCAUUGAGCCAGGAGAGGCGGCCCCCAUAGGACAUCAUAGCGAUCGUGGCAGUGAGACGAUGCUCCAUUUUGCAAACUAGAGGCAUGAAUUCUUGAAUGGUUGGUCUUGUAGUGCCAAGUGGCAGGCCAAGGUAGGUGAAAGGCAUUGUACCUAUAGUGCAGCCAAAAUGGCAGCAAGGCUAGAGGUUGCACUUGCGUCCAGGUUGAUUGGUAUGAGCGUCGACUUGUGAAAGUUAAUUUUGAGGCCAAUAGAGGAUGCAUAGUCAGAGAGAAUGUUCUUGACACGGGCAGCCUGUUAUGGGCAAGCAGGCAAGACAAGGAGGGUGUCGUCCGCAUAUUGGAUCACUGGGUAAUCAUUUUGCCCAUUGCAUGGAAAAGGCAGGCUGAUAUCUCCAUGUCGAUAAGCAUCAUUGCCGUGGCUUGAAGUAGUUCAGCUGCCAGGACGAAAAUGAGGGGGGACAGAGGAUCACCUUGCCGCACACCGCAUCGACAAAGGAACUGUCGGCCUGGGACCCCAUUAAGAAGUUUGGACGAGCGACCCGAGGAGAAGAGGCACUUGAUCCAGGAGAUCCACUUGUCAUUGAAACCCAUCUGCUGCAUAAUGCAAAUCAUUGGUUCAUGCGUGAUGGUAUCGAAUGCUUUGGCGAAAUCAAGUUUAAGAAUAAUGAUUGGCCGGCCCAAGUUUUGACAGUGAUAAAGAUAUUGAUAAUCUCAUGCCAGACAAUUCUGUAUAGUAUGCCCUUUAAUGAACCCAUACUGAUUCCGGUGAAUGAGGGUGAGAAUGACAAGUUGAAGUCUGUCUGCUAGCAGUUUGGUAAUCAACUUGAGGCAGCAGUUGAGCAAUGUAAUGAGUCUGAAAUCAUUGACUGUUUCUGGAGAGUUAGUCUUAGGUAUAAGUGUGAUAAGACCAUCAUUGAUACUUGUGACAUCUAACGUACCUUCAUAGAACCGAUCACAUAGGGUGUAAAAGUCAUGUCGAAUGAUGGGCCAGCAGGCUUUCAAAAACGCCCCACUAAAGCCAUCUGGGCCAGGUGCGUGGUCCGGAGGCAUACCUUUGACCACAUUAUCGAUUUCCUCAUGUGAAAAAGGCGUGGUAAGUUGGUCAAGAUUUGUAGCGCAGGGGAUAAUGUUUGGAAGAUCAAAUUUCAUGUCUGAAGGGGAGACCGUACCCAGGCGGUUUUUGUAAGUUUGAAACAAGAGGGCCUCUUUUGCAGGAUGAUUGUCGACCAAUGUGCCAUCCUCAAGCUUGAGUGAGGAGAUAUUGUUUUGUCGAUAACGUUCCCUGGCCACUGCUUGGAAAAAUUUGGAGUUUUCAUCGCCAAACUUGAUCCAACGAAUAGUACAACGCUUCUUCCAAUAAAGUUUUUGAUAUUUGAGCAGUCUCAGCAAGUGUGACUUUAGGAUACGUUUGAAGUUCAUUUCUGGAAUUGAAAGGAUUCGUUUAUUCUGCCAGGACAUGGUUACAGUUCGUGAUGGCCACUAAUAGACGAGAAAUAUUCUUACUCCAGAUUUUGAGAGCGUGUCGAAGAGCUUUGAAUUUUCGGCAAGGGAUUGUGGCAGCAUUUGCGUUCCAAACUGGCCAUUCCCAAACCUCUCUAACUAUGUCCAUAAACCCUGGGUGUAAGGUCCAGUAGGAUUCAAAACGAAAGAGCUUGGAUCGGGGGAUUUUGGUCUCUAUGGUGACAAUGCAAGGGAUGUGAUCAGAAACGGGCUUGCCAAGGGGUUUAACGAGCAUCUUAGGAUAUGUGUUACUCCAAUGCAAGGAUGUGAAGAACCAGUCAAUCUGUUCAAGCAAAGGAUCGGUCUGCAUAUUGCUCCAAGUGUAGGUUCUACCUUUUACCGGAAGCUCAAUCAGUUGCUGCUGACGAAUGAUGUCAUUGAACGUAAUCAUGUCGUGAAUGUUACCCCCAGGUUUAUUAUGAUUGUCUGGAGCUCUCAUGUAGUUAAAGUCGCCCAAAAGUAACCAGUCUUGGUUACGGGGUAUUUGAACAUCGUACAACCAUUGCGUGAAAACAUCCCUGUCUGUACCAGUGCAAGGCCCGUACACGUUAACUAACGUCCAACGUUGAGAGGAUUGCAUGCUAACGAACUCGAUGGCUAGCGCAAAUGGAUCAGAUGAGAGUACUGAACCAGAGAAAACCGAGCUUUUCCAGAUUGUAAGUAACCCCCAGAGGCGCCGCGCGAAGGGACAAAAGCAAAACGAUCAAAUUGUCUAGGAUAGCAAGUUUUAAUAGAAGCAAAAGUAACCUCAGGCAUCUUAGUCUCCUGAAGACAAGUGAUAGCAAAACCACUGGUAGAGAUAGCAUUAUUCAGAGCCAGUCGCUUCUUCUCAGAAUUGAGCCCACGGAUAUUCCAUGAGAGCACAUUCCAGCAGCUCAACGACGUCAUAUAGAACUCCAAUAUUAAGCAGAGGUGUGAGAGAGAUCCUCUCCCUGGUCAUCACUGUCAAUCAAAGAGGCAGAAUAUUCGGGCACGACAGCAGUUUCAGCAAGCAGGGCUUCUUCAGAAAGUUCAGUAGCAGGUAUAGCACAUCUGUUAACUCCAAUGGAUUGUAGAGUAACUAUAGGAGUUGGGGGCGGGACCUCACCAGCAGAAGUAGCAGCAGAUGCUGAUGUGCCAAUAGACGGGAUGACACAGGGCUUAACUUUGGAAUUGUUCUUGCGACUGUCAGAGAGGGGAGGAACCUUGACCGCAUCAUACGUGUUGGAGCGGAGACUGCGACGCACUUCAGUUGUGGAGAUAGGGGCAGCAGCCCUGGUCCUACGGGGGCGCGGGCCAGUGGUGGCCAUAGAAGCAGUUGCCUCUGAGAUCACAGAAGGUUCUGAAGGUGGAAUGUGCACAACUUGUUCUGUGUCCAUUGGGGCGUCUUAAGUGUUGGGCGGCAUGGCGGGCUCAAUGGCGUUUUCCACACUAGCAUGUUCAGAUAGGUCCUCAAUGAUCACAGCGGAGGCAGCCAAAGCAGAAGUAGAGCUUGAUUGCUAGGAAAAGGUCAGACUAGUAGAAUCCUGUGUGAUCAAGACAGACAACUGGACCUGGUUUGUUCUCAGACCAAACCCCUCUCUCCAAGGUCCAAAAGUUGCAAGCAUUGGGCUAACAGCUUGGAAGAUGAAUGUGUUAAGAUUCAGGCGUGGGAUUGGGUCAUUCAGCAGCCUGGAAAGGAUCUCAUCUCCUUGAGCAGAUAAACCAAAUCUGACACCUUGAUCAUUGAUCUCCAGUGUGAUGUUAAGAGAUUCAAAGCUUGCACUGUCAGACAGCUGUAUAGCUGGAUCAGCCGGGAUGAGAAUGUCAGACUGGGUCGAGCUUGAACUGUCAGACUGGGUGAUCGAAUCAUUCCAAGCUUGGAGAGCAUUAUCAGUGACAUUGUUUUCAGGGACUAACCCAUGUUGCACAGUCAGACCCUGCGCAGCAAGCCAGGCUUGGUAGUUCACCAAAUGGAGCGGCAUUUGCGGGAGUGGAGGAGCAGCGGGCGCCUCCCAAGUGCCCCAUCCAGUGUUGUCAUCCACUUGUUGAGCCUCAUUGUUGCCAGCUGCGGGUGCACCAUUCUGAAUGAGCCAAUUGUGAACUUGCUGCUGAUAUAACUGUUCUGCAGUGAGUUCAGGGCCAAACUGUGGAUGUGGGUUGCCAUCGGGGGGUGGCAUUUCCUCAGGUGCAGCAGGUACAUCAGGGAGGAGGCCAUUCCAGUCGUUGCUGCGACGGAUGGUCACUACUACUGUCCAACUGUCGUGCGCACCACCCAGCUGCCAUACCACAAAGCUCUUGGGGAUGAGGCGCAGACUAAGUACUCUGACUUUUAGAAGGAUGAAUCUGCGGUCCUGACGCGGAUUAUACCAGGAAACUAAGGAACCAUAUCCACCCAAGGCCUUAGUGAUGUAAUAGUCCAUUUGGUAGUCAUACGGAAAGCCGAAGAACAUAAUCCAAAUCUCAGGCCCAAACGGUGCAGCUCUACGAUUAAGAGCCGCAUUGUGCGAAACGAAGGUGAUCAACAGAUCUUCAUCUUCAAGCUCAAGCGGUGUGUUGACAACAUUAUCUCUCAUAAAGGAAUCCACAAAACCGAAAAUCCCAACACCAAGGGGGUGAUCACUGACCUCUGUAGUAAAAAGCUGUGAUUCUUGAAACAGAGUUGUGAUCCGAUGGCGGACGGUGGCCCGGCGAUGCAGGGGCACAUACUCACUGGCUUCUGCAAUGGCCAGGAACUCAUGGCUGAGUGGAGCAAUCGAGCCAACGACCAUGCCGCUGUGCACAAGAUGAUCGGCCGGCCCUGGCUCACCCGCAAAACCCGGCGGGAGGAAAGGCACAGGGUUUAGUGGGUAGUUCGCCAUUGUGGUGGAAGGGAUCAGAGGGGAGGACGGUGGUGCAGUGAUGGGAUGUAACUGCAAUGGCGCAAGCUGCAGCAAAGCGUCAGACUGUGGCGAUGGGACUGGACGGGAUGUGGCCCGUUGGGUUCUCGAGGAGGAAGCUGAAGCGUGAAUGGGGGUAGGAGGCAAAGUUGCCUUUGCAACCUCUGUAGAGAGUUAAAACCUAAUCGAUUAGCCGUGUCCCCGGUUACAGACAACUUGAGCAUCUAGUAGUGGAAAUGAUGGGAGAUCUCAUCACUCUUAAUUAAACAGUUGGGUUUUAAAUGAAACAUUGGGAAUGGAUUGAGUUGUGUUUGCCAACUCAUACUAUGCUAUACUGUAGUGAUAGACUAAUAUCUUUUAUUCUAGGGAAAAACUAGCUUUAUGCAAAAACUAAACUUAGAGCUUUCCACCAGCCAAAUUGCAUGUACAAAUAGGUUCAUUAUUCUUAUGAUGUGACUUGCCAGUACAUUCAAUGUACUGACCUAUAGGGCUGCAACGUCUUAUGUUGCAGGAAUUUCUACGACGAGUAAGAAUUAUGUUGUAGGGUUAUGGUCUACACUCAACUUGCCGUUGGCGUUGAUGGGACUCCACACCCGUUCGAUUGUUUCCACUGAGAUUUAUGAGGUAUAUAUCAGUUUUGCAUUAUUUAUACAUUUGAUUGAACUUUGAUAUAUACAUUGAUGUACUGUGUGUGCCAGCAUAUCGAUCCAGGGAUGGCCCGGAUACACAGAGGCUUGACAGUUUGAGCUCGGGUCGCUACAGAGAUGGUAUCAGAGCACAUGUUGACUAUAGGACGUGACCCUAGAAACUGGAAAGCCCUUAGGAAAAGAUUUCUCUAAAAGUUUAUUUUCAAAAAGAUCCUUUACCUCUCUUCUUUUCUGAGCUUUAUCAAAUCUUUCCUUUUACCCCAAAUAGGUAGGCAAUAUCCCUUUUCCCUUUCACCACGCGGAGGAUCAACUGAUGAGACCACUCCAAGAAGGGCAAGAUAUCGGCCAACUGAUGGCCACUUCAAAGUAAAGAGGAUUUCAUCAUGCAUUAGAACAGUUAAUGCUACGACAGUCGAAGACUCGAAGAAUUUGAAGACACUGAAGAAUUCCAAGAUUUAUAUGACCUUUAGAAGACCAAACCCUUGUUGUGUACUCACGUUAGAUGCGAUGAUUUGUGAGCUGUCAUAUUUGGUGUGUGUUUUCCGAUGCAAUAAAUAAAACUUAUUUUCAAAACUAUAUUGUUUGUAUUUUGUGUAUCUUUCUCUAUCCCUCUUAUCUCAUCCCAAAACCCUUGGACCCAAUAGAUGAUGAAUGAAGAUGGACUUGUAUUCUCUGGACCGAUCACUCGGUUAGAGGAAGAGCUAUGGAUUCAAAACAUGGAGAGUCACUUCGAGAGCAAUUUGGUUGCAAGGAAGUAUGAGGUUCAAUAUGCUCUUUAAUACUUUACAAAAAGUGCUACAACAUGGUGGAAAAUGCAUCAAGCCAUACAAGGAUGUAAUGGAGCAAAAACUUGGGAGGAAUUGAAGAAGACUCUAUUGGGAUCCCGUCUUAUCCGGAAGCACGGUGAUAAACUGAUGAAGAAACCUUGUGCCUGCAAGAUAUGUGGAGAAAUAGGACACACCCAUGAAGAACACAAGGAUGGAUGCCCUCAUUAUGAAGGAAAUCACCCAGCAGAAGAGUGCCCAACUAGGCAGGUUACUUGUUUCUUGUGUGAAGGAACUACGCACUACCCUGCCCAGUGUCAUAUUUACCCCAGGGUACAAGAAAUUACCAAGAAGAAGUGGGGUUUGAUCGACAAGAGAUAGAAGAAUUGAUCGGAAUGAAGAAGUCGAGGAAGAGAAAGAGCAUGUAUCCCCAGAACAACCCAGUUUCUACAGAAAAGGACCUGAGUCAUAUCACUUGUUACAGCUGCAAGGAUUUAGCUCAUUAUUCUAGCAAAUGCCCACCAAGGAAGCCAAGAACCCAAGGAGCCAAGAUAACCACCAGGAACCCCUGGAUUUGUCUGACGCCAUUUGUUUACGCUGCAAAGGAGUAGGACAUUUUGUCAGAGAAUGUUCAGACCCGAGGAAAGCUUGAGCAGAGUAGUUGAGAUCUUGAUAUUGGAAUAAAGCAUGUAAUAAAUGUGGAACGCACUUUUAUUUUCGUGGGGGGUGUUGAUACGUCUCCAACGUAUCUAUAAUUUUUGAUUGCUCCAUGCUAUAUUAUCUACUGUUUUGGACUAUAUUGGGCUUUAUUUUCCACUUUUAUAUUAUUUUUGGGACUAACCUAUUAACCGGAGGCCCAGCCCAGAAUUACUGUUUUUUUGCCUAUUUCAGUGUUUUGGAUAAACGGAAUAUCAAACGGAGUCCAAACGGAAUAAAAUCUUCGGGAACGUGAUUUUCUCACCGAACGUGAUCCAUGAGACUUGGACCUUGCUCUAAGGAACAAAAGAGGCGGUCACGAGGGUGGGGGGUGCCCCCCCUAGGGCGCGCCCCCUGCCUCGUGGGCCCCUCGUUGCUCCUUCGGCGUACUUCUUCCUCCUAUAUAUACACAUGUACCCCCAAACGAUCAGAAGAGGAGCCAAAAACCUAAUUCCACCGCCGCAACUUUCUGUAUCAGAAGAGAUCCCAUCUUGGGGCCUGUUCCGGAGCUCUGCCAGAAGAGGGCCGUCAUCACGGAGGGCUUCUACAUCAUCCUAGCCCCUCUGAUGAAGUGUGAGUUGUUUACCUCAGACCUUCGGGUCCAUAGUUAGUAGCUAGAUGGCUUCUUCUCUCUCUUUGAAUCUCAAUACAAAGUUCUCCCCCUCUCUUGUGGAGAUCUAUUCGAUGUAAUCUUCUUUUUGCGGUGUGUUUGUUGAGACCGAUGAAUUGUGGGUUUAUGAUCAAGUCUAUCUAUGAAUAAUAUUUGAAUCUUCUCUGAAUUCUUUUAUGUAUGAUUGGUUAUCUAUGCAACUCUCUUCGAAUUGUCCGUUUGGUUUGGCCAACUAGAUUGGUAGUUCUUGCCAUGGGAGAACUGCUUAGCUUUGGGUUCGAUCUUGUGGUGUCCUUACCUAGUGACAGAAGGGGCAGCAAGGCACGUAUUGUAUCGUUGCCAUCGAGGAUAAAAAGAUGGGGUUUAUUUCAUAUUGCAUGAAUUUAUCUCUCUACAUCAUGUCAUCUUGCUUAAGGCGUUACUCUGUUUUUAACUUAAUACUCUAGAUGCAUGCUGGAUAGCGGUCGAUGAGUGGAGUAAUAGUAGUAGAUGCAGAAUCGUUUCGAUCUACAUGUCACGGACGUGAUGCCUAUAUACAUGAUCAUGCCUAGAUAUUCUCAUAACUAUGCUCAAUUCUGUCAAUUGCUCAAUAGUAAUUUGUUCACCCACCGUAGAAUACUUAUGCUCUUGAGAGAAGCCACUAGUGAAACCUAUGGCCCCCGGGUCUAUUCUCAUCAUAUCAAUCUCCAUCACUUUAAAUCUUGCUUUGUUUUUACUUUGCUUUUACUUUUUAAUUUGCAUCUUUAUACCAAAAAUACCAAAAAUAUUAUAUCUAUCAGAUCUCAUUCUCGUAAGUGACCGUGAAGGGCUUGACAACCCCUAAUCGCGUUGGUUGCGAGUAGCUAUCGCUUUGUGCAGGUACGAGGGACUUGAGCGUGGGCUCCUACUGGAUUGAUACCUUGGUUCUCAAAAACUGAGGGAAAUACUUACGCUACUGUGCUGCAUCAUCCCUUCGUCUUCGGGGAAAACCAACGCUAGCUCAAGAUGUAGCAGGUGUUGAGUUGAGUUACCGAAUGGAAAUUGUAAUAGCUCAUGAAGCAAUAAAAAUUGAGGUGUUUGGAAUCUCAUAUGAAAUGUUAUGAGUUGUUUGUUGAUUGUGAGUGCCUCUCUCACUAUGUCACCCAGACAUAAACCUUGAACCCAUGGACAAGCUGACCCCAAAACCUUCACUAAAAAAACGACAUUUCACCCAAGGAAAUACAUGCAUUAUCCUAAGUACCCCUUCUAUCUUAUACCUGCAGAUGGCAACCCUUUACGAGUCUUUUCUCAAGGGCCCAGAAACGAUCAUGACCCUAACUAGUGAUCAGGAUUACCCAAAGAUCCUCAAGGACAUGAUGAAGCAUAUUCAUCUUGAAGGAGAUGCAGUCUACAAGGGUUAUCCUUUCAUGGAGAAUGGAGUUGAACUUUGGUACGUGGAGGUACACCUCCACCGUGUGAAGGGAGUUUUCCCAAAGAGUAUGGGGCAAUACUUUUUCAUUUCUCGAGUACCCCGAGCAACAUUCUUCGACUCUGUUCGUGAAACUGCUAUGGAAGCCAUACGUCAGAUUGGAGAAAUACUUGAAGCCAGACUUCGUUAUACUCAGGAAUACCCGAGGGAGGUGCAUGCAGAGAUGAUGGAGAUGAAGCUCAUGGCCACCAUGAUGAAGCAAAAGGUCGAUGAUUUCAAGGACCACAUUGUACAAUUCCAGUGGGACUAAAUUAUCUUCAAGAAGGGCAAAUGAAUAAAGAUGGAAGUAAUGCUUGACCAUAGCAAACUAUGUGGAUGGCAGCUUUUUGUAAUAGAGUACUUUUGAAAUUUGAGUUUUGAGUAGUGGUUAAGGAUGUAAUAAAGGAUUUGAUAUGAAGAGAAUUAUGGAUGAACCAGUGCAUUUUUUGGCGAUACCUGUCUGUGCGAACACUUGACCAAUGGAAAAGGAAAUGUAUGCCAUAGAGUGAAGUUUGGACAAAUGAGUUGGAGUUUGGUUUUAGUUAUGAUGGUUACCCCAAGAGUAUGAAGGAAUGAAGUACUAUUGGAUUUAAAGGAGAUGUAAUGUUGGAAUAUGGAACAAUAGUAACUCCAAGGAUGAGUUAAAGAUAUACAAGUGUUGAAGUGGGCCAUAACCCACAGGACCCAGGAUUUGAUAAGGAAACAAGCACAAUCUUGUUGAAGAAAAUAAUUCUGAAAGAAGCCAUGAUUUCAUCAGCAUACGUUUCAUAGGAGGUUACAUAAACCCAGGAGUUGUGAAUAAACGAUAGAGGUUUUCUUUGGCUUGCAGAACCAAUGGAUUUAUCCGAACCCAGUUCGUGGAGAAGAGAAGUUCUGCAAUGCUUGUGAGGAUGCCCAAGGGCUAGAAUGCGUGAUUCACUAUCUGCGUAUGUGGUAAUGAUUCAAGUACGACAUGGAUUGGCCCCCAUACCGGAGACUUCUAUCAUGAGCUAUCAUAUGAUUGAUAGAAAAUCAGAGAGCCUUAAAACCCUAGAAGAGUGUCGACACGACAAGCCAAAAGCCUUAGAAUGGCAGGAUGAUGGAAACCCUGUACAAGCACCUAUUGCCAACCGUAGGUUAUGCGGUGAGGUUCAACCCAGACCCAUUUCCUGUAGGAGGAACCAGAAAUUGUCGACCACCAUGAGGUUUUCGAUAGUUGUUUAGCAUUGGCGCCAGACCUGUCAAGUCUCAGAAGGAUCCUAUUUUGAUGCAAGGAAUCCUGAUAUUGAUGAAAAGGCCAUGCCCUUACCAGAAGAGCAAAAGUGAAGGGGUUAUCUCAGAGAAUAUGAGAAGACCGACACCGUCAACGCAAAGGAUGGAGUUCAUGAGUUUUAUUGGAACUGUAACCAUGCUUCUAAGGGUGGUAGCACCCCAUUUCUUGUGUUGAUGAAUGGAUUUUCAAGGAGAACCCCCAAACCUAACAUUCUCUCUAGCCUCUUCGAAUCUCGAGGACGAUAUUCAUUUUAAGGGUGGUAGUUUGUAACAUCCCAAAAUUCUAAAAUUUGGAAUGUUAUGUUAAAUAAUUAAUUAUGAUUGUUUGUUUGUUGUGUGAUUGAUUGUGUGAAAAUGAUUGGAAAUUGAAAACUUUUUGAAAGUGGAAAGAGAGGGAAUAAAAGGACUUUCCCGAAACUUUUCAUCUUGCAUUUUGAUCUUCCUGAAUUCAAAUUCAUUUCAUCAUAAAACCCUAGAGUGAAGAUAAUAUAACUUCUUCCAUUUAAAGAAAUGAAAAAAGGGGUUUGAAAAUGAUUUGAAUUCCAUUUGAAAAAUUUUAAAUUUAGAAACUUUAAGCAACUCAAUGAGUACAUGAGGGAAGAUAAAAUGACUUCUUCAGAUCGAUGGAAGAGAGUUGGAAGUUUCAAAGGAAUAAUUUGAAGUCACUUUGAAGUUAUUUAAAACUCAUUUUUCCAUUUGAAGUUGUUUGAAAUUCCAAAUUUCUAAUCCUCUUGGGAGUUAUUUAGUUUUAAUUCAAAUUAUUUUUCCCCUAAAAAUAAAUAGAUGGGAAUAAGGGUAAAUUGAUUCCCUUCAAUAGAAAAUUAGGAGAAAUAUAUCUGAAAUCAUUUUCCUAUUUUAAAAAUGAUUUUUAUUGAUUUUAAAUGCAAUAGUAGCACUGUUUGAAUUUUAUGAAUUUUUAUGGAAUUUCGUUGAACUUGAAAAAUAAUUCAUCUUAUUGCUGCUAUUUUUCUGAGCAUUUUGGUAUAUAAUAUUCCUACAUAAUUUUUUUAGUUAUUUUCCUAUGUUGAAGUUUUUGUUUCUACAAAAAAAAACAUGCGCCCGCCAGCCGGCCCAGGGCCUUCGGCCCAAGAGCCAGCCAGCAUACCGAGCCGGCCCAGCAGCGCCCCAGGCCGCCCGAGGCCUUACGCCUCGCUCGCCCGCGCCCCUCUUCCCUCGCUCGCUCUCUCCCACUGCCGCUGCCAGUGGGGCCCGCAACCCUCCGUCCCUAACCUCCCGCUCCUCCCAUUCAGAUAGGGCACGCGCGUGCUGCCCGCAACUGCCGGCAGCUCCGCUCGGGAUAGAGCUCAUCCGCAGUCUCCGCAGCCUCUUCUUGCACCUAUAAAUUCCCCCGACUCCCCUCGUUCGAUUCUGCAAUUCCGCAACGAUCCACGCCGCUCACAGCCGCCGCCUUCGUCGUUUGGAUCUUGCCCGCCGGAGCUACCUUGCCGGUCCGUUCCAUCGUCCGUAAGACUUCCUCGACCCCGUUCUUCUUUGUCAAUUGACUCCCCGCGUCGAGGCGCAUCUGAUUGACAAAAAUUUGCCGCCUAGGUCGUACCAGAGACGUCGCCCCGACGCGCCGUGCUCUUGCCGAAGCACCGGAGCUCCGCCGCCACCCUCCGCUCGUCGCUGGCCACCCCACCGCCCGCCGACCCCACCAGCACGCCGCCCACGCCGCGCCUGACCUCCCCGACCCCUUCGUCGCCGCUGAGGACCACCAGAGACGCCGCCCUGUCCGCCGUCCGCCGCCUGACGCCAGCGGCACCGCACCUGUUCGCCGUCCUCGCUCGCUAUGAGCCGCUGAUCCUCGCUCAUUUUUUGUUGUUGUUGUUGUAUUAGAUCGGGUAACCGUGGUUUUAUUAAACCGUGCGGUUUAGUAAAAAACCGGUCUCCGGUUGUCUUUUUAUUUAGCCACGGUAGCCGUUUUAUUUAUUCAGUGGCCGUCCGCCGUUUAGCCUGAGCCGCGAACGCUGCUCAGCCACCCGGAAGCCGCCACGUGGCCAGGGACCUAGUCGUGAAUAAAACUUUCAUAGUUAAGUCCCUGAGUUUCCAAUUUAGCCCCUAAACUUCGAAUGGUUGUAUCUUUUUAACCGUAGCUCCAAAUUCGACGAAACCAGUGGCAAGAUGUUCGUCUUGAUUAGUUUUAUCCAGAGAACCAACUUUGAAAACUUUUGGCCAAAUUCAAAUUUGAACUUUAUUCAGAUUUGAAUUCAAACUUCAACUGGCCAUAUCUCUUAAACCGUAGCUCCGAUUGGUGUGAUUCUUUUUGCAACGUGUCAUCAUAGCCAAACCCUACCACCUGGACCUUGUCACAAUACUUUUCACACAACUAGAAUCUGUCUAUGAUAGUUUUACUAUUAUGCCAUGCAUGCACUUUAGUACACAUCAUAGUUUUGAACCCCAUGUCACAAGUUGUUUUGCACUUAGGAUAUUUCCAUGCUAGUUAACUGUGUUGAAUGUUCAUUUGGUUUUUCUGAGACUUUGUGCUUUGCAUGUUCUUCUUGGUUCUCUGAAAUGAUUGCUGAGAGUGACGAAUAGUUCUAUGAAGUAAAUUUCUGAGAGUGGUAUAAUCUUCAUCAACUAUUACCAGGCAAGUUCACAUUUGACCAUUUUUCCAAUUACCUAUGUUUAUAUUAUGCACUUAGUCCUUUUGUGGUAGGAUUGCAUGGUAGGAUUUAUUGUUACCAGAUGGCUAUGCCGUUACCUAGUAGUUCAUUUGAGGUAGGUAUGAUCUAUACAUCCUUGUCACCACCGUGUAAGUUUAUUUUUGCCUCGCUAAAUGUAGACGUGGUUUGGGAAGCGAACAUGGCGAGACAUGAGUGACAAAGUAGUAAUCAAGAUCAAGACUUGUAAAUGAACUACCUGGGCGGUAUUUGGUUUGAAUGGUGGCGAAGUACAGUGGGAGCAUGCAUGGUUAAUCCAUGGUGGUGCACCACUAGUGGUUGGCCGCUCAGGCUCAAAGAGAUGAAUCGUAUUCUCAUGUCUAGAAGCUUAUGUGUGCAGCCACAAGCCAAUAUGGGCUCUGGCUUAGUUGAGUAGUUAGUGUGACCCCUUCCGGGAUGGGCUAGCAGAUGUAGAAUGAUGUAGGUGUACCGGCCUAUCCCUGGGUUAAGGGGGAACAUUUUAGAAAGACUAUGUCUCGGUCAUCCUGUUCUCAAACGCCAGGCAGUGCGAGAACUCCAGGGGAGGCGAUCGAGUCUUGUGGGGAAAAGUGCGCAAACCUCUGCAGAGUGUUAAAAUCUAAUCGAUUAGCCGUGUCACCGGUUACGGACAACUUGAGAAUCUAGUAGUGGAAAUGCUGGGAGAUCUCAUCACUCUUAAUUAAACAGUUGGGUUUUAAAUGAAACUUUGGGAAUGGAUUGAGUUGGGUUUGCCAACUCAUCCUAUGCUAUACUAUAGUGAUAGACUAAUAUCUUUUAUUCUAGGGAAAAACUAGCUUUAUGCAAAAACUAAACUUAGGGCUUUCCACCAGCCAAAUUGCAUGUACAAAUAGGUUCAUUAUUCUUAUGAUGUGAAUUACCAGUACAUUCAAUGUACUGACCUACAGGGCUGCAACGUCUUAUGUUGCAGGAAUUUCUAAGACGAGUAAGAAUUACGUGGUAGGGUUACGGUCUACACUCAACUUGCCAUUGGCGUUGAUGGGACUCUGCGCCCAUUCGAUUGUUUCCCUGAGAUUUAUGAGGUAUAUAUCAGUUUUACGUUAUUUAUACAUGUGAUUGAACUUUGAUAUAUACAUUGAUGUACUGUGUGUGCCAGCAUACCGAUCCAGGGAUGGCACGGAUACACAGAGGCUUGACCGUUUGAGGUCGGGUUGCUACAGCAAAUCAGCUAGAUCUUUCAAGGCAAACUCUGAGAUCAAAUCAUGCAGAAUGGCAUUAGUAGCACUUUGUGAUGAACUUGCAACUAUGAUGCAUCCACAUAUAUGAGAACAAAGAUAACUACUUUUCCCUUGUUAUAAAUGAACAAAGAUGUAUCAGCUUGGAAGCACUAAAACCAAGACAUUUCAAUUGAGAGCUCAACCUGGAGUACCAUGCUUUAGGUGCUUGUUUCAAGCUAUAGAGUGCUUUGUCAAGCUUGCACACAUAAUGUGGUGUUUUCUUACUCUCAUAUCCUGGUGGUUGUCUCAUGAAUACCUCCUCUUCCAGAACACCAUGUAAAAACGCAUUCUGUACAUCUAGCUAUCUCAAGCUCGAUCCCUUGGAUACAGCACUAGCUAACACAAAUCUUAUAGUUGCAGCUUUUACAACCGGACUGAAGGUAUCCUCAUAGUCUAUGCCAUAGCGUUGUUUAAAGCCCUUUGCAACUAGACGUGCCUUAUAUCUGUCAAUGGAGCCAUCUGCUUUCUUUUUAAUUCUAUACACCCACUUGCAAUCAAUAAUAUUUUUACCUCUCUUAUCAGGCACAAGAUGCCAAGUUUUGUUCCUCAUAAGUGCAGAAUAUUCCUCAUCCAUUGCUUUCUUCCAUUUAGGGUCACCAAGUGCAUCAUUCAGUGUCAUUGCUUCCCCUGAAAUACAUAGCAUGCCAUACCGUAUAGUACCAUCAGUUUGUAUUUUGGGAUUAUGGAUACCUUUUUGUAACCUGGUCAUAACUCGCAAGGGAGCUUCUUGUUGCAUGUGUACAGGAACAAGAUCCAUUGGCGCAGAAGAUCCACCUCUUGCUACUGAAUCUGCUGGUGAUGCAGAAGAUCCAUCGGACACUGGCGCAGAAGAUCCACUGGACCUUGGUGUGGCCCCCCUGCCACUGGACGCCCAGGAAACCACAUGGCUUCCAGGCAUAGACGAUCCGCUGCCAGGUUGCAUGUGCGCGGGACGCGAGGAGGAGCCGACCGCGCGACUGGUCCCACUGGGCCCACUAUCGGGUGACGCGUCGGCGUGGGAGUGGCCCUCCCAGGAAUCUGGGCCGCUGCCACCUUGUACGCGAUCCAAGAAAGAUCUGUGCGCACGAUCCGAGGCCUGCAAGAGCGCAGGAGUACCAAGGAAUUCAACUGAUAUGAUUACUCUACUUAUUGAUGUGCAAUAAUGUAAUAUGACUAUUAAGAAGCAUUCUAACUGUGGAGGUGGUUUCACACUUCUUACUACAACAAAGGUGAUUGAAGGAUUCCUCGGCAGAAACUAGAACGCACACCUUCAAUAAUUGACGAGCUAAUUGGUUGUUGAACUUCAUGUUGAAGAUAUCUCAUGUAGGCCCAGGCCGGCGCAUAUAGUUAGUUGAGGAGUUGGUUAGCUUAGAGAUAGACUAUCAUCUAAUUAAACUUUUGUAUCUCUAUCUCCUAAUCUCUUGUACUCCAAGUUAUGUAUGCGUACAUGGGAUAAGCCUCAUCUCAAUCAAUAAAUACCCGCGGCCCUCUCUCGUGGAGGGUAGAACGCUUCCGAUAUAUUUCCUAUAUGGUCAUCAGAGCUUUCUCUUCUCGUCCAAAAACCAGAAAACCUAGAUUGCCAUCCUUCCCACCAUGUCAUCCUCCUCCAACCCCCCGACUCUCUCUGGUCUUGGUUACCAAAUCAGUGAGAAGCUCACCGCUGAGAACUACCUGCUGUGGAAGGCACAUAUCCUCCAGCACUUCCUUGGUGCCGGGCUCUAUGGCUAUCUAGACGACAACAUCGUCGAACCAGAGAAGCUCAUGGUCGCGAAGGACAAGGAUGGAAAGGAUCAAGCGGUCCCCAAUCCGGCGCAUGAUUCUUGGGUGCGGCAGGACCAACAGGUCCUUGGCCACAUCAUCAACAAUCUCUCGAUGGAGGUGCUGGUCUCGGUCGUCUCCAUUGGCGUGAGCUCUCUGGACAUCGAUGCGUAACAUGUUUGCUUCACAAUCUCAUUACCGCAUUAAUAAUAUCCAGAUUUCCCUGUCCAGUGCCUAAAAGGGCAAUCAGCGUCGGCAUACUUUGCUCGGAUGCGCAGAUAUGCUGAUGAACUUGCUGCUACCGGGAGACCUCUGCAAGAGGAUGAGCUCACCUCCUUCCUCCUGGCUGGGCUGGACCUCGACUACAACCCCCUUAUCUCAGCCCUCGACGACCGGACGGAUCCUAUCACCAUCGAUGACUUAUACUCACAGGUCUACAACUUUGAUCAGCGGGUGUCGCUGCUCAUGGGAGGCGUGGGCUUCAAGUCCUCUGCAAACUCUGCCCAGCAUGGUGGGCCACCUCCAUCUCGAGGCUUUGGAAAGCCGAGGGAUCAGAAGAAGCAAGGUGGUGGCGGCGGCUACAAGAAGAAACAAGGUGGCGGUGGGCAUCCCUACUACAUCAACACCAAGGGAGCUCGCUCUGGUGCCCCUGGAGGGCCAGGAGGUCUAGGAGGCCUCGAUGGUCCUCCACCCGCCAACAACCACAAGGGGAACGACCCCAUCCAGUGCCAGAUAUGCAUCAAGUUCGGGCACAGCACCAAGGACUGCUGGUAUCAUUUUGAUGAUGAUGCCCUUGAAUAAAAAGUUGUUGCUGCCACCCAGUAUGGGGUGGAUACAAAGUGGUAUGUUGACAGCGAUGCAACCGGUCAUCUCAUCGGCGAACUAGAGAAGUUGACAGUCCGCGACAAGUAUCGUGGGCAGGGUGAAAUCCAUGGCGCAAACAGAUCAGGUAUGAGGAUAGAUCAUGUUGGUCAUUCAGUUUUUCAAACCCCUAACCGUCCCAUCCAUCUUAAAAGAAUUUUACAUUAUCCUCAUGCCCAAACCAGUCUUCUUUCUGUAAAUCAUAUUGCCUUGGAAAAUCAAGUAUUUCUUGAAUUUCACCCCUUCUACUUUUCGAUCAAGGACCAGGCAACGAGGAGAAUCCUCUACAUAUGUAGAUGCAUUGGUGGGCUCUAUCCAUUGAUUCCUCGCUUUAGGAGUUCAAAUAAACAAGUUCUUGGUCUCACCAAAUUAUCUUCGGCAAGGUGGCACGAUCGAUUUGGGCAUCCUUCUUUUGCUAUAGUUCAACGAGUGCUUAGGAAAAAUAAGCUCCCUUUUGUUGGUGAGCCUAGUAGUGAAAAAAAUUGUGAUUCAUGUCAACGAGAAAAAAGUCAUCAACACCCUUCCCCUGUGUCAACUAGCGUUUCUUCCAAACCAUUAGAACUAUUUUUUUUCUGAUGUAUGGGGCAAGCAGCUCUUUCUGUUGGGAGACACAAGUAUUAUGUAAACUUUAUUGAUGAUUAUAGUAAGCAUACUUGGAUCUACCUUAUCAAGCAUAAAUCUGAUGUGUUUCAAGUAUUCCAAAAUUUCCAAGCACUUGUUGAACGAAAAUUCUCUAGCAAAAUAAUCUCUGUCCAAUCGGACUGGGGUGGCGAGUAUGAAAAAUUAAACUCGUUCUUUCAAAAACUGGGAAUUUCCCAUCAUGUCUCUUGUCCCCAUGCGCACCAACAGAAUGGUUCUGCAGAACGCAAGCAUAGACAUAUUGUCAAAGUUGGUCUUUCUCCUUGCUAAUGCAUCCAUGCCAUCGAAGUUUUGGGAUGAAGCAUUCAUCACUGCUACACAUCUCAUUAAUAUGUUGCUAAGCAGGGUUAUCAAUUUUGAAACACCCACCGUGUUGGGGAACGCAGUAUUUAAAAAAAAAUUCCUACGAUCACGCAAGAUUUAUCUAGGAGAUGCAUAGCAAGGAGAGGGGAGAGUGUGUCCACGUAUCCUCGUAGACCGAAAGCGGAGGCAUUUAGUAAUGCGGUUGAUGUAGUCGAACGUCUUUGCGAUCCAACCGAUCAAGUACCAAACGCACAGCACCUCCGCGAUCUGCACACGUUCAGCUCGGUGACGUCCCUCGUACUCUUGAUCCAGUUGAGGCCGAGGGUGAGUUGCGUCAGCAUGAUGGUGUGUUGAUGGUUAUGAUGAAGUUACCAAUGCAAGGAUUCGCCUAAGCACUACGACAAUAUGACCGAGGUGGAAAACUGUGGAGGGGGGCACCGCAACGGUUAAAGAUCAACUCUUGUGUCUAUGAGGUGUCCCCCUCCCCCAUAUAUAAAGGAGGGGAGGAGGAGGAGGGCCGGCCUCAAGGGGCGCUCCCAAGGGGGGGAUUCCUACUCCUAGUAGGAGUAGGUUUCCCCUUUCCUAGUCCAAGUAGGAGAAGAAGGAAGGAGAGGAAGAAGAGAAGGAAAGGGGGCCCGCCCCCCUUAGCCCUAGUCCAAUUCGGUUUGGGCUACGGGAGGCGCGCGCCACCUCUUGGCCUACCUCCUCUCUUCCACCACUAGGCCCAUAAGGCCCAAUAACUUCCCGACGGGGGUUUCGGUAACCCCCAGUACUCCGAAACUUAUCCGAAAUGACCCGAACCAUCCCAGUGUCCAAAUGUAACCUUCCAAUAUAUGAAUCUUUAUGUCUCGACAAUUUCGAGACUCCUCGUCAUGUCCAUCAUCUCAUCCGGGAUUCCUAAAAACCUUCGGUACAUCAAAUCACAUAACUCAUAAUACAUAUCAUCAUCGAACGUUAAGCAUACGGACCCUGCGGGUUCGAGAACUAUGUAGACAUGACCGAGACUCAUCUCCGAUCAAUAACCAAUAGCGGAACCUAGUUGCUCAUAUUGGUUCCUACAUAUUCUACGAAGAUCUUUAUCAGUCAAACCGCAUAACAACGUACAUUGUUGCCUUUGUCAUCGGUAUGUUACUUGCCCGAGAUUCGAUCGUCGGUAUCAUCAUACCUAGUUCAAUCUUGUUACCGGCAAGUCUCUUUACUCGUUCCGUAAUGCUCAUCCCGUGACUAACUCAUUAGUCACAUUGCUUGCAACGCUCAUAGUGAUGUGCAUUACCGAGAGGGCCCAGAUAUACAUCUCCGAUACACAGAGUGACAAAUGCUAAUCUCUAUCUAUGCCAACUCAACAAACACCAUCGGAGACACCUGUAGAGCAUCUUUAUAAUCACCCAGUUACGUUGUGACGUUUGAUAGGACACAAGGUGUUCCUCCGGUAUUCGGGACUUGCAUAAUCUCAUAGUCUGAGGACCAUGUAUAAGUCAUGAAAAAAUAAUAGCAAUAAACUAAAUGAUCAUACUGCUAAGCUAACGGAUAGGUCUUGUCCAUCACAUCUAAAUGGUUUUUUCUUUUCUUGAUUAAUACUCCCUCCGUCCCAUAAUAUAAGACAUUUUUUGACAUUACACUAGAGUCAAAAAACGUCUUACAUUAUAGGACAGAGGGAGUAGUAUUUGUUUUUGGAUGCUUGCAGGUGUUGGAAGAGAACUACUAGGUUGUUGUCCAAGUCACUUCUCACAAAUGUGUGACGCCUGCCCCCACGUGUGAGCCAGCGCAGCCGAAGGCGGCGCACUAACAACGAAACCUAACAAAUUAACUGGCCACACGUGCCAGCCGGUUCCCACGGGUGCGAUGCAUGCCCCCACUUGCAAGCCAGAGGGCGGCCCUACGGACGAGCCGGCAUAGGUGUACAUGAUGCACGCACUAUCUGUUGCGACCGGACCAGCUCGGCGCAUUGCCAGCGGAUGCCAACGGCAAAAUUUCGUGUUUUGACCCUUUUCUGAAACCUAUUAAAGAUCUGACCCUAGGCAGCAGAAGACAUCCUUCAAAUUGAUCACAAUCUUCUUACCCCAACUGAGACCGAGGCUUUCAAGAUGAUUGAGUUAUCCCGUAUACAAAACAAGUAUGUCACACGUGAAAAUAUUUUGUUGAAGGAGCAUAUCAUCGCACUCAAGGGCAUUAUCCGCAAGUUGGAGGACCUCCUACGCUCGAUGUGCGACUAUCCAUCAUCAACAACUCCACCUUCUUCAUAAACAAAGAAGAACUGAGUAUCUGGUAUGGGCACUCCACUUGGCAACUGCCAAGCUUGGGGGAGUGCCCCGGUAUCGUAUCACCAUCACUUCUAUCUUUACCGUUUUCCUUAGUUCGAUCCUUUUGAUAAUAUUUUGAUCUAGUAGAAUAAAACUUCUUAGUAUGAUCUAGUUGUGAGUUUUGCUUUAUGAUCCUUCUAUGUAAUCGAGUCCGUGAGCUAUAUAUAAUAAAGAUUAGUGUUGAGUCAAGGACUUGAUUAUUUUGCCAUAAUCUUGAGUGAAUAAAAGAAAAGAGAAGAAAUAAAAAGAAACAAAGAGAUCAUAUGGAUCUUAUGGAGAGUAAUGAGCUCACAUAGAAAGAGUAUGAUGAAUAAAAGUUGUUGAGAGUUGACAAACAUAGUUUUGGUCAUCGUUGCAAUUAAUAGGAAGUAAUAAAGAAAGAGAGGUCUUCACAUAUAAAUACACUAUCUUGGACAUCUUUUAUGAUUGUGAGCACUCAUUAAAAUAUGACAUGCUAAAGAGUUGACGUUGGACAAGGAAGACAAUGUAAUGGGUUAUGUUUUCUUACAUCUGAGAUAAAUUAUAUUGUCAUGGAUCAUCCAACAUGAUUGAGCUUGCUUUUCCCCCUCAUGCUAGCCAAAUUCUUUGCACCAAGUAGAGAUACUACUUGUGCUUCCAAACACCCCUAAACCAAUUUUUCCAUGAGUGUCCACCAUACCUACCUAUGGAUUGAGUAAGAUCCCUCAAGUAAGUUGUCAUCAGUGCAAGUAAUAAAAAUUGCCCUCUAAAUAUGUAUGACUUAUUAGUGUGGGAGAAAAUAAGCUUUAUAUGAUCGUAUGAUAUGGAAUAAAUAAAAGCGGCGGACUGCAUAAUAAAGGUCCAUAUCACAAGUGGCAAUAUAAAGUGACGUUCUUUCGCAUUAAGAUUUUGUGCAUCCAACCAUAAAAAUGCAUGACAACCUCUACAUCCCUCUGUGAAGGGCCUAUCUUUUUCUUUUAUCUCCUACCUUGCAUAAGAGUCAUGGUGAUCUUCACCCUUCCUUUGUACAUUUUAUCUUUUGGCAAGCACAACAUGUUGGAAAGAUCCUGGUAUAUCUGGCUAAUUGGAUGUGAAUUUUCAUGAACUAUUAUUGUUGACAUUACCCUUGAGGUAAAACGUUGGGAGGCAAAACUAUAAGCCCCUAUCUUUCUCUGUGUCCGAUUAAAACUCCAUACCCAUAAGUAUUGCGUGAGUGUUAGCAAUUGUGGAAGACUAUAUGAUAGUUGAGUAUGUGUACUUGCUGAAAAGCUCUUAUAUUGACUCUUUCCUAUGUUAUGAUAAAUUGCAAUUGCUCCAAUGACUGAGAUUAUAGUUUGUUAGUUUUCAAUGAAGUUUGUGAUUCAUACUUGAAAUUGUGAUUGAAUUGUUACUCUAGCAUAAGAGAUCAUAUGACAAGAAUUAUAUAAGUUGUUGUUUUAAGAAUGAUCAUAAUGCCCUCAUGUACGUAUUUUAUUUUUAUCGACACCUCUAUCUCUAAACAUGUGGACAUAUUUUUCGAUUUCGGCUUUCGCUUGAGGACAAGCGAGGUCUAAGCUUGGGGGAGUUGAUAUGUCCAUUUUGCAUCAUGCUUUUAUAUCCAUAUUUAUUGCAUUAUGGGCUGUUAUUACACAUUAUGUCACAAUACUUAUGCCUAUUCUCUCUUAUUUUACAUGGUUUACAUAAAGAGGGAGAAUGUCGGCAGCUGGGAUUCUGGGCUGGAAAAGGAGCAAAUAUUAGAGACCUAUAGUACACAGCUCCAAAAGUCCUGAAACUUCACGGAAGUCAUUUUUAGAAUAUAUAAAAAAUAUUGAGCGCAAGAAGUUCCAGAGGGGGCCCACACCCUGGCCACGAGGGUGGGGGCCAGCCCUACCCCCCUGGGUGCGCCCCCUGCCUCGUGGGCCACCUGGUGGCCCUCCGAUGCCCAUCUUCUGCUAUAUGGAGUCCUUCGAUGAGAAAAAAAUGAUAAGCAAGCUUUCGGGAUGAGACUCCGCCACCACUAGGCGGAACCUUGGCGGAACCAAUCUAGGGCUCUGGCGUAGCUAUUCUGCCGGGGAAACUUCCCUCUGGGAGGGGGAAAUCAUCGCCAUCGUCAUCACCAAUGAUCUUCUCAUUGGGAGGGGGUCAAUCUCUAAGUCUGGGAUUGGUACCCGUGGGUUGCUAGUAGUGUUGAUUACUCCUUGUAGUUUAUGCUAGUUGGUUUAUUUGGUGGAAGAUCAUAUGUUCAGAUCCUAUAUGCAUAUUAAUAUCCCUCUGGUUAUGAACAUGAAUAUGCUUUGUGAGUAGUUACGUUUGUUCCUGAGGACAUAGGAGAAGUCCUGCUAUUAGUAGUCAUGUGAAUUUGGUAUUCGUUCGAUAUUUUGAUGAGAUGUAUGUUAUCUCUCCUCUAGUGGUGUUAUCACUACAAAAAAAGACACAUCCGUGACAUUUUGGGCCGAACGAUAUUUUUUCUGUCAUACAUAUGACACUUCUAUGACGAUAAUUGUGACAAAACCCGGUAUCAUCAUAGAUGUGAUGGGAUCCUACGUCUAUGACAAAAAAUCAUGACAGAAAAUGGGCUUUUCGUCCGGGGCGGGCCAGAGACGCAGCUGCAUGACAUUCUUUGGGCCAUCCAUGAUGGAAAAAACCGUGGUAGAAGCGAGGGGGAGGAAAAUUUCGGGGAGUUCCCGGUUACGGUGGGAGGUCGGGGGCCGAGCGAUGCGCGUUUCUCUCGUACACGUACGCACGUGUGUGCGAGGCGUUGGCUCUAACUGAACCCGAGCGAUUGCACUGCAGGCUACGCAUUAUUGAACCCGAGCGAUCGAUCGAUGGAUGUUAACUGAACCCGAUCGAGCGAUUCCUUCGCUACUGCUGCUAAUUNNNNNNNNNNNNNNNNNNNNNNNNNNNNNNNNNNNNNNNNNNNNNNNNNNNNNNNNNNNNNNNNNNNNNNNNNNNNNNNNNNNNNNNNNNNNNNNNNNNNNNNNNNNNNNNNNNNNNNNNNNNNNNNNNNNNNNNNNNNNNNNNNNNNNNNNNNNNNNNNNNNNNNNNNNNNNNNNNNNNNNNNNNNNNNNNNNNNNNNNNNNNNNNNNNNNNNNNNNNNNNNNNNNNNNNNNNNNNNNNNNNNNNNNNNNNNNNNNNNNNNNNNNNNNNNNNNNNNNNNNNNNNNNNNNNNNNNNNNNNNNNNNNNNNNNNNNNNNNNNNNNNNNNNNNNNNNNNNNNNNNNNNNNNNNNNNNNNNNNNNNNNNNNNNNNNNNNNNNNNNNNNNNNNNNNNNNNNNNNNNNNNNNNNNNNNNNNNNNNNNNNNNNNNNNNNNNNNNNNNNNNNNNNNNNNNNNNNNNNNNNNNNNNNNNNNNNNNNNNNNNNNNNNNNNNNNNNNNNNNNNNNNNNNNNNNNNNNNNNNNNNNNNNNNNNNNNNNNNNNNNNNNNNNNNNNNNNNNNNNNNNNNNNNNNNNNNNNNNNNNNNNNNNNNNNNNNNNNNNNNNNNNNNNNNNNNNGUGGAGGGGUGCCCGUGGAGGGGUGGUUGAACUGGACCCCGUGGUGUGGAGGGCUGGAUGAACAGUAGACGGUGGAGGGGUGGUUGAACAGUAGCCGGUGGAGUAACGCGCGGUGGAGGCUGGAUGAACAGGAGCCCGUGGAGGCUGGAGGAGGUCGACGGUGGAGAUGAACAGUAUCCCGUGGAGUCCCGUUUUGCGGUACGCCACACCCCUCCCAGUAAACAGGACCCCCGUUUCGACCGUAGCGCUCCAACACAAGUCAGUUUCCUCCAUUUUGCGGUACGCCACACCCCUCCCGAUCAACAGGACCCCCGUUUCAACCGUAGGAGGUCCGUUUCCUCCGUUUUGCGGUACGCCACACCCCUCCCGAUGAACAUGAUCCCGUUUCGAACAUGGCCAGUCGAACACAAGGCCGUUUCCUCCAUUCUGCGGUACGCCAGGCCUCGUUUCCAUCGCCUAUUCCGUCCAAGCCCUCCCGAUGAACACAACGCAUUCCGUUGCCUCCCCAUGAACACGACGCAUUUUGUUGCCUCCCCAUGAACACGACACAUUUCGUUGCCUCCCCAUGAACACGACGACGACGCUGUUUCUCAGUUCCGACCCAGCCUUGUACAUGAGCCCUCGUCGUACGUAUGCGCGAGUAGGCAUUCGAGACCCCGCCCGUAUGUACACAUACGUGGCCGUAUUUUCUUUCUUGCACCCUGACCGCUGUACAUACGUGUACAUGCUACGUGCGCGCCUCUACUACGACACAUGCGCGCCUCGACAUCGACCAGUAUAUAUGUACGUACACGUUCGCGACCAGAAUGACAACGCUACGUACGCUUCGACCAGGUAGGUCCCGACUGCCAGGCACUUCCUUGCAUGCGAAGAUGUAGCUGGUGGGUCCCAGCAGUCAAGGCACUACUAGGGACAAGCCUAUACACAGAAUCUUACCAGCAGCGCGCUUUAAAAUCAGGCGCUGCUGCUAAGUAGCAGUAGCGCAGGUUUUUAACCCUCGCUACUACUAAGUUGAUAGCAGUAGCGCUGGUUUUUUAGCCUCGCUACUACUAAGCGGUCACUACCGUGCCCCUCGGGACAUGCCAUAGUAGUAGCGCGGGUUUUUAACCCUCGCUACUCCUAAGUUGAUAGCAAUAGCGUUGGUUUUUACCCCUCGCUACUACUAAGCUGUCUCUACCGUGCCCCUGGGCCAUGCCAUAGUAGUAGCGAGGGUUAUAAAACCGUGCUACUACUAAGUUUUUACCCCUCACUACUACUAAGAGGUCUCAACCGUGCCCCUCCGGGACAUGCCAUAGUAGUAGCGAGGGGUAAAAUCCCUCGCUACUACUAAAGGUGCCAUUUUGAAACUCUACCCCCCUGGAUCGCCUUUUGGGUUUUGUAAAAAGCAAAAGAAAAUGAUAAAAACUUCAAAAAUUAAAAUCCUUCUAGAUUUAGUUAUGUUACUACAUCUACUAGUUAGGAAAAUUUAAAAACUUAAAUUUGGACAUGUUUUGCAAAAAGUGUCGGGAAAAUGUAAAACGGCUAUAACUUUUGCAUACGAUGUUAGAAAAAAACGUAUAAUAUAUCAAAAUGUUUCAAAAAUUAAAAUCCUUUGAGAUGUAGUUAUGUUACUACAUCUACUAGUUAGGAAAAUUUAAAAACUUAAAUUUGGACAUGUUUUGCAAAAAGUGUAGGGGAAAUGUAAAACGGCUAUAACUUUUGCAUACAAUGUCAGAAAAAAACGUAUAAUAUAUCAAAAUGUUUAGCACGAAAAUCUGCAUACGAUGUAGACAGCUACGGCCUAUUUGCAAAUUUUUAGAAUCCUCAAAUUCUAAAAGGAAAAAAAAUUAUGCUCAAAUUUCAGUUUUUUUAAUUUUGGUCAAAUCUGGUCAAACUGUGGUCAAACUAAUUCAAGAAGUAUUAGUGUUACUAAAUAAUUAUUUCAGUUUUUGGAAUUUUGGUCAAAUCUGGUCAAACUGUGGUCAAACUUUGGUCAAAAUGUGGUCAAACUCCUUAUUCAAGAAAUAUUAGUGUUACUAAAUAAUUAUUGUUUUUUAGAACAAUUGUUUUAAACUCAAACAGCAAAAUGUGUGACUUCAUGCUCAAGCUAAACUCCCGAGGGUUAAUAGGAUUGACAUCUUACUAUUGUCAGGAAAGCAACAAGUGCAGACCUGGAAUCGAGGGAGAAUAGAACCCGGAAGUUAAGCGUGCUCAGGCUGGAGUGGUGAGAGGAUGGGUGACCGUCCGGGAAGUUAGAUGAUUUGGAAUGAUGAGGGGUGAUUAGAGAUAAAAUUGAGCAGCGAUGAGGGUGAUUAGAUAUUAGAGGUUAAAAUAAUUCAGAAAUUUGAAAAUUCGCGCAAAAAAUUCGAAAAAAAAUUCUGCGGGUUAGUAGUAGCAUGGGUUUUUAACCACACUACUACUAACGGACGUAGUAGUAGCGCGGGUGGCACCCGCGCUGCUGCUAUACGUUAGCUGUAGCGCCUUAUUAGUAGCGCCGGCCCACGCGCUGCUAAUAGGCCCAAAACCCGCGCUGCUGCUAGGCUCUUCCCUAGUAGUGAGGAGGGGAAUUGUUUUAUUUUGUUUUGCCCGGACGCACUUCCUUCCGUCCGAAGGUGUAGCUAGUGGGUCCCAGCAGUCAGGGGGGAAACGUUUUUUUCGUGAAAUACGGUGGCCCGUCUGGUGGUCCCCGCUGUUAGGUGGAGGAAUAAUUAUUUUGCACAUAAUAAGGAGGCACUUCCUUGCUGCGGCCGUGGACCCAGGUGUCAGCCACUCCACGUACAGUCCACGUCCGAUGGAAGUCGUUCCUUGACCACGUUGACCACGCUGCACCGAGAGCACCAGGGCAGUGGACGACGGCGAGGCCUAGGAAGGGGACGACGAGGAGCUAGGGAAGACGCGGCAGUGGAAGCCUGUGCGGAGAGGAGUACGAGGGUUCACUGGUUCGGCUACGGUGUGAGGCUGCCGUCACCGCAGGGCCUGGCCAGCGGUGGGAAUAGUAGGGGGCGGUGAGGCGUCCGCAGCAGCACAGCCGACCAUGGGAGGCAGGAGCAUGCGGCACGACCGGCGCAACUUUGGGCGGCUGGAGCAAGAAGACCAGAGGUUGAAGAAGCACUACGGCUGUUGGAUGGACAUCGUACAGUCACUGGAGCUAGAAUCGUUCAUAUUGAUUAAAGUUGACAAAGGCCCCCGUCCCAGUCAACUUAGUAGGCCCACAAGUCAGCCUCCCACCAUGGUGGGUCCCAGCUAGCAGGGGGGUAUUCAUUUUUUUGUGCGUAAUAAGGAGGCACUUCCGGUGGGUCCGAGCUGAUAGCGGGGGGGACGUUUUUUUCGCGAAAUACGCUGGCCCGUACGGUGGGUCUGAGCAGUCAGGGGGGAAACGUUUUUUCGCAAAAUAAGGUGGCCCGUCCGGUCAGUCCCUGUUGUAAGGUGGAGGAAUAAUUAUUUUGCGCGUAAUAAGAAGGCACUUCCUUGCGGCUGCAUGGACCCAGCUGUCAGCCUCUCCACGUACAGUACUCUUCCGAUGGAAGUCGGUCGUUAACCACGUUGACCACGCCGCGCCGAGAGCACUAGGGCGGUGGUCUGGACGAUGGCGAGGCCUAGGAAGGGGACGACGCGGAGCCGGGGAAGACGCAGCAGCGGAAGCCCGCGCGGAGAGGAGUACGAGGGUUCACUGGUUCGGCUGCGGUGUGAGGCUGCCGUCGCCGCAGAAUAACAGGGGGUGUGCGUGAGUGGAGGGAUGGCCUGGCCAGCGGUGGGGGUUGUAUGGGGGCGGUGAGGCCUCCGCGGCAGCACAGCCGGCCACGGGAGGCAGGAGCAGGUGGCACGACCGGCACUGCUUUAGGCGGCUGGACCAAGAAGACCAGAGGUUGAAGAAGCACUAAGGCCGUUGGAUGGACAUCGUACGGUCAUUGAAGCUAGAAACGUUUAUUAUUGACUAAGUUGACAAAGCCCUUGGUACGCUCCAACUUAGUAGGCCCACAGGUCAGCCUCCGAAACAGUGUGCCCCAGAUGUCAAGGAGAGGAAUCAUUUUUUGGGCGGCCGAAGCUAAGAAUAUCCGAGAUUGAAGAAGAAGCACGACAUCCGUUGGAUAGACAUCCAACGUCCACUGCUGCUAGAACCGUGUGUUGACUAUAAUAAGUUGGCAAAGCCUUGCAUACGCGUCAACUUAUUUUUUUAGGGGACACGUCACUUAGUAGGCCCACAAGUGUGUGGCAGAGAACUUAUAGCCCAUUUGCGUUUUUGUAAGAAUGUACAGCCCAUUUUGGAAUUCUAAUGGAAUUUACAACAGCCCAUUUACAGUUUGUUAAAAGUACAGCCCAUUUUCUAGCUAGGAAAAUGAUUAAUAAUUUCAACCAACCGUUGAAGACCGAAUUCAACAAAAUUUCCCACAUUUUGAUGGGCUCCAAAAUAUUUUUAUCCUGAAAUUUUUAGUCAGAUUAAAUAUAAAUUUGUAUUAGGUAAAAAUCCAAUGAAACAUUGCGCGCGCAACAAUGAAAAUUUAAGAUUUUCAAAAUCCAUAAAUAAUAUUUUAUAAACUAAUUUCGUGUUUGGUGCAUUUUUUAUAGUUACUGCCUAGUUUUUAUAAUUACAUCCCAUUUAUUAUUUUUUAAAGCCCAUUUUCCUGUUAAGCCUAAUGUAUCCCUCCUAGGAAAGAUUUGCAGCCCAGCGGGGUGGAGAAUAACAAGUUCACUUUGCCUCGGUAUUCCUCAAAAAGACGUAUAGCUGGGCUAGCCAUUUUCAUCUUGAAAAAAUUAGUAUCUGGGCUGGAUGUCUGGCCUGGGCUAGACGGGCCACAACCCGCCUAGUUAAUACCCUGCUCUCCUCUGAAAAACAACGAAAUCAUCGCCAAGAAAAACUCUGCAGUGCUCACGCUUCAAAAAGACAAAUACUGCUUGAGCUGCUUGGUCCCAGCUGUCGGCCGCACCUUGUGCAAUUCUCUCGUUUAUAUUGACUACAUAGGUUGACAAUGGUGUGGGACCGUGAUGUCAGGAAACCAGGAGAAAGCAAAAAACAUAUAGUUGUACAUAAUAAGGAGGCACUUGCGUACGUACGGCUAUGGCCCUAGUGGGUCCCUAGUGUCAUCCAGUCAAAAUAAAGUCAUCUCCUGAAUCCUCAUGUUCGUUGACGAUGUUAACAAUGCUCGGCGCCACGGCGAGCGCAACAACUCGAAGGACAACGGAGAGGGCCUCGCGGGCCCUACGGAUGGUCUGAUACAGCGCCCGCUACUCAUUCAGGAAGCCAGGAUCAUCGGACACCUAUGAGCACCUUCGAGAAACUGAGACGGCAUGAAACGGUAAGGCCGCGCUUGGGAGCUCUGGUUUAUUUCAAACCUGUAUUAACAUACAAGUGUAAUUUACUCAUCAUCGAAAACAACGCGUAAAAUAUAGGCGUAAUGAAACCGAGGGCCCGAGGUCCAUAAGUAAAACCGGCGGGUUACGCGUGUAAUUUGAGAGACCAGUGUAUUUUAUGAGCACUGCUAUAUGGACGACAUUACCAGACGAGUGUCACCUCCAGAAGGACCAACUCUACGACCUCGCCAACUCCAGCACGUACGCACCUAUCCCCUGCGGCUCCCCUGCCUGCACGGAGCUCGGUAGCAGCCACAGCAGUGGUUGCUCCGCCGGCUCCGACCAAUGCAAGUAUAUCCUCGACUACGGCGACGACAGGGUCACCGCCGGGACAUACAUCAGCGACACGCUGAACUUGUCGCCCACCAUCGCGGUCAAGGGCUUCCGGAUCGGGUGCAGCCACGCCGUGAGGGGCACCUUCAGUGACCAGACCGCCGGCGUCCUGGCCCUCGGCGGCGGCGCCGGGUCCCUCCUUGCACAGACCGCGGAGACCUUCGGCAACGCCUUCUCCUACUGUGUCCCGCACCCGAGCUCCGAUGGAUUCCUCUCGCUGGGCGGGCCGGUGGGGAAAUCGUCGCAGUUCGCGAGCACGCCUCUGAUCAAGAACCAACACGCUCCAACCUUCUACAUCGUCCGCCUAGAGGCAAUCACCGUGGCCGGGAGGCGGCUCGACAUGCCGCCGGCUACAUUCGCCGGUGGUGCGGUGAUGGACUCAGGGGCGGUCGUCACGCAGCUGCCACCGUCGGCAUACGCAGCGCUGCGGGCAGCGUUCAGGAGCGCCAUGACGGCGUAUGGCCCGCUUGCGGAUCCCGUACGCAACCUUGACAUGUGCUAUGACUUGACCCGCUUCCUCGAGGUCAAUGUCCCCAAGGUGUCCCUAGUGUUCGCAGGCUGUGCCACCUUGGAGCUCGAGCCGGCGUCCAUCAUGCUGGACGGUUGCCUGGCUUUCACGGCCUCCCCUGGCAGCCACGGCUCCAUCGGAUUCAUCGGCAACGUGCAGCAGCAGACCUACGAGGUUUUGUACGAUGUCGGCAGCGGGAGCGUGGGAUUCCGCAGUGGCGCGUGCUGAUGUGGCAAGCUGCAGGACAACCACGGCCAGUUGUACGUGUGAUGCAUGAUUGGCCCCCUAAUAUAUAUCUGGGGUCUACAAGCUAGCUUGCUCAUUGGGAUGGAGCUAGUUUGUGAGUAUAAAUAAAUGCAAGAAAGAAGAUUGAUGUAAUACUUAUAUAUGCAUGUAAUUUUAUAUAGUUCUAUAUAUGCAUGUAAUUUUGUUCAACGGUUGUAUGAUUGUAAACCUUAUAAUAUAACCUUACACAUUGUCAAGGAAUUCAACCGAUAUAAUUACUCUACUUAUUGAUGUGCAAUAAUGUAAUAUGACUAUUAAGAAGCAUUCUGAUUGUGGAGGUGGUUUCGCACUUUUUACUACAACAAAGGUGUUUGAAGGAUUCCUCGGCAGAAACUAGAACGCACUCCUUCAAUAAUUGACGAGCUAAUUGGUUGUUGAACUUCAGACAAAGAUUGUUGGGCAUGAAAGCGGUCACCAGCGGGUUGAUUGGCCUCACCAGCUCAUACGUGUUCAUGAGGCGUGGUUUUUUUCUUUUCUUGAUUAAUAGUAUUUGUUUCUGGAUGCUUGCAUUGUAAGAUUUGGAAGCGUUCCUACUCCUCGAUGAGGAGCCGCGUUGGUUUAUAUUGAACGAGGCAGAACAGCUCUGCCGUGGCUUACAAGAAGAGGAAACUGAUCACAAGGAUUCGGUUGUAAGGAGGACUCCUAAACAGCUACGCGAGGGAGAGAGAUAGAAUAGAGUUGAGAUUACAAUGCGGAGAUAAACGUGAACUCUAACACCCUCCCUUAAUCUCAACUAUUCUAUGUUUAGAUUCCUCUUGAACUCUUCAAAUGGUUUUGCUGGUAGUGCCUUGGUGAACCCAUCAGCCACUUGAUCUUUGGAAGGGAUGAACCAUAUCUCAAGUUUCUUUGCUACAACCCUUUCAGGCACAAAGUGAAAAUCAAUCUCUAUAUGCUUGGUUCUUGCAUGAAACACUGGGUUUGCAGACAAGUAUGUUGGUCCCAAAUUAUCACACCAUAAACAUGAGAUGCGAUUCUGCUUGCCCCCCAUUUCAUCCAGUAGUGAUUCAAUCUAAAUGAUUUCUGCAGUGGCAUUAGCUAAGGAUUUAUACUCAGCCUCUGUACUUGACCUUGAUACAGUGGCUUGUUUCCUAGCACUCCAAGAAACAAGAUUAGGCCCAAAGAACACUGCAAAGCCUCCAGUUGAUUUUCUAUCAUCACUGCAAUCUGCCCAAUCAGCAUCAGAGAAUGCACUCACAAUACUAGAAUUAGAGCGUCUGAAAUGCAGUCCUACUCCCAUAGUAUGUUUGACAUAUCUUACAAUUCUCUUAAUAGCUGUCCAAUGUGCAGUAGUGGGUGCAUGGAGAUAUUGACAAACUUUGUUAACAGCAAAUGAGAUAUCUGGGCGAGUAAGAGUCAAGUACUGUAAUGCUCCAACAAUACUUCUAUAAUUUGAGUUAUCUUCCUCGUGAAGUGGCUCACCUUCAUAUGUUGAAAGUUUCUCUGAGGAGGACAAAGGUGUAGGUACAGGCUUGCAGUUUUUCAUCCCCAUACGACAUAGAAGCUUAGUAACAUACUUCUCUUGUUUUAGUACUAUGCCAUCUUGAGUCUUCUUAACAUCAAUGCCUAGAAAGAAGUGCAAAUGUAACAUCCCAAAAUUCUAAAAUUUGGAAUGUUAUGUUAAAUAAUUAAUUAUGAUUGUUUGUUUGUUGUGUGAUUGAUUGUGUGAAAAUGAUUGGAAAUUGAAAACUUUUUGAAAGUUGAAUGAGAGGGAAUAAAAGGACUUUCCCAAAACUUUUCAUCUUGCAUUUUGAUCUUCCUGAAUUCAAAUUCAUUUCAUCACAAAACCCUAGAGUGAAGAUACUAUGCCUUCUUCCAUUUAAAGAAAUGAAAAAAGGGGUUUGAAAAUGAUUUGAAUUCCAUUUGAAACAUUUCGAAUUUAGCAACUUUAAGAGCAUCUCCAGCCGUUCGCCCCCCCAGGACGCAUAAAAAUCGCCCCUUGGGGGCGAGCCGGCGAUACAAUCGGCGCUGGGAGCGGUUUCGUGCCCAGUCGUUGCCCCCAGGCGCCGAUAUUGGCCCACUUAUCAUCCCCAUUUUGGCUUAUAAAGGGCCCAUAUGGGCGACAAUAGGCCCAUAUUCGGCAUGGUUUGCCGUUGUUCGGCGUUCAAUUAUGCACAUAAAUUUUUUUAUCACAUAUUUCAUCACAGAAAUAUCAAAUACUUCAACAAAAUAGUACAACAACAAAUAGUUCAAUACAAUUUAUAUAGUGCAACAAAUAAAAACUCAUAUUCCAUCACACGUCGCGCCCGAUGUCGCCCUUGAGCCUCCAUAGAUGCUCUAUCAGAUCUUGCUGCACUUGAUGAUGCACCUGUGGGUCUCGGAUCUCCUGACGCAUACUGAGAUAGGCAGUCCAGGUUGCCGAUAGCUGGUGAUCAACUUCGGCUAGAGGACCCUGCCUGUAGUCUGGUUCAGUGUCAAACACUGGGUCUUCUUGCUCGCUCUCGAUGAUCAUGUUGUGCAAGAUGACACAGCAAGUCAUAAUCUCCCACAUUUGAUCUUUCGACCAGGUCUGAGCGGGGUACCGGACAACAGCAAAUCGAGAUUGGAGCACACCAAAUGCCCUCUCGACAUCCUUCCUGCAAGCCUCCUGAACCUUCGCAAACCAGGCGUUCUUGCCUCCUGGCAUAGGGUUUGAGAUCGUCUUCACAAAUGUCGACCAUCUCGGAUAGAUGCCAUCAGCUAGAUAGUACCCCUUGUUGUAGUGCCGCCCAUUGAUCUCGAAGUUCACCGGAGGAGAAUGACCUUCAACAAGCUUGGCAAAGACAGGAGAGCACUGCAGCACGUUGAUGUCAUUGUGAGUUCCUGGCAUACCAAAGAAGGAGUGCCAAAUCCAGAGAUCCUGUGUGGCCACCGCCUCAAGUACCACACUGCAACCGUCUUUGGUGCCUUUGUACAUCCCCUGCCAAGCAAAUGGGCAAUUCUUCCAUUUCCAAUGCAUGCAGUCGACGCUUCCAAGCAUCCCAGGAAAUCCUCUUGCUGCAUUCUGUGCUAGGAUCCGAGAAGUGUCUUCCGCAUUGGGUGUUCUCCAGUACUGCGGUCCAAACACGGCCACCACUGUCCGACAGAACUUGUAGAAACACUCUAUGCUGGUGGACUCGGCCAUGCACCCAUAGUCGUCGAAUGAAUCACUGGGAGCUCUGUAUGCAAGCAUCCUCAUCGCUGUCAUGCAGUUCUGAAUGGAGGUGAAUCCAAGGGCGCCGGUGCAAUCCAUCUUGCACUUGAAGUAGUUGUCGAACUCCUGGAUGGAAUUCACAAUCCUGAGGAAGAGCUUUCGGCUCAUCCGAUAACGGCGCCGAAAUGUUUUCUCGCCGUGAAGUGGAGCAUCGGCGAAGUAGUCGGAGUAGAGCAUGCAGUAGCCUUCGAGACGAUGCUGGUUCAUUGCUUUCACCCGCCCCGGCGCCGAGCCACCUCGCUGCAGCUUUUCAUUGCUCGCCAGCAGCUGGGCGAGGGCAGCGAGCAACAUGAGAUGCUCUUCUUCAUGGACGUCGGCCUCGGCUUCCUCCUCCAGCAGCGCGGCGAGCGCUUCCUCGUCAUCCGAGUCCAUCGCCGAGGCAGGCAAAUCGCCGAACACCUUGCGCCCGGCGGGCGUGUACCCGCUGCUAAACUGCCCCUCCGCGGCCGGAAACGGCCAGCUACUGUUGGAGGGGCUGCCGCGGCGAAGCUCUGCUAUUUUUCUGGCGGGGAAUGGCUAUCUAGCGGUGAAGGCCGGCGGCAGGCGCCGGGAUAUAGCUAGUGGCGGCCGAGGGCGCGGGGGGUGGGAGGCGAGUCGGGGAAGAAAACCUUGACUUUUCCCCUGCCAGUGUGGGCUAGCCGCGCUUUUCCCUUGCGCCGGAGCUCCCAAUUUCCCCUAGUGCGCCGGGUUUGGCCUGUGACCGCCGAGCGGAAAAAGGGGCCGAACCGGCGAUUUUCGGCGUCCUGGGGGCGCGAGUGGGGCAUUUUUUUUGGCGCCGGCGGCGAAAAAGUGGCCUGGGGGCCUGUUGGGGGUGCGGCCGGAGAUGCUCUAAGCAAUUCAAUGAGUUCAUGAGGGAAGAUAAAAUGACUUCUUCAAAUUAAAGGAAGAGAGUUGGAAGUUUCAAAGAAUAAUUUGAAGACACUUUGAAGUUAUUUGAAAGUCAUUUUUCCAUUUGAAGUUGUUUGAAAUUCCAGAUAUCAAAUCCUCUUGGGAGUUAUUUAGUUUUAAUUCAAAUUAUUUUUCUCCUAAAAAUAAAUAGAUGGAAAUAAGGGUAAAAUGAUUCCCUUCAAUAGAAAAUUAGGAGAAAAUAUAUUUGAAAUCAUUUUGCUAUUUUAAAAAUGAUUUUUACUGAUUUUAAAUGCAAUAGUAGCACUGUUUGACUUUUAUGAAUAUUUAUGGAAUUUAGUUGAACUUGAAAAAUAAUUCAUCUUAUUGCUGCUAUUUUUCUGAGCAUUUUGGUAUAUAAUAUUCCUACGUAAUUUUUUAGUUAUUUUCCUAUGUUGAAGUUUUUUUUCUGCAAAAAAAACACGCGCCCGCCAGCCGGCCCACGGUCUACGGCCCAAGAGCCAGCCCGCACACCAAGCCGGCCCAGCAGCGCCCCAGGCCGCCCGAGGCCUUAUGCCUCGCUCGCCCACGCCCCUCUUCCCUUGCUCGCUCUCUCCCACCGCCGCUGCCAGUGGGGCCCGCAACCCUUCGUCCCUAACCUCCUGCUCCUCCCGUUGAGAUAGAGCACGCGUGUGCCGCCCGGAACUGCCGGCUGCUUCGCUCAGGAUAGAGCUCAUCCCCAGUCUCCGCAGCCUCUUCUCGCGCCUAUAAAUUCCUCCGACUCCCCUCGUUCGAUUCUGCCACUCCGCAAUGACCCACGCCACUCACAGCCACCGCCUUCGUCGUUUGGAUCUCGCCCGCCGGAGCUACCUGGCCGGUCCGUUCCCCCAUCCGUAGGACUGCCACGACCCGUUCUUCUUUGUCAAUUGACUCCCCGCGUCGAGGCGCAUCUGAUUGACAAAAUUUUGUCGCCUUGGUCGUACCAGAGACGACGCACCGACACGCCGCGCUCUCGCCGGAGCACCGGAGCUCCACCGCCUCCCUCUGCUCAUCGCUGGCCACCCCACCGCCCGCCGACCCCACCAGCACGCCGCCCACGCCGCGCCCGACCUCCUCGACCCCUUCAUCGCCGUUGCCCGCUGAGGACCGCCGGAGACGCCGUCGUGUCCGCCGUCCGCCGCCUGACGCCAGCGCCGCCGCCCCUGUUCGCCGUCCUCGCUCGCUGUGAGCCACUGACCCUCAGUCAUUUUUGUUGUUGUUGUUGUUGUAUUAGAUCGGGUAACCGUGGUUUUAUUAAAUCGAGCAGUUUAGUAAAAAAACCGGUCUCCGGUUUUCUUUUUAUUUAGCCGCGGUAGCCGUUUUAUUUAUUCAGUGGCCGUCUGCCGUUUAGCCUGAGCCGCGAACGCUUCUCAGUCACCCGGAAGCCGCCACGUGGCAAGGGACCUGGUCACGAAUAAAACUUUCACAAUUAAGUCCCUGAGAUUUCAGUUUAGCCUCUAAACUUCGAAUGGUUAUAUCUUUUUAACCGUAACUGCAAAUUCGACGAAACCAGCGGCAAAAUGUUCGUGUCGAAUAGUUUUAUCAGGAGAACCAACUUUGGAAACUUUUGGCCAAAUUCAAACUUGAACUUUAUUCAGAUUUGAAUUCAAACAUCAAAUGGCCAUAUCUCUUAAACCGUAGCUCCGAUUGGUGUGAUUCUUUUUGCAACGUGUCAUCGUAGCCAAACCCUACCACCUAGACCUUGUCACAAUCUGUCUAUGAUAGUUUUACUUUUAUGCCAUGCAUGCACUUUAGUACACAUCACAGUUUUGAACCCCAUGUCACAAGUUGUUUUGCACUUAGGAUAUUUCUAUGCUAGUUAACUGUGUUGAAUGUUCAUUUGGUUUUUCUGAGACUUUGUGCUUUGCAUGUUCUUCUUGGUUCUCUGAAACGAUUGCUGAGAGUGACGAAUAGUUCUAUGAAGUAAAUUUCUGAGAGUGGUAUAAUCUUCAUCAACUAUUACCAGGCAAGUUCACAUUUGACCAUUUUUCCAAUUACCUAUGUUUAUAUUAUGCACUUAGUCCUUUUGUGGUAGGAUUGCAUGGUAGGAUUUAUUGUUGCCAGAUGGCUAUGCCGCUACCUAGUAGUUCAUUUGAGGUAGGUAUGAUCUAUACAUCCUUGUCACCACCGUCUAAGUUUAUUUUUGCCUCUCUAAAUGUAGACGUGGUUUGGGAAGCGAACAUGGCGAGACAUGAGUGACAAAGUAGUAAUCAGGACUAAGACUUGUAAAUGAACUACCUGGGCGGUAUUUGGUUUGAAUGGUGGCCAAGUACAGUGGGAGCAUGCAUGGUUAAUCCAUGGUGGUGCACCACUAGUGGUUGGCCGCUCAGGCUCAAAGAGAUGAAUCGUAUUCUCAUGUCUAGAAGCUUAUGUGUGGAGCCACAAGCCAAUAUGGACUCUGGCUUAGUUGAGUAGUUAGUGUGACCCCUUCCGGGAUGGUCUAGUAGAUGUAGAAUGAUGUAGGUGUACCGGCCUAUCCGUGGGUUAAGGGGGCACAUUUUCGAAAGACUAUGUCUCGGUCAUCCUGUUCUCAAACGCCAGGCAGUGCGAGAACUCCAGGGGAGGCGAUCGAGUCUUGUGGGGAAAAGUGCGCAAACCUCUGCAGAGUGUUAAAACCUAAUCGAUUAGCCGUGUCACCGGUUACGGACAACUUGAGAAUCUAGUAGUGGAAAUGCUGGGAGAUCUCAUCACUCUUAAUUAAACAGUUGGGUUUUAAAUGAAACUUUGGGAAUGGAUUGAGUUGGGUUUGCCAACUCAUCCUAUGCUAUACUGUAGUAAUAGACUAAUAUCUUUUAUUCUAGGGAAAAACUAGCUUUAUGCAAAAACUAAACUUAGGGCUUUCCACCAGCCAAAUUGCAUGUACAAAUAGGUUCAUUAUUCUUAUGAUGUGACUUACCAAUACAUUCAAUGUACUGACCUACAGGGCUGCAACGUCUUAUGUUGCAGGAAUUUCUACGACGAGUAAGAAUUACGUUGUAGGGUUACGGUCUACAUUCAACUUGCCGUUGGCGUUGAUGGGACUCCGCACCCAUUCGAUUGUUUCCGCUGAGAUUUAUGAGGUAUAUAUCAGUUUUACGUUAUUUAUACAUGUGAUUGAACUUUGAUAUAUACAUUGAUGUACUAUGUGUGCCAGCAUACCGAUCCUGGGAUGGCACGGAUACACAGAUGCUUGACCGUUUGAGGUCGGGUUGCUACAGCAAAUCACCUAGAUCUUUCAAGGCAAACUCUGAGCUCAAAUCAUGCAGAAUGGCAUUAGUAGCACUUUGUGAUGAACUUGCAACUAUGAUGCAUCCACAUAUAUGAGAACAAAGAUAACUACUUUUCCCUUGUUAUAAAUGAACAAAGAUGUAUCAGCUUUGGAAGCACUAAAACCAAGACAUUUCAAUUGAGAGCUCAACCUGGAGUACCAUGCUUUAGGUGCUUGUUUCAAGCUAUAGAGUGCUUUGUCAAGCUUGCACACAUAAUGUGGUGUUUUCUUACUCUCAUAUCCUGGUGGUUGUCUCAUGAAUACGUCCUCUUCCAGAACACCAUGUAAAAACGCGUUCUGUACAUCUAGCUAUCUCAAGCUCCAUCCCUUGGAUACAGCAAUAGCUAACACAAAUCUUAUAGUUGCAGCUUUUACAACCGGACUAAAGGUAUCCUCAUAGUCUAUGCCAUAGCGUUGUUUAAAGCCCUUUGCAACUAGACGUGCCUUAUAUUUGUCAAUGGAGCCAUCUGCUUUCUUUUUAAUUCUAUACACCCACUUGCAAUCAAUAAUAUUUUUACCUCUCUGAUCAGGCACAAGAUGCCAAGUUUUGUUCCUCAUAAGUGCAGAAUAUUCCUCAUCCAUUGCUUUCUUCCUUUUAGGGUCACCAAGUGCAUCAUUUAGUGGCAUUGGUUCCCCUGAAAUACAUAGCAUGCCAUACCGUAUAGUACCAUCAGUUCGUAUUUUGGGAUUAUGGAUACCUUUUUGUAACCUGGUCAUAACUCGCAAGGGAGCUUCUUGUUGCAUGUGUACAGGAACAGGAUCCAUUAGCGCAGAAGAUCCGCCUCUUGCUACUGAAUCUGCUGGUGAUGCAGAAGAUCCAUCGGACACCGGCGCAGAAGAUCCAGUGGACCUUGGUGUGGCCCCCUGCCACUGGACGCCCAGGAAACCACAAGGCUUGCAAGCAUACACGAUCCGCUGCCAGGUUGCAUGCGCGCGGGACACGAGGAGGAGCCGACCACGCGACUGGUCCCACUGGGCCCACUGUCGGGUGACGCAUCGGCGUGGGAGUGGCCCUCCCAGGAAUCUCGGCCACUGCCGCCUUGUACGCGAUCCAAGAAAGAUCUGUGUGCAUGAUCCGAGGCCUACAAGAGCGCAGGAGUACCAAGGAAUUCAACUGAUAUGAUUACUCUACUUAUUGAUAUGCAAUAAUGUAAUAUGACUAUUAAGAAGCAUUCUGACUGUGGAGGUGGUUUCACACUUCUUACUACAACAAAGCUGAUUGAAGGAUUCCUCGGCAGAAACUAGAACGCGCACCUUCAAUAAUUGACGAGAUAAUUGGUUGUUGAACUUCAUGUUGAAGAUAUCUCAUGUAGGCCCAGGACGGCGCAUAUAGUUAGUUGAGGAGUUGGUUAGCUUAGAGAUAGACUAUCAUCUAAUUAAACUUUUGUAUCUCUAUCUCCUAAUCUCUUGUACUCCAAGUUAUGUAUGCCUACAUGGGAUAAGCCUCAUCUCAAUCAAUAAAUACCCGUGGCCCUCUCUCGUGGAGGGUAGAACGCUUCCGAUAUAUUUCCUAUAUGGUCAUCAGAGCUUUCUCUUCCUUCUCGUCCAAAAACCAGAAAACCUAGAUUGCCGUCCUUCCCACCAUGUUGUCCUCCUCCAACCCCCCGACUCUCUCUGGUCUUGGUUCCCAAAUCAGCGAGAAGCUCACCCCCGAGAACUACCUGCUGUGGAAGGCACAUAUCCUCGAGCACUUCCUUGGUGCCGGGCUCUAUGGCUAUCUGGACGACACUAUCGUCGAACCAGAGAAGCUCAUGGUCGCGAAGGACAAGGAUGGAAAGGAUCAAGCGGUCCCCAAUCUGGCGCAUGAUGCUUGGGUGCGGCAGGACCAACAGGUCCUUGGCCACAUCAUCAACAAUCUCUCGAAGGAGGUGCUGGUCUCGGUCGUCUCCAUUGGCGUGAGCUCUCUGGACAUCGAUGCGUAACAUGUUUGCCUCACAAUCUCAUUACCGCAUUAAUAAUCUCUGGAUUUCCCUGUCCAGUGCCCAAAAGGGCAAUCAGCGUCGGCAUACUUUGCUCGGAUGCGUAGAUAUGCUGAUGAACUUGCUGCUACCGGGAGACCUCUGCAAGAGGCUGAGCUCAUCUCCUUCCUCCUGGCUGGGCUGGACCUCGACUACAACCCCCUUAUCUCAGCCCUCGACGCCCGGACGGGGCCUAUCACCAUCGAUGACCUGUACUCACAGGUCUACAACUUCGAUCAGUGGGUGUUGCUGCUCACGGGAGGCGUGGGCUUCAAGUCCUGUGCGAACUUUGCCCAGCAUGGUGGGCCACCUCCAUCUCGAGGCUUUGGAAAGCCGAGGGAUCAGAAGAAGCAAGGUGGUGGCGGCGGCUACAAGAAGAAACAAGGUGGCGGUGGGCAUCCCUACUACAUCAACACCAAGGGAGCUCGCUCUGGUGCCCCUGGAGGGCCAGGAGGUCUAGGAGGCCCCGGUAGUCCUCCACCCGCCAACAACCACAAGGGGAACGACCCCAUCCAGUGCCAGAUAUGCAUCAAGUUCGGGCAUAGCGCCAAGGACUGCUGGUAUCAUUUUGAUGAUGAUGCCCUUGAAUAAAAAGUUGUUGCUGCCACCCAGUAUGGGGUGGAUACAAAGUGGUAUGUUGACAGCGGUGCAACCGGUCAUCUCAUCGGCGAACUAGAGAAGUUGACAGUCCGCGACAAGUAUCGUGGGCAGGGUGAAAUCCAUGGCGCAAACGGAUCAAGUAUGAGGAUAGAUAAUGUUGGUAAUUCAGUUUUUCAAACCCCUAGCCGUCCCAUCCAUCUUAAAAGAAUUUUACAUUAUCCUCAUUCCCAAACCAAUCUUCUUUCUGUACAUCGUAUUGCCUUGGAAAAUCAAGUAUUUCUUGAAUUUCACCCCUUCUACUUUUCAAUCAAGGACUAGGCAACGAGGAGAAUCCUCUACAUAUGUAGAUGCGUUGGCGGGCUCUAUCCAUUGAUUCCUCGCUUUAGGAGUUCAAAUAAACAAGUUCUUGGUCUCACCAAAUUAUCUUCGGCAAGGUGGCACGAUCGAUUUGGGCAUCCUUCUUUUGCUAUAGUUCAACGAGUGCUUAGGAAAAAUAAGCUCCCUUUUGUUGGUGAGCCUAGUAGUGAAAAAAAAUUGUGAUUCAUGUCAACGAGCAAAAAGUCAUUAACUCCCUUACCCUGUGUCAACUAGUGUUUCUUCCAAAGCAUUAGAACUAUUUUUUUCUGAUGUAUGGGGCAAGCAGCUCUUUCUGUUGGGAGACACAAGUAUUAUGUAAACUUUAUUGAUGAUUAUAGUAAGCAUACUUCGAUCUACCUUAUCAAGCAUAAAUCUGAUGUGUUUCAAGUAUUCCAAAAUUUCCAAGCACUUGUUGAACGAAAAUUCUCUAGCAAAAUAAUCUCUGUCCAAUCGGACUGGGGUGGCGAGUAUGAAAAAUUAAACUCGUUCUUUCAAAAACUGGGAAUUUCCCAUCAUGUCUCUUGUCCCCAUGCGCACCAACAGAAUGGCUCUGCAGAACGCAAGCAUGGACAUAUUGUCAAAGUUGGUAUUUCUCCUUGCUAAUGCAUCCAUUCCAUCGAAGUUUUGGGAUGAAGCAUUCAUCACUGCUACACAUCUCAUUAAUAUGUUGCUAAGCAGGGUUAUCAAUUUUGAAACACCCACCGUGUUGGGGAACGCAGUAUUUUAAAAAAAAUCCUAUGAUCACGCAAGAUUUAUCUAGCAGAUGCAUAGCAACGAGAGGGGAGAGUGUGUCCACGUAUCCUCGUAGACCGAAAGCGGAGGCGUUUAGUAACGCGGUUGAUAUAGUCGAACGUCUUCGCGAUCCAACCGAUCAAGUACCGAACGCACAAUACCUCCGUGAUCUGCACACGUUCAGCUCGGUGAGGUCCCUCGUACUCUUGAUCUAGUUGAGGCCGAGGGUGAGUUGCGUCAGUAUGAUGGUGUGUUGAUGGUUAUGAUGAAGUUACCAACGCAAGGAUUCGCCUAAGCACUACGACAAUAUGACCAAGGUGGAAAACUGUGGAGGGGGCACCGCAACGGUUAAAGAUCAACUUGUGUGUCUAUGAGGUGCCCCCCUCCCCCGUAUAUAAAGGAGGGGAGGAGGAGGAGGACCAGCCUCAAGGGGCGCGCCCAAGGGGGGGAUUCCUACUCCUAGUAGGAGUAGGUUUCCCCUUUCCUAGUCCAAGUAGGAGAAGAAGGAAGGAGAGGAAGAAGAGAAGGAAAGGGGGGCCGGCCCCCUUAGCCCUAGUCCAAUUCGGUUUGGGCUACGGGAGGUGCGCGCCACCUCUUGUCCUACCUCCUCUCUUCCACCACUAGGCCCAUAAGGCCCAAUAACUUCCUGACGGGGGUUUCGGUAACCCCCGGUACUCCGAAACUUAUCCGAAACAACCCGAACCAUCCCAGUGUCCAAAUGUAACCUUCCAAUAUAUGAAUCUUUAUGUCUCGACCAUUUCGAGACUCCUCGUCAUGUCCAUCAUCUCAUCUGGGACUCCGAAAAACCUUCGGUACAUCAAAUCACAUAACUCAUAACACAUAUCGUCAUCGAACGUUAAGCAUACGGACCCUACGGAUUCGAGAACUAUGUAGACAUGACCGAGACUCAUCUCCGAUCAAUAACCAAUAGCGGAACCUAGAUGCUCAUAUUGGUUCCUACAUAUUCUACGAAGAUCUUUAUCGGUCAAACCGCAUAACAACAUACGUUGUUGCCUUUGUCAUCGGUAUGUUACUUGCCCGAGAUUCGAUCGUCAGUAUCAUCAUACCUAGUUCAAUCUUGUUACCGACAAGUCUCUUUACUCGUUCCGUAAUGCUCAUCCCGUGACUAACUCAUUAGUCACAUUGCUUGCAACGCUCAUAGUGAUGUGCAUUACCGAGAGGGGCCAGAUAUACCUCUCCGAUACACAGAGUGACAAAUGCUAAUCUCUAUCUAUGCCAACUCAACAAACACCAUCGGAGACACCUGUAGAGCAUCUUUAUAAUCACCCAGUUACGUUGUGACGUUUGAUAGGACACAAGGUGUUCCUGCGGUAUUUCGGACUAGCAUAAUCUCAUAGUCUGAGGACCAUGUAUAAGUCAUGAAAAAAAUAAUAGCAAUAAACUAAAUGAUCAUACUGCUAAGCUAAUAGAUAGGUCUUGUCCAUCACAUCUAUACGGUUUUUUCUUUUCUUGAUUAAUACUCCCUCCGUCCCAUAAUAUAAGACAUUUUUUGACAUUACACUAGAGUCAAAAAACGUCUUACAUUAUAGGACGGAGGGAGUAGUAUUUGUUUUAGGAUACUUGCAGGUGUUGGAAGAGAACUACUAGGUUGUUGUCCAAGUCGCUGCUCACAAAUGUGUGACGCCCGCCCCCAUGCGUGAGCCAGCGCAACCAGAGGCGGCGGACUACCAACGAAACCUAACAAAUUAACUGGCCACAUGUGCCAGACGGUUCCCACGGGUGCGAUGCCUGCCCCCACCUGCAAGCCAGAGGUCGGCCCUACGCAUGAGCCGGCAUAGGUGUACAUGACGCACGCACUAUCUGUUGUGAUCGGACCAGCUCGGCGCAUUGCCAGCGGAUGCCGACGGCAAAAUUUAAUGUUUUGACCCUUUUCUGAAACCUAUUAAAGAUCUGACCCUAGGCAGCAGAAGACAUCCUUCAAAUUGAUCACAAUCUUCUUACCCCAACUGAGAUCGAGGCUUUCAAGAUGAUUGAGUUAUCCCGUAUACAAAACAAGUAUGUCACACGUGAAAAUAUUUUGUUGAAGGAGCAUAUCAUUGCACUCAAGGGCAUUAUCCGCAAGUUGGAGGACGUCCUACGCUCGAUGUGCGACUAUCCAUCAUCAACAACUCCACCUUAUUCACAAACAAAGAAGAACUGAGUAUCUGGUAUGGGCACUCCACUUGGCAACUGCCAAGCUUGGGGGAGUGCCCCGGUAUCGUAUCACCAUCACUUCUAUCUUUACCGUUUUCCUUAGUUCGAUCCUUUUGAUAAUAUUUUGAUCUAGUAGAAUAAAACUUUUUAGUAUGAUCUAGUUGUGAGUUUUGCUUUAUGAUCCUUCUAUGUAAUCGAGUCCGUGAGCUAUAUAUAAUAAAGAUUAGUGUUGAGUCAAGGACUUGAUUAUUUUGCCAUAAUCUUGAGUGAAUAAAAGAAAAGAGAAGAAAUAAAAAGAAACAAAGAGAUCAUAUGGAUCUUAUGGAGAGUAAUGAGCUCACAUAGAAAGAGUAUGAUGAAUAAAAGUUGUUGAGAGUUGACAAACAUAGUUUCGGUCAUCGUUGCAAUUAAUAGGAAGUAAUAAAGAAAGAGAGGUCUUCACAUAUAAAUACACUAUCUUGGACAUCUUUUAUGAUUGUGAGCACUCAUUAAAAUAUGACAUGCUAAAGAGUUGACGUUGGACAAGGAAGACAACGUAAUGGGUUAUGUUUUCUUACAUCUGAGAUAAAUUAUAUUGUCAAGGAUCAUCCAACAUGAUUGAGCUUGCUUUUCCCCCUCACGCUAGCCAAAUUCUUUGCACCAAGUAGAGAUACUACUUGUGCUUCCAAACACCCUUAAACCAGUUUUGCCAUGAGUGUCCACCAUACCUACCUAUGGAUUGAGUAAGAUCCCUCAAGUAAGUUGUCAUCGGUGCAAGCAAUAAAAAUUGCCCUCUAAAUAUGUAUGACUUAUUAGUGUGGGAGAAAAUAAGCUUUAUACGAUCGUAUGAUAUGGAAGGAAUAAAAGCGACGGACUGCAUAAUAAUGGUCCAUAUCACAAGUGGCAAUAUAAAGUGACGUUCUUUCGCAUUAAGAUUUUGUGCAUCCAACCAUAAAAAUGCAUGACAACCUCUACAUCCCUCUGUGAAGGGCCUAUCUUUUUCUUUUAUCUCCUACCUUGCAUAAGAGUCAUGGUGAUCUUCACCCUUCCUUUUUACAUUUUAUCUUUUGGCAAGCACAACAUGUUGGAAAGAUCCUAGUAUAUAUGGAUAAUUGGAUGUGAAUUUUCAUGAACUAUUAUUGUUGACAUUACCCUUGAGGUAAAACGUUGGGAGGCAAAACUGUAAGCCCCUAUCUUUCUCUGUGUCCGAUUAAAACUCCAUACCCAUAAGUAUUGCGUGAGUGUUAGCAAUUGUGGAAGACUAUAUGAUAGUUGAGUAUGUUUACUUGCUGAAAAGCUCUUAUAUUGACUCUUUCCUAUGUUAUGAUAAAUUGCAAUUGCUCCAAUGACUGAGAUUAUAGUUUGUUAGUUUUCAAUGAAGUUUGUGAUUCAUACUUGAAAUUGUGAUUGAAUUGUUACUCUAGCAUAAGAGAUCAUAUGACAAGAAUUAUAUAAGUUGUUGUUUUAAGAAUGAUCAUAAUGCCCUCAUGUACGUAUUUUAUUUUUAUCGACACCUCUAUCUCUAAACAUGUGGACAUAUUUUUCGAUUUCGGCUUUCGCUUGAGGACAAGCGAGGUCUAAGCUUGGGGGAGUUGAUAUGUCCAUUUUGCAUCAUGCUUUUAUAUUGAUAUUUAUUGCAUUAUGGGAUGUUAUUACACAUUAUGUCACAAUACUUAUGCCUUUUCUCUUUUAUUUUACAUGGUUUACAUAAAGAGGGAGAAUGCCGGCAGCUGGGAUUCUGGGCUGGAAAAGGAGCAAAUAUUAGAGACCUAUAGUACACAGCUCCAAAAGUCCUGAAACAUCACGGAAGUUCCAGAGGGAGGCCACACCCUGGCCACGAGGGUGGGGGCCAGCCUUACCCCCUGGGUGCGCCCCCUGCCUCGUGGGCCACCUGGUGGCCCUCCGAUGCCCAUCUUCUGCUAUAUGGAGUCCUUCGAUGAGAAAAAAAUGAUAAGCAAGCUUUCGGGAUGAGACUCCGCCGCCACUAGGCAGAACCUUGGCGGAAUCAAUCUAGGGCUCUGGCAUAGAUAUUCUGCCGGGGAAAGUUCCCUCUAGGAGGGGGAAAUCAUCGCCAUCGUCAUCACCAACGAUCCUCUCACUGGGAGGGGGUCAAUCUCCAUCAACAUCUUCACCAGCACCAUCUCCUCUCAAAACCUAGUUCAUCUCUUGUAUCCAAUUCUUGUCUCUAAGUCUGGGAUUGGUACCCGUGGGUUGCUAGUAGUGUUGAUUACUCCUUGUAGUUUAUGCUAGUUAGUUUAUUUGGUGAAGAUCAUAUGUUCAGAUCCUAUAUGCAUAUUAAUACCCCUCUGAAUAUGAACAUGAAUAUGCUUUGUGAGUAGUUACGUUUGUUCGUGAGGACAUAGGAGAAGUUCUGCUAUUAGUAGUCAUGUGAAUUUGGUAUUCGUUCGAUAUUUUGAUGAGAUGUAUGUUAUCUCUCCUCUAGUGGUGUUAUCACUACAAAAAAAACAAACAUCCGUGACAUUUUGGGCCGAAUGAAAAAAAUUUCUGUCAUACAUAUGACACUUCUAUGACGAUAAUUGUGACAAAACCCGGUAUCAUCAUAGAUGUGGUGGGAUCCUACUUCUAUAACAAUAAAUCUUGACAGAAAAUGGGUUUUCCUCCUGGGCAGGCCAGAGACGCAGCUGCAUGACAUUCUUUGGGCCGUCCAUGACGGAAAAAACUGUGGUAGAAGCGAGGGGGAGGAAAAUUUCGGGGAGUUCCCGGUUACGGUGGGAGGUCGGGGGCCGAGCGAUGCGCAUUUCUCUCGUACACGUACGCACGUGUGUGCGAGGCGUUGGCUCUAACUGAACCCGAGCGAUUGCACUGCAGGCUACGCGUUACUGAACCCGAGCGAUCGAUCGAUGGCUGUUAACUGAACCCGAUCGAGCGAUUCCUUCGCUACUGCUGCUAACUGAAUCCGAUCGAUGGGAUGAAUAGUGAGCGUUGCAGGGAGGGUUGGAUGAACAGUGAGCGGUGGCGUUGCCUCUGGAUGAACAGGACCCCGUGGUGUGGUGGAGGGCUGGAUGAACAGUAGAUGGUGGAGGGGUGCCCGUGGAGGGGUGAUGAACAGGACCAAGUGGUGUGGAGGGCUGGAUGAACAGUAGACGGUGGANNNNNNNNNNNNNNNNNNNNNNNNNNNNNNNNNNNNNNNNNNNNNNNNNNNNNNNNNNNNNNNNNNNNNNNNNNNNNNNNNNNNNNNNNNNNNNNNNNNNNNNNNNNNNNNNNNNNNNNNNNNNNNNNNNNNNNNNNNNNNNNNNNNNNNNNNNNNNNNNNNNNNNNNNNNNNNNNNNNNNNNNNNNNNNNNNNNNNNNNNNNNNNNNNNNNNNNNNNNNNNNNNNNNNNNNNNNNNNNNNNNNNNNNNNNNNNNNNNNNNNNNNNNNNNNNNNNNNNNNNNNNNNNNNNNNGGAUGAACAGGAGCCCAUGGAGGCUGGAGGAGGUCGACGGUGGAGAUGAACAGUAUACCGUGGUGUCCCGUUUUGCGGUACGCCACACCCCUCCCGGUAAACAGGACCCCCGUUUCGACCGUAGCGCUCCAACACAAGUCAGUUUCCUCCAUUUUGCGGUACGCCACACCCCUCCCGAUCAACAGGACCCCCGUUUCAACCGUAGGAGGUCCGUUUCCUCCGUUUUGCGGUAUGCCACACCCUCCCGAUCAACAGGACCCCCGUUUCGACCGUAGGAGGUCUGUUUCCUCCGUUUUGCGGUACGCCACACCCCUCCCGAUGAACAGGAUCCCGUUUCGAACGUGGCCGGUUGAACACAAGGCCGUUUCCUCCAUUCUGUGGUACGCCAGGCCUCGUUUCCAUCGCCUAUUCCGUCCAAGCCCUCCCGAUGAACACAACGCAUUCCGUUGCCUCCCCAUGAACACGACGCAUUUCGUUGCCUCCCCAUGAACAUGACACAUUCCGUUGCCUCCCCAUGAACACGACGACGACGCUGUUUCUCCGUUCCGACCCAGCCUUGUACAUGAGCCCUCGUCGUACGUAUGCGCGAGUAGGCGUUCGAGACCCCACCCGUAUGUACACAUACGUGGCCGUAUUUUCUUUCUUGCACCCUGACCGCUGUACGUACGUGUACAUGCUAUGUGCGCGCCUCUACUACGACACAUGCGCGCCUCUACAUCGACCAGUAUAUAUGUACGUACACGUUCGCGACCAGAAUGACAACUCUACGUACGCUUCGACCAGGUAGGUCCCGACUGUCAGGCACUUCCUUGCGUGCGAAGAUGUAGCUGGUGGGUCCCAGCAGUCAAGGCACUACUAGGGAAAAGCCUAUACACAGAAUCUUACCAGCAGCGCGCUUUAAAAUCAGGCGCUGCUGCUAAGUAGCAGUAGCGCGGGUUUUUAACCCUCGCUACUACUAAGUUGAUAGAAGUAGCGCUGGUUUUUGACCCUCGCUACUACUAAGCGGUCUCUACCGUGCCCCCCGGGACAUGCCAUAGUAGUAGCACGGGUUUUUAACCCUGGCUACUACUAAGUUGAUAGCAGUAGCGCUGGUUUUUACCCCUCGCUACUACUAAGCGGUCUCUACCGUGCCCCUGGGCCAUGCCAUAGUAGUAGCGAGGGUUAUAAACCCGUGCUACUACUAAGUUUUUACCCCUUGCUACUACUGAGGGGCCUCAACCGUGCCCCUCCGGGACAUGCCAUAGUAGUAGCGAGGGGUAAAAUCCCUCGCUACUACUAAAGGUCCCAUUUUAAAACUCUACCCCCCCCCCUCGGUGGAUCGCCUUUUCGGUAUUGUAAAAAGCAAUAGAAAAUGAUAAAAACUUCAAAAAUUAAAAUCAUUCGAGAUGUAAUUAUGUUACUACAUAUACUAGUUAGGAAAAUUUAAAAACUUAAGUUUGGACAUGUUUUGCAAAAAGUGUAGGGAAAAUGUAAAACGGCUAUAACUUUUGCAUACGAUGUUAGAAAAAAACGUAUAAUAUAUCAAAAUGUUUCAAAAAUUAAAAUUGUAUGGCCCAGGCCCGGGGGCUCCUGUCGGUGUACUAGAGUAGGGGUACCCUAGUAUCCCGAACUUGUGCACGGGCAGUCGCAGCAUCCCGCGGCAAGGCUUGCCGGGUGACCGCCAAGAUCCUCCGUGGUUCCUUUGGAGCCAUUCAAGAACAAAGUGUCCAAGUCAAGAAGACAAGACCCCGGCAAGAGGAGCUUGCCGGGAAGACCACUUAAGGCAUUUCAAGGAACUUGCCGCGGUGCACCACGUGUUCCGGCAAGACCCGGUGAGCGACAAGCUCCCGGACGCGACAAGACAACGACCGCGGCAAGGCGCUUGCCGCGGCAAGCCACCUCUGCGCGCCCGCGCUCCAGCACAUCCACCAACGUGUCGCUCUGGGGCCCUUCCAGGCGUAUGUGGCGGAAGGCUGUGCAGCUAGGGACGUGCGGUGGCAAGCGGCGCUGACAAGAUCACCAUCGUGGCGAACGGUGGCGUCCCUGGCGGUCCCUUUUCGCACUGUUUAGGCGACACAGACGGGCAUUUAAGACCCUUGUCCCCUGCCGUCAGGGUUAGGUAUGAUACACUGUAGCAGGUAGCUGUGCCUACCACAGCAUCUUUCCAUUUUUGCCCUUUACCUCCGUUGCCACCUGUCGGUAGCCUCUUGAUCAUAUAAAAGGAGGCCCGUGUGCAACGUAGAGGGGGGUUAGCCAGUUCGAACAUUCGCGCUCCCGAGCUAGAAAUCAAUACAAAACCACAAAGCAGGAGUAGGGUUUUACGCAUCCGUGCGGCCCGAACCUGGGUAAAUCGCUCGCGUGCUUUGCCUCGAUUUGCUCUUUGCACGAUCUCCGCCCCCGCCGAACCGAAAGGGACCCGGCCCGCCGGUCCCAUAGGUGCCCGUGGAUCAGCACCCCGGCAUCCUUGCCCGUGCACAAGUUCGGGAUACUAGGGUACCCCUACUCUAGUACACCGACAAGAGCCCCCGGGCCUGGGCCAUACACGGUGCCGAGUGCUGUUGGGCCAGGCCCAAAACAGGGCACGGGCACGCACGGCCUAGGUUACGCCGUAUCUCACUCCGUAUCCACCGCGCCCUCCCCAAACGGCACGCGUUGCAUGCGGCGUCGUGGGAGAGGUCGUGGGGGUUUCUUUAUUCGUAAAUGCGGAACGUCCGCCCCCUCCCCCCUUUAUAAGCAGGGGAAACAGGGGCAGUUGGCCCACUCGCCCGUUGCCGUUCCCAAUCUCAGGAAUCUCCGCCGCUCCCUUGCCUCCCCAAAGCUGAGAGUGAGAGCAGCGCUCCACCCCCCAUCGCCACUAGCACCACCAACGCCAUCGACCUCCUCCACUACUUCCGCCAUGGCUCCAAAAGCCGACAAGGGAAAGACCAUGAAGACGACCGAGGCGCAGCGGCUCGCGGCGCUGCGGAAGGAGCGGUCCGUUUUCCCCCCCAAGCUCGGCGCGAAGGAGCUGAGGGAGAACUACUAUGGUUCUGGCCGGCGGAGACGCGCGCGCAUCCGCGCACAAAGGUUCUCCCCGCCGCCGCUUGGAAGAAGGCUCCGAAUGGGUACCCCUUCUUCGCAUUGUUCUUCUAUUGCGGGCUCUGCCCGCCCUUCUCUGAUUUCUUCUGCGACAUCAUGAACACCUAUGGAUUCCAUCUCCUUGACUUCACCCCCAACGCCGUCCUGACAAUGGCAGUUUUCGCACACCUCUGCGAAAACUUUGUCGGAGUCCUUCCCAACGUAGCCCUCUUCCACCACUUUUUCAUACCCCGAGUAGAGAGAGGAGAGCCUCUAUCCGGCGGGAUUGCCUGGAUCUCAAGGCCCGGCAAGAAAGAGACUUAUCUGGAGGGAGAAUUCCGCGGCAAGUGGGAGGAGUGGAGAGCUGAUUGGUGCUGGAUUGACGAGGAGAGCCCGCAGCCAUUUACUGUCCGACGCCGAACCCCAGUAGCACGCGGCAGCGAUUGGAGUGACAUGGCUCCGGAGGACGCCAGGCUGAAGAUUGCCGUCACCAGGAUCCUGCGCCUGAGGCUUGCCGGGCUUACUGUUGGCGCUGUUGGCGCAGACUUCCUUCGCCGCCGCAUCGCCCCCCUGCAGGAACGGGGGAGGCCCACUUGGGAGUUCAAGAACGCGACAGACAUCAUGAGGCUGCGGCCAGGCCUCAAUUACAACUUCACAGUCCUGGAGCUCAACGCGAUGCUGCAGGAGCUGUUCAAAUAUGACCCCCAGCAUCCCGAGGUGUUCAGGUUGCCGGGGGGCGUCGUGCCUUUGUGCAACAAUUCCGCGCUCGACCGCAUCCGUGCAAUGAUGCCGGAGUGCAAGUCGCACGAGAUUGUGCCAACUUGGCAGGAGCCUGCAGACGAGGUCGUGCAGCAAUUCUUCGACGACUUGGUGGAAGUGCCAAUCCGCCUUGACGAGAAGGACGGCCUCACCCGUGACACCACGGAUGCGGAGAUGGCGCUCAUCGCCACUAGGCUGGAGGAGGCAGCGGCAGCCGCAGCCGCGGGCGAGUUCGGGUUCACUGUGGAGGAGGCCGAUGCAACAGAAGCGGCAAGCCGUACCGAGUGAGGGGAGCCCGCCGGCAAGAAGGGGCUUGCCGGGCAAGACGCCGAGCCGAGCGAGCCCGCCAAGGACACGAGCGGCUCGUUGCAAAUCGACUCUUCUUCCACCUCGUCUUCAGACAGCCCACCAGAAGCAGAGCCUCCAUCCCCAUGAAGAAGGCGUCUCCGCAAGGUUGGUGAUGUGGCGGAGCGGCAAGCGGGCCAACAGUCGCCACGCCGCGUGACACGCUCGACCACGGCAAACACCGUUGCCGCGGGAGCGCCUCAUGCUACGACGGCAACUGGAGCGGAGUCUAGCCGGACCAUCGCUUCAGUCCCUGCCGCUACUCACGCCGCGCCGACAGCCGGAGCGGGGUCGUCUCAGACCGCCGCCACUGCUCCCGCCAAGCGGCCAAGGGAAGCUUCUCCUCCGCCUCCUCGCGCCGGGCGCGCGCCAGGCUUCGACUUCUCCGCGUUAAGCUCCGACGAGGAAGAAGAAGAAGAGUUAGCUUCUCUUGUUGUACUUGCAUUUCUUCAACUCUUGCUGUUGGUCUUGUUCCUCACUUGCUUUUACCUGAAUCUGUUCCUCUUUAGGACUCUGGCCCAGAGAGCGGCAAAGAGAGCUAAGGCCCCGGUGAUCAUCAUCGAGGACGAGCCCACUGCGACAACAGGUGGCGCGCCUGAGACAACCUUGCCGGAGCCGGCGACUUUCCUCCAUGGCAGCCCCCAGCGUAAGUGUGUGAAUUAUUUUCCGGGGCGAGGCGCGCAUGGGUACUUGUCUUUGCUGAUAUCUGCUUGUUGACAUGUGUAGGAGCCGAGCAGCCCCACCAGGAGCCAAGGGAGAAUCCCCCGACAAGGGAGAAUUCUCCGGCAAGGGAAGGCUUCCCGGUGAGGGAGAAGUCUCCGGCAAGGGAGGGUUCUCCGGCGAGGGACGGCGCCAGCGGCCCCCCGACGACGGAGACCACGACCGUAGAGCUUGGUGCAGGUACUCCCCUUGCUUCAAAACUUCUCUUGGAUCCUUCUUUUCUUGAUCUUUAUGGGUUUCUGCUGGAUUCUGUUUGACUCUUCUCCCCUUUUCUGGCUGUCAGAUCCAUCCGCUGCGGAGCAGAUGGAGACAGAGGUCGCCGCCGAUGAAGCAGCCGGUGCUGGAGACGCCACCGGCGCAGAGGCCGCCAAGGCUGACGCUGCAGCAACUGGCGAGGAAUCUGGCGAUCGUACUGACGGCCCAGAGGCCGCAGGAGCGCCAGGCGCUACGCCGACCGCCGACCCAUCCGUCGAAGCCGCAGCGCCAAGUUCCAAGGAGCCCCAGCCGAGCGUUUAUUUGAAGGCCACCGACGACGUCUUCAUCAAUCUUCCCUGGGCAUCAAGCUCCAGAGCGCCGGUCGAGGGGGAGCUCUUCGACGGAGAAGUGCUCGCCUCCGCGGGGCUGAAGCUGGUCGACGCGCCAAGCAGCAGCAGCAACGAGCCCGAAGAAGAGCGGCUGCUACGCAGGUUGAUGUCGCUCUACCGCGUGCGACAAGCCAAGCUGGAGUCUCGCGAGGCGCUUGUUGCGAGGGCGGGAGCAGACAUUGAAAAGCGUGCGGAAGAGCUCGGGGGUUUCCACCGGGAAGCCCUCCGAUCCCUGGCGGAGGAGCGGGAGCAGCUCGCUGAAGCGCGGAAGGUCUUUCUCCUCGAGAAGGCUGAAGCCGAAGAGCGCCAGCGACAUGCCGCUGUGAAGCUAGCCGCGGAAGAGGGCGAGCUGGCGCAGCGGAAGGUCAAUCUCGACGCCCACGAGGAGGAGCUUGCCUCGCGCGAGGAGAAGCUUGGCGGAGCCCUCAAGCAAGCGGAGGACGCUGCCGCCGCCGCCGAGGCCGCCAAGGAGGAGUUGAAGACGAAGGUGGCGCGGCUGGAGGCCGAUCUCUCCGAGAAGGGCAAGGAGCUCAGCGUCGCCAAGGCCUCCAACGUGGAUCUUGAGUUGAAGCUAACCACUUUGACCAAGACUCUGGACAGCGCCAAGAAGCGGGAGGCGGCCUUGGAGGAGGAAAUCAAGGCCGACAAGGCGCUGCUGGAGAGCGCUGCCACCACCCAGAACACCUUCAGGGAGACUGUGACGCACUGGACGGAGAGUCUGGUGACCGCCGCCACAGAUAUCGACAAGGAGCUGGCGCAGCUGGGGAUGGAAGAUCUUGGGUGUCCCUCCGACGACAACCUCCAGCCCAGCGCCAAGCUCGUCCUAUUCUUCAAGGGCGUGGCGACGGCCCUUCAGCGACUCCGAGAGAGGAUCCCCAAGCAACUAGCUGACGAGUCGCGCGAGAUCUGCGCAGGAGCCCUCGAGAAAGUGUUGAUGAAGGUGGCCUUCCGCAAUCCGGGCCUCCGCCUCACCAACAUCCUCAGGUCCUUGCCGCCAGAAGCUGAUCUGGAAGAGCUCAAGGCCCUUGUCGCACCUAUUGUGGACAAGGUGAGCGGGAUCAAGCGGGUCGAAGGCGAUCGCGUAGAUUAGGCCGCUCAUUUCCUCUUUUCUUGUCGCUGCCCAUCAUGUCACAAAAACAAUCUGUUAGAGUUGCGACAAGCUAUCUUUGUAAUGUAACUUGAUUGUGGGCAAUGAUUGCAAUGUUACUCCCUUUACUUGAUUCCUCCCUUUGUAUGUUUUUGCCCUACGCUUUUAGGAAACUUGCCGGUGCAGGCACCUGAGCCGCGAGCGCUGAGUGCGGAACGUCAGCAGCCUGCUGGCGGUGCCGCUACCGGCAAGAAACCUUGUCGCAACUAGUUGCAGCUCACUUAAGUUGCUGAGCGAACUCGAAACAAAGUAAGGGCGCUAGCGGCUCACUUAAGUUGCUGAGCGGACUCGAAGCAAAGUAAGGGCGCUAGCAGCUCACUUAAGUUGUUGAGCGGACUCGAAACAAAGUAGGGGCGCAACUAGCUGUGAGUUGGUUCCUCCGCGCACAGGUUUCCCAUACAAAGUGUGGUCGUUCAAGGGAGAUAACUUAAAAUUUUAAAAAAUUUGAUUGCUCAAACUUUGGCAACUUAGCUUUUCUGUUGUUUGCUUCCUGGCAAGGCGAAACUUUCUUGAACGACGCCUGGCCCAUACCAUCCAUCGUCUUCUCCAUUCCCCCCCGGUAAACUUAUGGGCGAGGGGAACCUUGCUUUCAAAAGGAAGAAGAGACAAUACAGAUAUGGAGCUUUACGGCUCGUUAUUGCUUACCGUGGAGUAGGUGCUGCACAAAGUGUCAGAUCAUAUAUGCCAGAAAAUAGAAAGCAUAAAAUUGACAAAAUGUGCGGAGCACAUGAGCUUUACUUAUGCACGGGAUCUGCGCCCGGCUUUGUACAAAGGAUUACAUGCAACAGCGGCAAGACUUGUACAAAAGGUGGUUGCCGGAACAGGUUCCGACAACCACGCCUUACGGGUAAAACUUACGAAGAUGCUCAAUGUUCCAGGAGUUGCUCACCGGAAUGCCAUCUUCGGUCUCAAGGCGGACAGCGCCAGGCCUAGUGACUCGUUUCACCUGGUAAGGGCCUUCCCACUUCGGCGUCAACUUGUUGGAAUUCUUGGCGGACUAAACGCGCCGAAGAACAAGGUCGUCUUCCUCGAGACUUCUGGUGUUAACUUUGCGGCUAUGGUAGCGGUGCAAAGCUUGCUGGUAGCGAGCAGCUCGCACAGCAGCCUGAAGACGGUCUUCCUCAAGGAGCAGCGCGUCAUCUUGUUGCAGCCGCUCUUGCUCGAGCUCAUCAUAAGCGAGCACUCGAGGUGACCCGUAUACGAUUUCUGUGGGGAUAACUGCCUCUGCUCCAUAGACUAGAGCAAAAGGUGUCUGUCCAGUGGCUCGAUUUGGCGUCGUUCUGAUCGACCAAAGAACCACCGGCAGCUCCUCGAUCCAGUUUCUUCCGCACUUGUGCAGCCUGUCGAAAGUUCUGGUCUUGAGCCCGCGCAGCACUUCAGCAUUUGCCCUCUCCGCUUGACCGAUGCUUCUCGGGUGAGCAACAGAAGCGAAGCAGACCUUGGCGUACUGCGUGAAGGUGCAGCUCGUAAAUUGCGUGCCGUUGUCGGUGAUUAUCCUGUUAGGGAUCCCGAAGCGGCAAACAAUCGACCUGAAGAACUUGACUGCUGACUGUGCUGUCACCUUCCUCACUGGUUCCACUUCCGGCCACUUUGUGAACUUGUCGAUUGCAACGUACAAGUACUCAAAGCCCCCGACAGCUCGGGGAAAGGGGCCGAGGAUGUCGAGCCCCUAGACCGAAAAUGGCCAGGAUAAAAGGAUCGUCUAGAGAGCUUGAGCUGGUUGGUGUAUCUGCUUGGAAUGAAACUGACACGCUUCACACUUGGUUACUUGGGCAAUUGCAUCCUGGAGGGCUGUUGGCCAGAAGAAACCUUGCCGGAAAGCUUUACCGACAAGUGCUGUUGCGCCAAUGUGGUGACCACAUAUGCCUCCAUGUAUUUCUGCCAACAGCUUUUGUCCAUCUUCCCGGGGAAUACACUUCAAUUUCACACCGUUGAGUCUUCUUCUGUACAGUGUCUUGUCGACAAACUGGUACAUACUUGACUGCCGGGCUACACUCUCCGCUUCUUCUUGCUCUUCGGGAAGUCCUCCUGUCUGAAGGAAAUGGACAAUCUGCUGUGCCCAUGCUGGAGCUUGUGGCUCGACAACAAGGACUAAAGGCAAAUCUGCUGCUGCAGGAACAUCAGCUUCCACGGCAAGAACCUGCGGCUCUGCCGGAGCUUGACGUUCCCCGACAAGCUUGCCGGAGGAAAUCUUGUCGGGAGCUUCUGCUUCAACGGAACAAACCCUAGGGCUUGCCGGAGCAUCUUGUUCCUUAGCGCUCUUGGUGUUGAUCUUGGAGACUGCUGCGGGAAUAUUCGCUUCUACGGCAAGAACCUGCGGCUCUGCCAGAGCGUGACGUUCCCCGGCAAGCUUGCCGGAGCAAAACUUGUCGGGAGCUCCUGCUUCAACGGAACAAACCCUAGGGUCUUCCGGAGCAGACUGCUCCUCAGCACUCUUGGCGUUGAUCUUGGGGACCUUCUUGGCGGCGGCUUCGGGAAGCUCUGCCGGCAAAUAGUCACCAGAAACCAACUUCCUCUUCUUGCUCUGUCCAGUUGAUGGCGUUACGGACGGCUGAGUCAGCUUGAGCCCAAAGAUCCCUGGUUGCACAGGUAACUUAAGUGCGGCACACUUUGACAGGCCAUCUGCAAUGGCAUUCUGAGCUCUUGGAACAUGCUCCAUUUGUAGGCCGUCAAAGUGUUCUUCUAGUUUUCUCACUUCAUCGACGUAAGCUUCCAUCAACGGACUCUGAUAACUCUUGUUUACUUGGCGGACGACAAGCUGUGAGUCACCCCUGACAAUGAGCUUCUUGAUCCCAAGGUCUGCCGCGAUCCUGAGACCGGCAAGCAAGCCUUCAUACUCUGCAGUAUUGUUUGUUGCUUGCUCCUUGGGAAAGUGCAUCUGGACUACGUACUUGAGGUGCUCUCCGGUGGGUGCGACAAGCAGCACGCCAGCGCCGGCGCCUUGCAGCGAAAAGGCACCAUCAAAGUACAUUAGCCACUCUUUGCUUGCUUCUUUGUCGGGGAUGCUCGUUUCUGGAAUUUCUUCAUCUGGUGUUGGCGUCCAUUCUGCUAUGACUUCUGCCAAUGCUCUACUCUGGAUAGUUGAAGUGCUUUCAAACUUGAGGCCAAAGCUUGACAGUUCCAGUGCCCACUCAACAAUCCUGCCUGUCGCUUCUGGAUUCUGCAGUAUCCUCUUCAGCGGAAAGCGAGUGACAACUGUGAUCUCAUGUGCUUGGAAGUAAUGGCGCAGCUUUCUCGAGGCCAUGAGAAGCCGAAAAGCAAUUUCUGCACACCAGAGUACCUUGACCUAGCGCCCUGCAGAAGGGAACUGACAAAGUAAACUGGGCGCUGCACCAUCUUCUUGUGUAUCUCGUCGUGUAUCUACGCAGAUCCAUCUUUGUCGGGACCAGAGCUUGUCGCUGGAUGCGCUUGCUGCGGUUGCUGGCUCAUCAUCUGCCUCCCUCUCUUCUACUAACGCAGCACUAACCACUUGAUUGGUUGCCGCUAUGUACAGCAGCAACUUCUCUUGUGGCCUAGGUGCGACAAGUAUUGGAGGGGAGGACAGGUAUCUCUUCAGGUCUUGCAGCGCAGCCUCCGCUUCCGGAGUCCAUUUCAUUGGACCUGCCUUUUUCAAUAAUUUGAAAAACGGCAGGGCGCGCUCAGCAGACCGAGAGAUAAACCUGCUGAGAGCAGCCACGCAACCGGCAAGUUUCUGUACAUCCUUGACGCGCUUUGGUGCUUCAAUCUGCUCAAUGGCCUUGAUCUUGUCGGGAUUGGCUUCAAUUUCCCGCUGAGACACGAAGAACCCGAGAAGCUUGCCGGAGGGAACUCCAAACACACACUUCUCUGGGUUGAGCUUGAGGCUGAUCUUGCGCAGAUUUGCAAAGGUCUCGUCUAAAUCUUGAAUCAGGGUUGCUCUGUCCUUGCUCUUGACCACUAUAUCAUCCAUGUAGGCUUCCACAUUUCUGUGUAUUUGUGGCUCAAGAGCAACAUGGACUACUCUUGCAAAUGUCGAACCAGCAUUUUUUAAUCAAAAAGGCAUCCGUACGAAAUAGUACGUGCCACAUGGAGUAAUAAAUGCGGUCUUCUCCUCAUCCUCUUCUGCCAUGAAGAUCUGAUGAUAUCCUGAGUAUGCGUCAAGAAAUGAAAGCAAAUCACAUCCGGCUGUGGAGUCAACAAUCUGGUCAAUGCGCGGCAAAGGAAAUGGGUCUUUGGGACAAGCUUUGUUGACAUCGGUAAAAUUGAUACAAAGUCUCCAUUUCCCGUUUGCCUUGCGCACGACUACAGGAUUGGCCAACCACGUGGGAUGGAGCACUCCUCUGACAAGGCUUGCUGCUUCCAGUUUCUUGAUCUCUUCUGCAAUGAAUUCUUGGCGCUCCACUGCCUGCUUCCUGACUUUCUGCUUGACGGGCCGCGCAUGGGGACAAACGGCAAGGUGGUGCUCAAUCACUUUCCUGGGAACACCGGGGAUGUCAGACGGCUGCCAUGCAAACACGUCGACAUUCGCCCGCAGGAAAGCAACGAGUGCUCUUUCCUAUUUAGGGUCGAGCGUGGCACUGAUGGUGAAGGUACCACCAGUGCCGUCCUCCUUGGCGGAUACCUUCUUCGUCUCUGGCGAAGCUGCCAUCGUCUUCUUGCACUUGCCGGUGGAGCUCGAUGGUGCGUCCUCGACGGCGGCGCAGCACUCCGAAGAGGUGCGCUUGCCGGAGUGGGCAUCAGAACUCUUGCCGGACUUGGUCUUCUUCCCCCCGGGAGCUUCAGCGGCAAGUGGAUUGUGAUCUGCCGUGGCUGCUGCUUCCCGGUAGAUCUUGUCGGCACAGAUAAGAGCAUCCUUCUUGUCGCCGGGGACAGAAAUGACGCUUAUCGGGCCUGGCAUCUUCAGCAUGUUAUAUGCGUAGUGAGAGGCUUCCAUGAACUUGGCGAGUGCUGGACGACCAAGUAUCCCAUUGUAAGGCAAUGGAAUAUCGGCAACGUCGAAUGUGACCUUCUCAGUCCUGAAGUUUAGCUCGCUGCCAAAUGUUAUCGGCAGCGUGACCUUCCCCUUCGGCUUGCUCCUUCCCGGAUUGAUUCCUUGGAAUGUGCCGGUCUCUUCGAGCUCGCUGUCAGGGAUUUGAAGUUUUUGGAGUAUAGCGCAGGAGAUCAGGUUUAAGCCGGCCCCGCCGUCAACUAGCAUCUUGGUGACUUUGAGGUUGCGGAUAGUUGGUGAUACCAACAUCGGCAAACACCCGACCGCAGUUGUGCGAUCAGGGUGAUCCUCAAUGUCGAAGAUGAUAGGCGUGCUGGACCACUUCAGAAGCGUGCGUGAUUCGAUAGGUGGUUCUGCUGCAUUAACUUCCCGCACCCACUGUUUGAGUUGGCGGUGCGAGGUAUGCAGAGAAGCACCACCUUCAACGCACAAGACCUCUGUGGCUUUCUGAAACUCCUGCUCACUGCUCUCAACAUCAUCCAUGUCUUCGUCGUCAUCGUCGUCUUCAUUGUUGUCGCGGCCACGGGGAGAUCUGUCUCCUUGCCGCUGCUAGGCCUUACCGCGGCGUCCUCCUCGGCCGGCGCGCUUCUUGCCAGAUUCUGCAGCGCCACCUUGGGCCCUCUCCUUGUCUCACCGCUCAUACUCAGCCUUUUGCUGCUGGACAAGCUGCUCAACCUUUUUGCAGCUCUGGAGGUCAUGGACCUUGGUGCGGUGAAUCUUGCAGUAUUGCUUGUCGGAGCCGUCCUGCUUGUCGGCGGCAGCCACAGCCUGGCAGUUGGCGCAUGCGGCAAUCUCCUUGCCGGAGCUACCAACUUUGGCCUUCUUGGCGCCACCUUCGUUGCCGGGCUGCUCAGCGACUCGCACCUCUUUGCUGUUCUUCUUCCUGUUCCGCCGCCGGUUCUUCUUUGCCGGGGCAAUAUCGUCACUGUCAGAUCCUUCUGCUCCCGUCUUCUCUCCGCGGAGUCUCCUCCCUUCCUUAGCGCGUGCACACUUGUCGGCCAGGGCAUAUAGCUCACUGACGUCUCUGAUCCUGCACAUCACCAUCUCCUCCCGCAUCCUGCGGUUACGCACGUUCUGAUGAAACGCGCUGAUGACCGCGGUGGGGUGGACGUCUGGGAUGUUGUACUGUACACGGCUGAACCUCUGAAUAUACUUGCGCAGGGGCUCUCCUUCCUUCUGGACGAGCAGAUGAAGAUCACUCUCUUGGCCAUGAGGUUUGUGGCCGCCUGUAAAGGCGCUGACAAACUGAUGGCAUAGAUCAGCCCAGGAGGAUAUGGAGUUGUCCGGCAAAUGCAUGAGCCAGGACCUGACGUUGGGCUUGAGCACCAACGAGAAGUAGUUGGCAAGGAUCUUGUCGUCCCGCCCCCCAGCAGCCUGCACCGCGAUGGUGUAGAUGCUGAGGACCUCCGACGGAUGCGACUUGCCAUCGUACUUCUCUGGUACAUCUGGUUUUAAAUUCUUCGUACUGGGCCACUGGACUUGCCGCAGCUCACGAGUGAACGCAGGGCAACCUACCGCGUAUGGCAAGUCGCCUGGUUCCCCUGGCGCAUGCAUGUCAACAGAGGGCCCAGCGCGCUGGUCUUAUUGACGCCGCGCUUCUCUCCGGCGCUCGAUGCGAGUACGAGCGUCUUCUUGUUGUCAUUCUUGAAGAACUUGGCACUGAUCGCGACGAGCUUGCGGAUCUGAUGACGCGGUGGAGUCGCUGUCGAGGUGGACCCGGCGAGUCGGCGAUCUUGGCCUUCGGGGUGGAGAGUGCACAGUAGUUGCACGCCCACCAGUCUUGUCGUCUCUGGCUCGUGCCUGGCUGGCUUGCCGCGGCUGAGACGUGCUCGGCUGCCGUGGAGUGUCGCCGUUGGCGAAGCCGAUGAGACUCUGGAUAGUGGCCCUCCAGUCGUCGAUCUUGUCCGCCGCUGGAGGGUAGUCUAGGAGCAGCUGAGCUCGCGCCAAAGCUUCUGCUGCGGUGGCGGGUGGCGGUGGCGAACGGUGCGAGGAGCGGGAUAUGCUCGGACUUCUAACUACGUUAGAAGGAGCAGUAUCUUGUCCAGGCGACCGUGUCUCGCUCGCGCCAGCAGGUUGACGAGCAUGGUGGUCCUGAGCGCUCCGAGAUCCACCAGCUCGAUCUUGAUCUAGCGAACGCAUGGUACCGUGAGUACCAUGACGCUGCCGGUCCCGCGCCUCCUGAGAUGGGCGCGGUGCAUGCACGGACACCGAGGUCUUGGAGUGCGCCCGGUCAUUGUGGGAGCCGGCUACGCCGCCCAUGGGCAGCGCAGCCUUGUCCUGGGACCUGUCAGUACCGUGAGUUCCCUUGUCGACGCGUGUCCUUCCGCCGGUGCCUGCCCCACCAACCGGUUGCUCCGGCGGUGGCUGGCUCGACGCGGACGGAGCAGCUGCCUCCGAAACUUUCUUCUUCGGCGGCAUGUUGAUGAAGAUCUAGCUCGCGAGAACGCCGGAUCUGGUUCACACAACUUCGACGCCCCCUACCUGGCGCGCCAAAGAUGCCGGGGUCUUGUCUUCUUGACUUGGACACUUUGUUCUUGAAUGGCUCCAAAGGAACCACGGAGGAUCUUGGCGGUCACCCGGCAAGCCUUGCCGCGGGAUGCUGCGACUGCCCGUGCACAGGUUCGGGAUACUAGGGUACCCCUACUCUAGUACACCGACAAAAAUCCUUCGAGAUGUAGUUAUGUUACUACAUCUACUAGUUAGGAAAAUUUAAAAACUUAAAUUUGGACAUGUUUUGCAAAAAGUGUAGGGAAAAUGUAAAACGGCUAUAACUUUUGCAUACGAUGUGAGAAAAAAACGUAUAAUAUAUAAAAAUGUUCAGCACAAAAAUCCGCAUACGAUGGAGACCGCCUACGGCCUGUUUGCAAAUUUUUAGAAUCCUCAAAUUGUAAAAGGCAAAAAAGUUAUGCUCAAAUUUCAGUUUUUUUUAAUUUUGGUCAAAUCUGGUCAAACUAUGGACAAACUACUUAUUCAAGAAGUAUUAGUGUUACUAAAUAAUUAUUCAAGAAUAUUAGUGUUACUAACUAAUUAUUUCAGUUUUUGGAAUUUUGGUCAAAUAUUAGUGUUACUAAAUAAUUAUUGUUUUUUAGAACAAUAGUUUUGAACUCAAACAGCGAAAUGUGUGACUUCAUGCUCAAGCAAAACUCCCGAGGGUGAAUAGGAUUGACAUCUUACUGUUGUCAGGAAAACAACAAGUGCAGACUUGGAAUCGAGGGAGAAUAGAACCCGGAAGUUAAGCGUGCUCAGGCUGGAGCAGUCAGAGGAUGGGUGACCGUCCGGGAAGUUAGAUGAUUUGGAAUGAUGAGGGGUGAUUAGAGAUUAAAUUGAGCAGUGAUGAGGGUGAUUAGAGAUUAGAGGUUAAAAUAAUUCAGAAAUUUGAAAAUUCGCGCAAAAAAUUCGAAAAAAUUUCCACGAGUUAGUAGUAGCGCGGGUUUUUACCCACGCUACUACUAACGGAUGUAGUAGUAGCGCGCGUGGCACCCGCGCUGCUGCUAUACGUUCGCUGUAGAGCCUUAUUAGUAGCGCCGGCCCCCGCGCUGCUAAUAGGCCCAAAACCCGUGCUGCUGCUAGGCUUUUCCCUAGUAGUGAGGGGGCAAAUCGUUUUCUUUUGUUUUGCCCGGACGCACUUCCUUGCGUCCGAAGGUGUAGCUAGUUAGAUGAUUUGGAAUGAUGAGGGGUGAUUAGAGAUUAAAUUGAGCAGUGAUGAGGGUGAUUAGAGAUUAGAGGUUAAAAUAAUUCAAAAAUUUGAAAAUUCGCGCAAAAAAUUCGAAAAAAAUUCCGCGGGUUAGUAGUAGCGCGGGUUUUUACCCACGCUACUACUAACGGAUGUAGUUGUAGCGCGGGUGGCACCCGAUCUGCUGCUAUACGUUAGCUGUAGCGCCUUAUUAGUACUGCCGGCCCCCGCGCUGCUAAUAGGCCCAAAACCCGCGCUGUUGCUGGGCUUUUCCCUAGUAGUGAGGGGGCGAAUCGUUUUCUUUUGUUUUGCCCGGACGCACUUCCUUGCGUCCGAAGGUGUAGCUAGUGGGUCCCAGCAGUCAGGAGGGAAACGUUUUUUUCGUGAAAUACGGUGGCCCGUCUGGUGGUCCCCACUGUCAGGUGGAGGAAUAAUUAUUUUGCACGUAAUAAGGAGGCACUUCCUUGCUGCGGCCAUGGACCCAGGUGUCAGCCUCUCCACGUACAGUCCACGUCCGAUGGAAGUCGUUCCUUGACCACGUUGACCACGCCGCGCUUAGAGCACCAGGGUAGUGGACGACGGCGAGGCCUAGGAAGGGGACGAUGGGGAGCCAGGGAAGACGCGGCAGUGGAAGCCUGUGCGGAGAGGAGUACGAGGGUUCACUGGUUCGGCUACGGUGUGAGGCUGCCGUCGCCGCAGGGCCUGGCCAGCGGUGGGAAUAGUAGGGGCCGGUGAGGCCUCCGCGGCAGCACAACUGGCCAUGGGAGGCAGGAGCAUGCGGCACGACCGGUGCGGCUUUGGGCGGCUGGAGCAAGAAGACCAGAGGUUGAAGAAGCACUACGGCUGUUGGAUGGACAUCGUACGGUCACUGGAGCUAGAAUCGUUCAUAUUGACUAAAGUUGACAAAGGCCCCCAUCCCAGUCAACUUAGUAGGCCCACAAGUCAGCCUCCUACCAUGGUGGGUCCCAGCUAGCAGGGGGUAUUCAUUUUUUUGUGCGUAAUAAGGAGGCACUUCCGGUGGGUCCGAGCUCACAGCGGGGGGAACGUUUUUUUCGCGAAAUACGCUGGCCCGUACGGUGGGUCCGAGCAGUCAGGGGGGAAACGUUUUUUCGCGAAAUAAGGUGGCCCGUCCGGUGGGUCCCUGUUAUAAGGUGCAGGAAUAAUUAUUUUGCGCGUAAUAAGGAGGCACUUCCUUGUGGCCGCAUGGACCCAGCUAUCAGCCUCUCCACGUACAGUACUCUUCCGAUGGAAGUCGGUCGUUGACCACGUUGACCACGCCGCCCCGAGAGCACCAAGGCGAUGGUCUGGAUGACGGCGAGGCCUAGGAAGGGGACGACGCGGAGCUGAGGAAGACGCAGCAGCGGAAGCCCGCGCGGAGAGGGGUAUGAGGGUUCACUGGUUCGGAUGCGGUGUGAGGAUGUCGUCGCCGCAGAAUAACAGGGGGUGUGGGUGAGUGGAGGGAUGGCCUGGCCAGCGGUGGGAGUAGUAUGGGGGCGGUGAGGCCUCCGUGGCAGCACAGCCAGCCACGGGAGGCCGGAGUAGGCGGCACGACCGGCACUUCUUUGGGCGGCUGGACCAAGAAGACCAGAGGUUGAAGAAGCACUACGGCCGUUGGAUGGACAUCGUACAGUCAUUGAAGCUAGAAACGUUUAUUAUUGACUAAGUUGACAAAGCCCUUGGUACGCUCCAACUUAGUAGGCCCACAGGUCAGCCUCCGAAACAGUGCGCCCCAGAUGUCAGGGAGAGGAAUCAUUUUUUGGGCGGCCGAAGCUAAGAAUAUCCGAGAUUGAAGAAGAAGCACGACAUCCGUUGGAUAGACAUCCAACGGCCACUGCUGCUAGAACCGUACGUGUGUUGACUAUAAUAAGUUGGCAAAACCUUGCAUACGCGUCAACUUAUUUUUUUAGGGGACGCGUCACUUAGUAGGCCCACAAGUGUGUGGCAGAGAACUUAUAGCCAAUUUGCAUUUUGUAAGAAUGUACAACCCAUUUUGUAAUUCUAAUGGAAUUUACAACAGCCUAUUUACAGUUUUUUAAAAGUACAGCCCAUUUUCUAGCUAGGACAAUGAUUAAUAAUUUCAACCAACCGUUGAAGACAGAAUUCAAUAAAAUUUCCCACAUUUUGAUGGGCUCCGAAAUAUUUUUAUCCCGAAAUUUUUAGUCAAAUUAAAUAUAAAUUUGUAUUACGUAAAAAUCCAACGAAACAUUGCGCGCGCAACAAUGAAAAUUUAAGAUUUUCAAAAUCCAUAAAUAAUAUUUUAUAAACUAAUUUCGUGUUUGGUGCAUUUUUUAUAGUUACUGCCCAGUUUUUAUAAUUACAUCCCAUUUAUUAUUUUUUAAAGCCCAUUUUCCUGUUAAGCCUAAUGCAUCCCUCCUAGGAAAGAUUUGCAGCCCAGCGGGGUGGAGAAUAACAAGUUCACUUUGCCUGGGUAUUCCUCAAAAAGACGUAUAGCUGGGGUAGCCAUUUUCAUCUUGAAAAAAUUAGUAUCUGGGCUGGAUAUCUGGCCUGGGCUAGACGGGCCACAGCCCGCCCAGUUAAUACCCUGCUCUCCUCUGAACAACAACGAGAUCAUCGCCAAGAAAAACUCUGCAGUGCUCACGCCUCAAAAACACAAAUACUGCUCGAGCUGCUUGGUCCCAGCUGUCGGCCGCACCUUGUGCAAUUCUCUCGUUUAUAUUGACUACAUAUGUUGACAAUGGUGUGGGACCGUGAUGUCAGGAAACCAGGAGAAAGCAAAAAAAAAUAUAGUUCUACAUAAUAAGGAGGCACUUGCGUAUGUACGGCUAUGGCCCUAGUGUCAUCCAUUCAAAAUCUAGUCAUCUCCUGAAUCCUCACGUUCGUUGACGAUGUUAACAAUGCUCAGUGCCACGGCGAGCGCAACAACUCGAAGGACAACGGAGUGGGCCUCGCGGGCCCUACGGAUGGUCUGAUACAGCGCCCGCUACUCAUUCAGGAAGCCAGGAUCAUCAGACACCUAUGAGCACCUUCGAGAAACUGAGAUGGCAUGAAACGGUAAGGCCGCGCUUGGGAGCUAUGGUUUAUUUCAAACCUGUAUUAACAUACAAGUGUAAUUUACUCGUCAUCGAAAACAACGUGUAAAAUACAGGCGUAAUGAAACCGAGGGCCCGAGGUCCGUAAGUAAAACCGGCGGGUUACGCGUGUAAUUUGAGAGACCGGUGUAUUUUUAGAGCACUGCUAUAUGGACGACAUUACCAGACGAUACAUGCACGACGUGCGUAUCAUGCCAUCCAUUGGCAAAACUGAAACAGCAGCUAAUGGCUGGAUUAACAAUUAAUCGUCUGAGUGUCAUUCAUCAUUUUUAUCGUGUGUCAAGUACUUCCGAUAUUUUACUAGUCGAAAUCGCCAACCAAGCGCCUUCGCCCGAGACCAUAUUCUUUAAUUUACAAGCGUCAGUUUUACAAGCGGUUUUGGUUGGAAAACGAUGAUCCAAUCACGACCUAAUAUCAUGAGUUGGUCGGAAGAUCAUAUGGUUUCACGUCUAACCUACCCGACUUGUCGUAUAGGAUAUGAAUGAAACAUCAGACGAUGAACUUCUUAAGCAUGGAAACAACAGAAGAGGAUGAUCUUCUUAACAAGAAAAUCACUAGCAUUAGAUCGACAUGCAAAACAAUACGAAGCAUUAUUCUCAGGAGGCACGGUGAACAGCUCGUGAUGCUGCAUGCCACAACAUUCCAAGCUCGACUUUGCAAUCAAACACGGCCUGGCAUUACAUAGACAAUAUUCAGAACAAACUCUUACACAGGAAUAUCUCAGCGGAGUAACUAUUUACUUCUAAACUAAACACAGGAAUAGGAAAAAACACUUGAUGCUGCUCACAGCAAGGGCGUCCCACUCAAAAAUAUCAAAUGCAUGUCUUCUGGCUAACAUCAAUGAGCAAAUUUUGAAAAGGUUUUCCAAUUCCAACAUAUUAAACUAACGUCUUCUUGCUAACAUCAAUGAUUAAACUUUGACAAGCUUUUCCCAUUCAAAAUAUGUAAUGCCUAUGAUCGUGGAGUCCUGUCGCUUCUUGCUAACAUCAAUGAUUAAACUUUGACAAGCUUUUCCCAUUCAAAAUAUGUAAUGCAUAUGAUCGUGGAGUCUUGUCGCUUCUUGUACUUGUUUGGGCACUUCUUGCCCAGGGCACUCCAUGUGUUGUUAAAUUUCCAAUGGUCUCCGCAGACUAGUCAUGUCACCGGUGUCUAAUAUUUAUGGCACCGGGUGUAGCAAUGGAGGGAUUCGGUGUCAAACUAAGAAAAGGUGAAAUUGGAACCUCUUUUGGCCUACAUAGUGGAAGGCCUAAUACUCUGUAAAGCUUCUCGGUCAUUCCUUCUGUAAUGUAGCGCAAACAAUGACUACUUCUUUCUGCAAAGUGGAACGACCAAAUGGACCCAGUAAUGCAGCAGUUUGCCUUGGACACAUUGGCUCCUUUUGUGCAGUUGAUAUCCCUGUAAGCAACAAAAGGUAUGAGGGAAACAAUUACUGAGAAAUAAUGGUUGAUGACUUGUACUCCCAGAAGAAAAACAUCUACUGAUCUACCUUAUCUUAAUGGGAAACAAAGCAGGAGAGAAGCAAUUCUCAAUCAGUGUGAUUCAUUCAUAUUAACUGAGACAUUAUCUUAACAAUGCCUUGUUUCAAGAUGUAUAAAGAACAAAAAAGCAGAAAAGUAUCAUUCCUAAAACAAUGUGACUGAUUCUUUUUAACAGAGACAUUAUCUUAACAAUACCUUGGUUAAACAUGUAGAAAGAACUACAAAGCAGGAUAGUACCAUUUGUAAAACACUGUAUGUCUGUAACUGAUAUAUAAUAACAAAGACAUUAUCUGAACAAUACAUUUCUUAAACAUGUACUCCGGCCGAUCCCUAACAGAAAUGGUACUCCUGCCGAUCCCUAACAAGUGUUUGCAGUUUUGAACUAAGAUUCAGUUCCAGGGUAGAGUGGGCACAACAACAGUAUGUGCUUCCAUCUACCUAUAAUGGGGGUGAUGCAGAGUUUGUUGUAACAAAGCAACAAGCAUCAUGUCUGGGUUGGUUCCAUUUUUGUUCACUACUUAAUGGGAAAAGACAGCAAUACAAUAGCUUCAAUUCAACAUUUAUUUAAAACAGUACCACUACAAGUAGCACAACAUCUCAAAGCACACUGCACAAUCCUGUGGGUGAAGGCCUGUACUGACCUUUCAUGAGACCGACAAUCAUAAAAUACGAAUCUGCCAACAAGAAUAGGAAAUCCAAUCUUGUUUUGUGCAGUUGCACUGAAAUCAAGAAAAGUGUUUCACGUAGCGAAGCAAAAUGUCGCAAUAGCAACAAGUUGAAUAGAUAUCCAUGUAUAAACAGAGGCAAAAAAAGGAAUCAAUUACUAGCUAAUAAAGGAUGAUGAAACAUGCGGCCACAAAAAUGGUAAUCCUGCCAAUCCCUAACAAGUGUUGCAGUUUUGAAAUAAGAUUCACUAGUAAAUUCUGAGAGUGGCAUCAAUUACUGGCUUCUAAAGGGAGUGAUGCUGAAUUUGUUGUAACAAAGCAACAAGCAUCAUGUCUGGGUUGGUCCCAUUUUUGUUCACUACUUAAUGGGAAAAGACAGCAAUACAAUAGCUUCAAUUCAUCGUUUAUUUAAAACAGUACCAAUACAAGUAGCACAUUAUCUCAAAACACACUGCAUGAUCAUGUGGAUGAAGGCAAGUACCAACCUGUCAUGACGCACACAAGAUCACGUACGAAUCUGCCAACACGAAUAGGAAAUCCAAUCUCGUUUUGUGCAGUUGCACUGAAAUCAAGCAAAGUGUUUCGCGUAGCAAAGCAAAAUGUCACAAUAGCAACAAGUUGAAUAGAUAUCCCUAUAUAAACAGAGGCAAAAAAGGAAUCAAUUACCGGCUAAUAAAGGAGGAUGAAACAUGCGGCCACAAAAAUGGUAAUCCCACCAAUCUCUAACAAGUGUUGCAGUUUUGAAAUAAGAUUCAGUAGUUAAUUCUGAGAGUGGCAUCAAUUACUAGCUUAUAAAGGGGGUGAUGCUGAAUUUGUUGUAACAAAGCAGCAAGCAUCAUGUCUGGGUUGGCCCCAUUUUUGCUCACUACUUAAUGGGAAAAGACAGCAAUACAAUAGAUUCAAUUCAUCAUUUAUUUAAAACAGUACCAAUACAAGUAGCACAGCAUCUCAAAGCACACUGCACAAUCAUGUGGAUGAAGGCCUGUACUGACCUUUCAUGAGACGACCAACAUAAAAUACGAAUCUACCAACACGAAUAGGAAAUCCAAUCAUGUUUUGUGCAGUUGCACUAAAAUCAAGCAAAGUUGCCGGCGUGCCAUUUAAGUUUUCUAUAGCAACAAGUUGAAUAGAUAUCCCUGUUUUAAGAGGCAAAAAAGAAAACAAUUACUUGCCAAUAAAGGAGGAUGAAACAUGCAGCCACAAAAAGAAGCAUCUACCUUAUCUUGAUGGAAAACAAAGUAUAGGAUAGUAGCAUUUCUAAAACGGUUGCAUUGAUUCAAAUUAACAGAGAAAUUCUUUUAAAACAGAUCAGUAGUUAAUUCUGAGAUUAACAACAGGAAAAUAGCUGCAUGGGACAUGCCAGCACCAUGUGCGUCCACACGUAUAAAUGGGUGAUGCAGAGUAUGUAGCCAAGCAGCAUAUAUGCGCUGGUCCCAUAUUUGUUCUCUUUGAACCUUCUUCUUAUGUGAGGGCAGCAAAUCUAGUCGUGCACAAACUACCCGACCCCCCAGUUUCUUUCCCUUUUCAACAGAGAGAUUGGUUCCUUACAGAUGUGCGUACUGGGUUACCCCCUUUUUCCCUUUUCGACCUACAAAGUGGCUGGACAGCCAGUCUAUACUAGUUUCCGCCCCUCCUUUCCUCAUUGAACCACGUCCUAGAUUCUUGCUCCAGCCCACCGCACCCUUCUUUCCUCUUUGAACCAAGACCUAGAUUCGACUAGAGAUCGAAAAAGAUCCACAUGCAGCUAGAGCAACGACGGUUUCAAAGAAACUUAUACCUUAGGGUUGUCGGGAUAUGGCAAGGCGUGCGGCGGGAGGCUGGAUCUGCCCACACAUGCAGCUAGAAUAGCGCAGCCGGCAGUGGAUUGCCUCCCUCGCCGAAGGCGAUGGAGUGAAUGCUGCACCUCCUCCCCUUCCCGGUGCGACGGGAUACGGACGCCUCCUUCACUAGCUGUGAGGGGGGAGUGAGACAAGAGGCCAAUGCAGUCUUGUUUAGAUUUGGUGAAGAGAGGGUGAGAGACUGUGAAUAUAGCAACCCCUAGCGAAUGAACGCUGAGCCUCCAGCAUGUAACAUAUAUGUAGUGCGGCGAGUGUGUGGAGAGUGCAAACCCUAGCGAACAAGCGUUGAGGCCCUCGCUUAUAUAUAUACUACUAUAGUACGGACUGAGCUCCAGUGCCUUCACUGCACCUGCUUUUGGCUGUAUGACAGGUGAGCCAGCCACAUUUUGAGCCCACCUGUCGUAAAACCCUAGAGAAAAUUGCACCAACGUGCAAGACGACUGCGUCUCCAAUGCAACCAAGGUGAACUGACGAAGGAUAUCAUCUUUGUGCAUAACAAGCAAAGAGCAUUGAUGGAAGAUAGCUUGUUUUUCGUCGAAAAUCAAUCAGCUUCACCAGCCGACGCAACCAUGAGGCGCAACCAUGAGCAUCGAUAGGUCAUCGUGGUGAUGCAUCAUCCAUUUGGCAUCAAGUUUGGGUGAGGCACCUAAGAAGUUCGACAAAUCCUCAAUGUGGUCUGUUUCUUCUCAGUAAUCAAGCUUGAGGAAGGAAGAACCACGUGGCAGAGGACAGUGAGGCGGAACAACAAUGGCCAUCCAAUUUUGUGCAAUUCCACUAAAAUUGAGGAAGACAUGCCCGGGUAUGGAGACACGCAUCGCUGUUUCCAAAAAUAUAAAAAAGGGUUAGAAACAAAAUCUCAAUUGUCAAUAAGCAUUAAUGAAAAGUAAACCAACAAACAGAAGCAUCAUAAUUAUCUUGAUGGGAACUAAACCAGGAUACCCGAGAAAAAAAGCAUUUCUUCAUUUAACCAGUGAUAGACCAUAUGGACAAUGACCGCACAACCACCAUGUACUUUUUGUUGAAACAACAUGUAUACCUCCACCGAGGCAUAAAUCAGGACAACUUUUUUAUUGGCAUUUCCUCUAUAAUAGUACUAGUAGGUGAUGUUGGACCAGCCGACGAACCCUAGCUACUAUGCAUGGGGAGCUGGGGAGUAGUCGCAUAGAAGAAAACCCGCACGCAGCAACCUGGGGAGCUGGACCAGUACAAGAAGUUAUACCUCAAGUGGGCGAGAUGUCGUUUAGGCGGGCGAGCGGGAUCUGCCCACACGACGGCAGCGAACAAGGGCGCGGAGAUUCUUCGUCCGCGCCAGCGCUGGCUCCGAGAGGACGGUGCGCAUCGGCUUCCUCCGUCACCGAUGGCGACAACGUCAAUGCUGCACCUCCUCACCUCCCGCAGCGUACGGGAUUUGGCCGGAUCUGUGACCACCGGUGAGGAGGGAGAUAGAGUGGGCACAGUCAUCUUGUUUUGAUAUGGAGAGGGUGAGAGAGCGAGACGUGAGAAACUCUAUCAAACAAGAGGCUAUAAUGGAGUAAAAAAAUCUCUCCAUAGCAGUGGUUUUAAAUAGAAUACGCGUGUUCCCGAAAAAAAGUAAUGAAAACUGGCAGAUAAUUUUUUAAGGGUCUGUCUAGGACACAUCUAGAUGUGACAUAGUUAUGUCACAUAUAAGUUGAUGUCCACUCUGUUUGUGGUCUUUUCCUAGUUUUUUUGUUUCUUGUUGCUACAAUAUAUACUUGUGGGAGCUUAGAUGUGAUAUCCUUAAAUAACAUCUAGAUGUGAAUUAGACAAACUGAUUUUCUAACGUACCAAGAAAGAAAAUUUGAUCAAAAACACGCCCCUGCUUCCAGGUCGCGAGAGUCGUCGCGCACACACACAUAGACAUAGACAUGCAUAUCCGUGUUUAUGUAAAAUUCCAUUUCCAUCUCCAUCUCCAAUCAUAUUUGUCCAACUGGCACAUUAUUUACGUUGUUAAUUAUAUACGCAGCAAUAUUAACGUACAACAUCUCUUGUUUGCACACGUCCGGACCACUGCCACGGCCGGCCCUGACCAACCCGAACCCUCUUCAUCACCCGCACGUGCUUCCCGCCCGAAACGGUCAGCCGCAUUCAUGCCCGAUCAGAGCGGACGCGACCUCUCACUAGCGCCGGCAUUGAAGCGGCGCACCGGCCGAGAGAGCGUCGCCUGUGCCGCUUCCGGGUGCACGCGGCUGCUCCGUGUUCAAAGGUCGCAAUAGCCGGCUACAACAUGCGUGAUCUCUUCCAGUAGUAAGUUCUUGGGAGUCCGUGAUACAGCUAGCUGUCCUCCCCCAACUCGGCAAUCUCUUCCAGUAGUGCUAGUACUCCAUGGCGUGAUCCAUCAACAAGCAGGCGGGAAAGUUAUGGUAUACUACUCGGUUUGCGGUGAGUGGCAUGCCGAGCGACCAUGUGGGGUCGAGCCGUGGAGGAGGGUGAGACACGAACACGACAGACGUGAUUUAAACGUUGGUUUUGCUCGAUGGCGCGAUCCAACGAAACGAAACGUUGGUUUCUCUCCGUUUCCAUUUUUUCUUUGGAAAAAUGGAAACUUUUCCACUCCAUUUUCAUUCCUAUUCCAAGGUUUCCCCGUUACAACAUUCCAUCAAAUACAAAGGAAAACUAACACGCAUGCUGAUGCAUCUCAAUGAUUCACAGAUCAUAGCCAAUAUUUACUUCACAACUAAAGAAAAAGUUGUGAGAGCGUGUACGAUAGAAAAACUAUUGAUGGGGUCACUACGACUUAAACCCUAAACCCUAAACAUGAUUUAAUUUCCUGGCUAGGUAGAACCUGUCGAAGGAAAGACGGCUGGCACCCUCGGAUCAUACGAUGCUUUUGUGCAGUUCCACUAAAAUCGACCCGAGCAUCCCUGAUGGCAAAGAUAUUGAAGAAGUGUGAUUAGAAUAAUAGUACUGGCACUAUUUCAUGAGACAUAAACUCAUCACAAGUAGAAGCCGGUAGAAGUAGAGAAAGAUCGACAUGGAGAUGGAGCUACGGCAGUGGAGCAAGUCGGCUCCAAAAGGAAGAUGGACUACCUGGGACGUCAGGUUGUAGCUAGAAGGGCGGUUGGGACGCGGCAUCGGCCCAUACCGCGGUGACCCCCGAUUGGGACGCACCGACUGUCGGUUUUCUCCCUCGCCGAUGUCGACCGCGUGUACGCAGAACAUUGUUCCCUUCCCCCAGCUGCGGGAUCAGGCCCGUCGUUCUAUGCUUGUGAAGAGAGCAACCUAAGCAAGCAGGCUUGUAGCUUAGGCUCCUGCUAGUGUAUAUAUAGUGGUUUUCUUUUUCUCUCUAUAUCAACCAUUUUAUAUUGCGUACGUGUCAUUCAAGAGUGAAAUGAUGGUUGCUUCUUCCGACUAACUUACUGUGUGAUUUGACUGCUCCUUAGUGGCCCCUACACGUACUCCCCCUACAUGUAUGCAACAGUCACACAUACACAUGGACGCAAAAACGCGCGCGACGCCCUAAUGCAUGCAUGUCCGAGCACAUGACGGAACACAAACGGUCACGCUCAAGUGCUCAACCUACACGUGCAUGCACACACAUACUCAGUCAGGGUGAUCUAGUGACCGUAUGAACACCGAAAAAUAUAUAUAUUGAGUGCAAUGAGCUUAUUAUGAAGUCCACUGGCCGUAUUUUUACAAAUAUACAGUGACAGACAGUGUAUUUAUCUCGUGUGAAAUUAAGCCAUAUUAACCGGAGAGGAGGCAUCAUGGACUAGCAUUACUUUGCUGUGUCCCAUCAACUUGCCGAACAAGGAGAAGGUUGCAGGACGGGAGAAGCUUGCGUGCGGUGGCUCGUAGGACAAGGAGAAACUUUUGACUAAUGCAAGCUCUCCCUCGCUCAGGCGGUGGACGUACAACAGUUAAUUCGGUGUCAGAUUGCCAGAAGCAUACACUGUACUACUAGUGCUAUUAAUGUUCGACUUCCCGAACAGCCAAGAGCAAAGUUUACUAGUACUACUACUAUAGUCCAUAAAGGUACGUACUAUACUAGUACUAGGAACCGGAUGGAGGAGCGUCUGCACUCUUAUUAUAAUUUUAAAAUGUGAUAAAGCAAUCUUCAACACAUUUGGUUCUCUUCGAGGGUUCUCGCAUGUGAUAAUGGAAGUUGAUUGCAUGGAACACCCGCCACAAUUCUUGCUUAAUUCUGGCUCAUAUCCUGUUACUAAUAGUAGCGCUCAGUAAUAUUUCCUCUUUUUUUGUUAUUCAGCAUGUAAACAGGUCAGCAAACCUGGCGGCGCAUCUUCCUGCGAACCGUGCUUGUUGCACUUUGAAUGUGGCCGAGAGCUGGCUUGAUGAAACACCUCGCUUCCUACUUCUUUUUUUGCGGGGUACCUCGCUUCCUAGUGACCAGUGUCUUGGCUGAUCGUCCUAAGAAUGCUUAUAUAUGAAUAAAGCUCUCUCAUUUACCCGGAAAAAAGAUUAAGCCAUAUUAACCGGAACGGAGGGAGUAUGGACUAGCACUACUUUUUGGUGUGUCCCGUCAACUCACAGAACAAGGAGAAGCUUGCAGGACAAGGUGAAGCUUGCUUAAGCCUUUUGACUAAAGCAACCUACCCUCGGUGGGCAUGCAUCAGUCCAUUCGGUGUCAGAUUGUCAGAGGCAUACAUUGUAGUACCCAACAUGCGGAGUACCAUCAUUGUUCGACUUCACGAAGGGGCGAAGAGCCAAGCGCAGUAGUACGUGUACUUGGUUUUGCACCUUCAUACUACUCCACCCUCCGUCACAUGUGUUGACAGGGCGCACUUCAUUAUGAUGCAUUUCUCUCAAUGCAUUUCCACCACUAGAGAGACUUUAGACGCGUUUGGUUUGAUGCUCAAUUAAUUAGGGCUUGGUAACCGCAAUCAAGUCCACAAUUUUCUCUCCGUGUACUGUACUACUUCAGAGUGCAUGCAUGUGUGUACCCGGGGUGGAAGCACUGCAUGCAUGUGUAUGCGCAUUAUUCCCUCUAUUAAUAGAUGUAGUGUUAUAACUACCAAUGCUAUUUUUCAGGCCGAUCUCUAGUCGCCUUGGUCCCACAGAUUUUAUUUCUUUUUUCUGAAGCGCGCUGUAUAAACAGUGACGGAUGGAGUAGUAUGAGCAGAUUCAAAGAAGAGCGUGUUGAUGGUUGCUUCUUCAGAGCAACUUACAGUAGGAAAGGUGGGGCUUAUGAUUUGACCGCUCAUUACUCAUUAUUAAUGCGGCGCAAUGACCGGGCUGAGUCUCCCAUACGGUUGUGCACUACCCCCUCGGUUCUUAAAUAUACUCCGGAGUAUUUGUCUUUCUAGAGAUUUCAACGAAUGACUACUCAAAUAUUUGUCUUUUUAGAGAUUCCAAAUGGACUGGAACAUACGGAUGUAUAUAGACAUAUUUUAGAGUGUAGAUUCACUCAUUUUGCUCCGUAUGUAGUCACAUAUGAAGGGAGUACACAUAUUUAGGAACGGAGGGAGUACACAUAUGAAGCAAAAUGAGUGAAUCUACACUCUAAAAUAUGCCUAUUUGAAAUUUGUAAAAAGAUAAAUAUUUAGGAACGAAGGAGUAUAAUUUUGUGCAUGGCACAUGGACCCGGAUGAUGAAGAGGCUUCUCGCAAUGCUAUCAAGCUUCCAUCAUUUGUUUACAUGAUUGACAUACUAUACAAAUAAUUUUCCAGCAACAUGAAAUUGUACAAUGGUGUGAGCUUUCAGCUUUUGUUUCGCGUGUCUUGCCAUCGAUGCUCUUUCGGAAACAAUAAAAAACUAACUUCCUUGCUAAUGCAUGUCAAUUAUUAGCAGAUGAGAGCUAAUAAUUACAUCACAACUGAAGACAAAGUUGUGAGAAGGUGUUAAAUUAAAAUUGAUCCAUGCUUUCAUUGGCAGCAACGUCCCCCCAGCUUUGUCUAAAUCAACAAGGCAUGUUGGGAAAAAAAGUAGCUGUCUGGAGCAUGCAACAUUCCGAUCAUUUUGUGCAGUUCCACUAAAAUAGAGCUGAGCAUCCCUGUUCCAAAGAUAUCAAGUGUGAUUACGAUAAUAGAGGACUGCUGAUGAAACAAUAAACACACAAAUAGAAGCCAGUCACCUUUGCAGUCUCUCUUAAGACUAACUAGUUGGAGAAGAUUAGGCUCGGAGUUGGAUGAGGAGGAUAGAGAAAAACCAAUCUCCCUUUGUGCAGUCACACUGAAAUGUAGAGACGUUGCCCGUGUGACAUUUUAGUACAACUGCACAAAACACUCUUAAGAAAAAAGUGAUUUGUGCAGUUCACCAAAAGGUCGCAAUAGAAACGAGGUGAAAUGGAUAGCGCUGUUUGCAAAAAAGAGGUAGAAAGGAAACAAUUACUGGCCAAUAACAGGUGAUGACACAUGCGACGACAAAAAGUAGCAUAUUCCUUGUCCUAAAGGAAGAUAACAACACGGUUGUGUUUGUCUAAAACGGCGUGAGGACGAGAAUGCAAUAUGGAAAGUACACUGGACGAGCUACGUUUUGGGCAAAGAACUAUGGAAGAUCCACAUGCAGCGACGUGGGAAAACGGGCAGUGGAGCAAGGCCGGAGGGGAUACCUAGAGGUCGUCGGGAUGUAACUAGGUGAGCGGCGGCGGGCGGAAUCUAUGAGCAGGUGGCGUAGGCCCUGCCGUGCCGGAGCUUGGUCAGAGAGAACGGCGUGUACCGCAGAUCGGGACGUGCUGCCUCGGCGCCAUCGAAUGGAGAAACGAUGCACUUCCUCCGUUUCCCCCGGCGGACGGGAUGUAGCCGGAUCAGUGACCAACGGUGAGAGAGAGAGAGGCCACCGCACUCCCUUUCCCCCGACGGACGGGAAGCGGCCGGAUCAGUGACCAACGGUGAGAGAGAGAGAGAGGCCACCGCACUCCCUUUCCCCCGGCGGAUGGGAUGCGGCCGGAUCAGUGACCAACGGUGAGAGAGAGAGGCCACCGGAGCCUUGUGUGAGAUACUCUGAAGAGCGGACUACCUUCUCCUCCAUAAAAAUCGUUUUAUAUUUUGUGUACGUUCCAUUGAGCGCUAUAACUUUAUUUAAAAAUAACGCGGCAACGCGUCAAGUCAAACUUUGUUUCGUGCACGCGUGGUACACGACCUCCCUAGGUAAACAACCGCUACAGGCGUUCAAAUUAGCACGUGGGCUGCCAUUUCGUAAAGAAAUGAGCUCCACCGUGUACCCUCGCGGGUGUGGCUGGGCACGAAGCGUGAGUACGUACACGGUGCACCUAUUCUCUUCUUGUAUACAUACACCACCUACGUGGGGUUGUGUGAGAGAGAUACAAACCUAGAGAAGAGAGUGGGUUCUUGAGAGNNNNNNNNNNNNNNNNNNNNNNNNNNNNNNNNNNNNNNNNNNNNNNNNNNNNNNNNNNNNNNNNNNNNNNNNNNNNNNNNNNNNNNNNNNNNNNNNNNNNNNNNNNNNNNNNNNNNNNNNNNNNNNNNNNNNNNNNNNNNNNNNNNNNNNNNNNNNNNNNNNNNNNNNNNNNNNNUAUUUAACAUAUGCAAUGUGUGUGAAAUAGAGUCCUGGAUAUAACAUAUAUAUAGAGGGGGCGAUCCAUGAGAAGAGAGUGGAGGUAUCAUCGGCUUGAGGUGUCCAUAGAAUCGAAGAGAGGGAUGAUGUGUGUGUGUGCGCGCGCGAUCGAUAAAGAGUGCCAUCGAAUUUGUGUGUGCCCACGUCAAAGAUAUAGAGUGGCUGGCCUAUUGGAACGUGAGAUGGGACAUGUGCAGUUUGUCUCUGUGGCAUGGAUACCUACCUGCAGCGCUCGACUAUCGGUGUGUGGUGGGGGGAGAGGGAGGCCCAAUUAACUAUAGAGGUACAAUGGCUGGUAUAUGUGUGGAGGAGGAGAGAGGCCUACCUCAUGUAUUAAGGAGAUCGAUCUGCCUCAUGUAUUAAGGGAGAUCGAUCGGCAUCCAUGCAUAUGUGCAGGAGAUGAAUAAGGUUGGGAGAGAGACAGAGCUAGAGUGUUGGAGGGGUGGUAGUGGAGUUGCUUCUAACAAAUGGUGGAAUAGGCUUGCUAGCCAAACGGAGGGCAAGCCCGCAAUAUCAAUAAGAGAGGAGAUGGCUGCUUGUUGUCUGUGCACGUGCGUGUGAGAGACGGGUCAGGAGGCAUGCACGAAAGAUGAGGGGGGACGAUGUGGCUGUGGUAAGAAGACGUAACUACAUAGGAAGAUCAAUCUCCCUUAUUAAGAGAAAGGAGAGACAUAACUUGUGAGGUACGUCAAUCGAUGGGGGGGUAGUUAAAGUCGAUCUAGGUAUAUGUUGGGAGAUCGAUCGGUAUACAUGCAUGUGUGUGUUAGAAGCAAAUGAGGCACGAGGAGAAGGAUAGAGAGAGAGGGAUGCAUGUAGGAGGUGGUACGAGAGGCAUACUAUAUCAAGGGGGAGGAGUGUGCGAGUACGAGAACGAUGAAAAGAGUGGUGGGAGUGAGGCAUGGACGGUGACAAGAGAAGAGAGGAAGCUUGUGUUUGUGCUAGGCACACCUGGCUAGAGAGGCAUAUCGAUCGAUGUGUGCCGUAAAGAAGGAGCUAGGGGGCCUACACACACCGUCGGUGAACGACCUAAAGUGAAAAGACGAAUUUGCGCGAUGGAGCUAGAGAAUGCUGAGGGAGUGUGAGAGGGAUGCGGGCGUGUGCAUGCACGAGAGAAAGUUAGUGCUAGCUACAAAGAUUAAAGGGUUGUGUGGGUGUAAAAGACGAAUAGAGAUCAUAUAUACUUCAUUAUAAAAAGCGAAUUCAGAUAUUUGAAGAAUUUAUCAUAGUGUUUCAAACCGACGGAUGUGUGAAUAUAUAUAACGGUGACACACAUGGUGUGGUUAUGAACAUGGUAUACUACAUUUAAUAUAUUUUAUCUCUACUCUUAUAAAAAAACGGAGUUGUUGAUAAUGGUGUGCCUGCCAUCCUACAUUAUAGGCCGUCUGAUUUAUAUCUGGCGGAUAGCAAGGAAACUAUGAUGGUUGAAGUUGGCAACAAUCAUGAUUGUAGAUUCUUAUUGAAAUAGAGAAACGAAUUCAAAUUUAGUUCGAAUUGCAGCGGUAGUAUAGACAUUUGGAAUGCACUAAAAUGUUGGUAUGAGUAGGUUACAUGCAUUAUACAGCAAGCGAAAAAAUUUAAUCGGACAUAACAGGGAUUCAUACUCCCUCCUUCCAUCUAUAUAGGGCGUAAUGAGAUUUUUAAGACCGCCUUUGACUAUUGACAAGAUUAAUAGUACAUGACAUGCACAAUGUGAAAAAUAUAUCAUUGAAAGAACCUUUCACAAACGAAUUUAACGGUGUGCUUUGUGUAAGUUGCAUUUCAUAUAUCAUUGCUCUAAUAUUUGGUCAAAGUUAGCAUCGAAAAACGCAUUAGGCCCUAUAUAGAUGGAAGGAGGGAGUAGCUUUGAAUAGCAUUUGUAUAGUAAAAUGGGGCAAGACUCUCUCUUUGUGUGGUGUGAAUAGUUUUAUUUUUUUCAUUUUCUUUUUGGUUGAGGGAAGUGCGAAUUGAUUUGGUACGUAUAAGUACAAUAUUACUACACGUUAGGCUUGUCCCUAAAAUUCAACCUGCGUCUUGUUAUAUCCCGAAAAUUCAGAUAUCGUGCUCCCAAAACUGGCGCCUUCACAACCCACGCCUUGCUAUCCAGAAAUUACAACGCGUGCGAAAACUCCCUCCAGCUGCCAAAUCCCGAUAGGUGAAAUCCCCCUUCUAACCCUGAGCCGAAAGGGCCGCUAGUUCAAAUCGGUGGGGGGUACUUUUGUAACACACCCUACAUUUUGAACAAGCGCGUUCCUAAGUCAUGCUUCACCCCCUUCCAUCGCCCCCUUUUCGCCAUUCGAAAACCCAGGCCGCCAUAACCUCUCCGCUCCAGCCGCGAAACCCCACCCUCCUCCGUCUGCCACGUCACCGCUGCCCAGCCGGAGCAUCUUCCCCGACGGCGUCGUCGACCGCAAUAGCUCGACGUCCCUCGUCCACCUCCCCGGAUGAGGAUCCGUCGUCCAUCUCGCCGUCCCGCCGGUUCAGCAGCCCCGUCUUCCACCUCCAAGGAGCUGCUCCGACGAUCACUGUGGGAGUCCUGGAUUAGGGGGUCUCCGGACAGCGGGACUAUCUCCAUUGGCCGGACUGUUAGACUAUGAAGAUACAGGAUUGAAGACUUCGUCUCGUGUCCGGAUGGGACUCUACUUGGCGUGGAAGGCAAGCUAGGCAAUACGGAUAUGUGUAUCUCCUCCUUUGUAACCGACCUUGUGUAACCCUAACCUCUCCGGUGUCUAUAUAAACCGGAGGGUUUUAGUCCGUAGGACAACAUACAAUCAUACCAUAGGCUAGCUUCUAGGGUUUAGCCUCUCUGAUCUCGUGGUAGAUCUACUCUAGUAUUACCCAUAUCAUCAAUAUUAAUCAAGAAGGACGUAGGGUUUUACCUUCAAUAAGAGGGCCCGAACCUGGGUAAAACAUUGUGUCCCCUGCCUCCUGUUACCAUCUGCCUUAGACGCACAGUUCGGGACCCCCUACCCGAGAUCCGCCAGUUUUGACACCGAUAAUCGCCUUGUCUAUCACGGCUGCUCCAUCCCCACAGCGCCGCCUUAACCUGCUCCACCGGAACCGCAGCAUCCUCACCGACUCCUCGGACGAAACCGAGGCCUAAUCGGCGCCACCAAAGAGGUUUUACACUCAUCGCAUCGCACCUUCUCCUUAACUCGACCUCCCGGCGCCGAUGGUGCUCCAUCACGCACCCCCAUGGAGCGGCUACCUUGAAACCGGCGCCGUGGGUGACAUCUCCCCGAAGGCUCUCCCCCAGUGCGAGGCCCCUUGGGCGGCGGCGUCCAUAGCAGCCGGAUCUGCUGCUGCUGCUCGGCUCUCGCUCGAUCGCUCGCUCGCCCAGCUGCUGCUGCUCUCCCCCUCGCUCGUGCUGCUGCUCCGCUCCAAUUAAGCCACACUUGAGUCGAAUGAAUCGACUUUUGGGUCAGUCGAUUUUCAGGGGUUGGGGGGCUCGCCGGAGUUAAGGAAGAACCACCCGCAGCGGGGACGGGGGCUCGCCGGAGAGGCACCCCACUAUCUAUCUUAGGGUUCAGGGUGGGGGCGGGGGGCCUACAGGGCUGGCCGGGGCGGCGGUGGCGAGUUGUUUCGGGGCGGCGAGGCGGCGCUGGGGCCGGCGGUUCGGCCGGUGGUGGCUGGCGGCUCAGGGGGGUGCAGGUUGAAGAUGAACUGCAAGCCCUCCCUAAACUACAUGUCAAGUGCCUCUCUGCUACCAUUGCGUUCAGUUUCGAGAGUAGAAUUCAGAUUCCACAGUAAAUUUCAGUUUCAACAGUUCAGUUCGGAGUCAACAGUUUUUACCUCAUCUGUUGUAGUCAGGUGGUUUUUGGUGAUGUUAAUUUUACAUCCAUUUUACAUCAUCUAUUGGAGAUGCUAUUAGAAUCCCACUUGAGAUUGACGAUGUCUGUCUUGUGCUGCUUCAGCCUUCACGUCUUACGGCUCACCGAAGCUGCUCCAACGAUAGAAUGAUCCAUCACAACAGAGCAUUGUCCUGGACGCCGUCUACAGAUUCCUCAGAUCUUCCUCCACACCUCUGACAGCCACCUCUGCCUCAACUGCUUCAGCGACCAACCCAAUGAUGCUGAGGUCGACACGGCUACGGCAAAGAGGUUGUACACUUGUUGCAUCACUUAUUACUAUACAUUCACGUCGAUCCAUUAGGGCUAUUUUGGUUCAAUGGAAAAACAUCGAUCCACUGGUUGUUACCAUCACUCUAAAUUUCUGCAUGCUCUCCUUACAUAAUCUCACCAUAUUUUUUCGUAUGCAUGUCAGAUAUUGUACAUAGUCAUGCUGAACAUGUAGAGAAAAAGAGAAGAGUUUUGCACGGCAAUACAAUGUCAUGCAGACAUCGCUCCAUGGUGGGUUCAAUGGCAAACCCUCCCCACCCCUCUCCAGAUUGUAAUCCAGAGGAAGAUAUCUGUUCUGAGGCGGAUUCGAACGCCGCUGACCACUCCUAUUUACCCCCCAAGGUGUUUGCUCUACCUUGGCAUGAUGAUGUUAGUCAUAUCAUGCAUAUGUUGCCUUGCAGUGUCUACUUUUGACAUCAUAUAUGUCAUCUGCUUAGUUUAGACAUGUUCUGUAAUGCCACCCGUUUAGUUUCUAUAUCAUAUAUGGGAAUUAUGCAGUCUCAUGUCUUUUAGCCAGCCAUAAUAUAUGUGAAAUGUGCAAUGCCAUCCUGUUUAACCAGGCAUCAUAUAUUUGAAUGAUAUCUUGCCCGUCCUUCUAUUCAUUACAUUUCCAUUUGUCAACAAUGUUUGUACAUUAAACUACUCUUCCUGUGAAUCAGCCAUUUGGGUGGGAGAUGGAAAAAUCUGGAGUGAAAACAAGGCCUUCAGAACAGACAGUGCUACCUGUCGAAGCAGAUCUCUUGUUGGGUCCCGAUAGCUCCUCAGAGAUGGAUUCAGAGACAGAUGACCGGUCCUAUUCCCCCACUGAGGUGUAUGCUCUAACUUGGCACGGUUAUACUACUCAUAUCAUGCAUACGGUGUCUUACAUUGCAUAGUUUAGACAUCAUAUACACAAUAUUCAACACCGUGUUCUUAGUUCAGACAUCAUAUCGAAUGCCCUCUGUUUAGCAUAUAAAUCACAUAUGUGAAUUAAAUGAUGCGAUCCUGAUUACUUAGAUUACAUGUAUGUGAAUUAUGUCAUGCGAUCCUGUUUAGUUAUUCAUCAUAUCUUUGAAUUAUGUUAUGCUAUGCUAUCCAGUUUAGAUAGACAUCAUAUAUGUGAAAUUAUGUCAUGCUAUCCGUUUUAGUUAAACAAUAUACAUGUCAACUAUUUCAUGCCCUCUUUUUUCCACACUAUCUAUUGCAUCUGUCUCUCAUACAAUGUUUGUACAUUCAACUAUGUUUCCUGUUUAUCAGCCAUUUGACUUGGAGCGGGUGAUGCCAGUAUCUAGCGGACUAAAAACACGGUCUUCAAAUAAAACAGUGCUACCUCUUGGUGGAGAUAGCACCCCGGUUGUACAUGCACAAGAACCAGCCCUACCACACAUAACCCAAACUCUCGUAGAUUGUACCCCUACUAUGAUGGACAGAGAACCAGCUUCACCCAAUCUAACCCCAACCCCAGCCGAUAGUAACCCAGUUCCUGUUGACACAGCACCAUCUCCACCACAGAGCUCCCAAACAAGAGCAGUUAGUAAGGCAGCUCCAGUGCCCAAAGGACCAGUACUAUCACGGCGAACCCCAACUCCACCAGUUAGUACGCCUAUUCCACUACUAGGAAAAGGGCUAUAGAUGGAAUUGACACUAAUGGCGCACCAGACAUGUGGUGCGCCAUUACUAUAUACUAAUGGCGCACCAUGUGUUGGUGCGCCAUUAGUGUCCAAAUACUAAUGGCGCACCACAUCCACGGUGCGCCAUUAGUAAAAAAAAUUCAAAACUACUAAUGGCGCACCGUGGGAGUGGUGCGCCAUUACUAGUAGUUGAACUAGUAAUGGCGCACCAUGCCACGGUGCGCCAUUAGUAACUUGGCCACCACUUCCACUGAAUGCACCCCCCCCCUCGUGGACCGCCUUUUCAGUUUUAAAAAAAUAAAAAAAUGAUGGAAAUGUCAAAAAAAUAAAAGAAAAUAAGUUUCCCAUGUGAUAUGUAGUCUAGUUGUUGUGAAAAUUUACAAAUAUGAAUUUCGACUUUAUUUGCGAAAUCUCUCGAGAAUUUGUAAAAUGGGCAUAACUUUUGCGUACGAACUCGGAUGAAAAAGUUUUUUAUAUGAAAAAUCAUCUACUCAAAAAGUUACAUCCGAAUUUAACGGGGGGAACCCCGUUAAACAUUUUCAAAAUCCUCAAAAACCUAACAGAAAAAAAGAUAUGGGGCUUUUAAGAUCUGGAGAGGCAAAAAAAAUUCAAACUUACUAAUGGCGCACCUACCCAUGGUGCGCCAUUACUAUCUUCCUGCCUUCAAAAUUCAAAAUAAGUCAAAAAAUAAAAAAAGUUACUAAUGGCGCACCUGCCCAUGGUGCGCCAUUAGUAUCUUCCCGCCUUCAAAAUUCAAAAAAAGUUAAAAAAAAAGUUACUAAUGGCGCACCUGCCCAAUGUGUGCCAUUAGUAUCUUCCCGCCUUCAAAAUUCAAAAUAAAUCAAAAAAAAGUUAGUAAUGGCGCACCUGCCCGCGGUGCGCCAUUACUAUGCCGUAUAUAUGGCUGGGCGUGGUCCUCUCCUCCUUACCUCUUCAUUCUUCUCCAACACUCCACCUCUCCUCCACUCCAUCUCCUCCUCUCAUCCACUCCAUCUUCCCUUCUCUCCUCCACCAUACUACCCUCCUCCUCUNNNNNNNNNNNNNNNNNNNNNNNNNNNNNNNNNNNNNNNNNNNNNNNNNNNNNNNNNNNNNNNNNNNNNNNNNNNNNNNNNNNNNNNNNNNNNNNNNNNNNNNNNNNNNNNNNNNNNNNNNNNNNNNNNNNNNNNNNNNNNNNNNNNNNNNNNNNNNNNNNNNNNNNNNNNNNNNNNNNNNNNNNNNNNNNNNNNNNNNNNNNNNNNNNNNNNNNNNNNNNNNNNNNNNNNNNNNNNNNNNNNNNNNNNNNNNNNNNNNNNNNNNNNNNNNNNNNNNNNNNNNNNNNNNNNNNNNNNNNNNNNNNNNNGUGAGCUCCUCCUCCCUCCUCUCCUCCCAUCCCCUCAUGGUUUCUCCUUCCUCCUCUCCGAUGCUCCGGUGAACUCCUCUCCGGCGACCUUCUCCUCCUCCUCUCCGGCGAACUCCUCCUCCUCCUCUCCGGCGAUGUAGGCGAGCGCCUCUCCGGUGACCUCCUCCUCCUCCUCUCCGGCGAAAUCCUCUCUGGCAAAAGAACACGGCAAAAGAACGUACAAGAUCCAAAAACAGGAACAAACUUUGAAAUAAUAUCGUGCCAAAAAACGAGCAAAAAAUGGGAAAAAAAUCACGAUCCAGAUCCAAAUUCAAAAUUCAAAAAUAGCAAUGGCGCACGGUGGGGGUUAGACGGUCCGCCACUACUAUUUUCCCGCCUUCAAAAUUCAAAAAUACUAAUGGCGCACCAGUGGCCUAUACUAAUGGCGCACCAGUGGCCUAUACUAAUGGCACACCGUGGCCUAUACUAAUGGCGCACCAUGGCAUAUACUAAUGGCGCACCAGUGGUGCGCCAUUAGUAAAAAUACUAGUGGCGUGAUACUAAUGGCGCACCAGUGAUGCGCCAUUAGUAGGCAAAACUGGUGCGCCAUUAGUAGCCCUUUUCCUAGUAGUGUUCCUGUGGAUGAACACUAGUAGAAAACAGGGCUUUGGUCCAGGCCGGGUCAGCCCAUUAGUCCCGGUUCAGUCCAGAACCGGGACCAAUGUGGGAAUUGGUCCCGGUUCAUCUGGACCUUUUGGUCCCGGUUGGUGGGAUGAACCGGGACCAAUGGGCCUCGCUCCUGGACCACCACCAUUGGUCCCGGUUCGUGGCUUGAACCGGGACCAAAGGCUCCCCUUUAGUCCCGGCUCAUGUCACCAACCGGGACCAAUGAGGUGCCUAUAUAUACCUCUCGCUCGCGAGCAGAGCACCCAGUGCUCUGUUGUUCUCUGGCCAAGGGGGAGAGGGCUUUGUGGUGCUCUAGCUCACCUCCUAUGCACAUGAGGUGUUCGAUGGAAUGCCCGAGCCACACUACUUAAGCUUUCUCCUGUUGAAGCUCGACCUCCAAGCUCCAUUUUCCUCGAGAUUUGUCUAGAUUUAGCGGUCCGUCACGCCCCGUCCCCGUCUUCACCGCCGUCGAUCACCCGUGCCGAUCUCAUCACCGAAACCACCGUGGUAAGCCUCUUGUUCUUAUCUUCUUUUUGAAAGGAAAAAUAUUCUUACUUGUAUGUUUAGAUAGAUACUUGUAUCAUUUUCUUACAUUUAUUAUUGCAUCUUAUAUAGUGCGAUGGUUUUGGUAUCCGCCCCCGUCAGCCCUCGUCCUGUCUAUGAUUCAGAUGUGGUAUGUAUAUUAUCUUUAUAACUAUUGGUUCAUUUAUUGUUUAUGAUAAUUAUGCCGACCAACGUGACAUAGAUUUAUUUAUCUAGGAUGUAUGUGAAUCGGAAAUGCCAACCGACCCUAUUGUCGAGAGGUUAAAUUUAGUUGAAGAAGAAAACAAUUUGUUGAAGGAAAAAAUAAAAAAAAUUGAGGAGGAGAAGAUGAUAUUGGAGUUGCAUGUUGCGGAUGUCGUCGAUGAUCACAAGAUCAAGAUGGAUGCAAUGCGCUUGAAGACUAGAAAGAUUAGAAAAUAUGCCAUUCAUACCGAGGCUUGGUAUCAUUAUGCCAUUGGAUCAAUUGUUACCUUGGUUGCGAUUAUGAUCGCAUUUGUUUUCGCAUUGAAAUGUAUUACACAGUUUCAAUGUAUGGUUUAAUUAAUUAGAUGCUCUGGAGAGCUAUAUGUUGUUAGAUGAGAACUAUGUAUGCACUUUGGUUUUAAUGUGAUGAUGAACUUCUAUUAAUUUGGACACUUAAUUAUAUAUAAUGCACGCAGAUGAACUGGCAAUGGAUGUACGGUGACAGACACACCCGCGAGUACAUUAAGGGCGUGCAUGAGUUUCUCAAUGCGGCUGAGGCAAACAAGCAGAAUGGUUUUAUGUGUUGUCCAUGCACUGAAUGUGGGAAUACAAGGUCUUACUCUAAUCGGAAAAUCCUUCACUCCCACCUGCUUUACAAGGGUUUCAUGCCACACUAUAAUGUUUGGACGAGGCACAGAGAAGUAGGGGUUAUGAUGGAAGACGGCGAAGAAGAAGACUACGAUGACAACUAUGUGCCCCCUGAAUACGGUGAUGCUGCAACGGGGGGAGCUGGUGAAGAUCAAGAGGAACCAGACGAUGUGCCCAAUGAUGCUGCAACGGGUGAAGCUGCUGAAGAUCAAGAGGAACCAGACGAUGUGCCCGAUGAUGAUGAUCUCCGCCGGGUCAUUGUCGAUGCAAGGACGCAAUGCGAAAGUCAAAAGGAGAAGCUGAAGUUCGAUCGCAUGUUAGAGGAUCACAAAAAAGGGUUAUACCCCAAUUGCGAAGAUGGCAACACAAAGCUCGGUACCGUACUGGAAUUGCUGUAGUGGAAGGCAGAGAAUGCUGUGGCUGACAAAGGAUUUGAGAAGCUACUGAAAAUAUUGAAGAAGAAGCUUCCAAAGGAUAACGAAUUGCCCGACAGUACAUACGCAGCAAAGAAGGUCGUAUGCCCUCUAGGAUUGGAGGUGGAGAAGAUACAUGCAUGCCCUAAUGACUGCAUCCUCUACCGCGGUGAAUACAAGGAUCUGAACGCAUGCCCGGUAUGCGGUGCAUUGCGGUAUAAGAUCAGACGAGAUGACCCUGGUGAUGUUGACUGCGAGCCCCCCAGGAAGAGGGUUCCUGCGAAGGUGAUGUGGUAUGCUCCUAUAAUACCACGGUUGAAACACCUGUUCAAAAACGAAGAACAUGCCAAGUUGAUGCGAUGGCAUAGUGAGAACCGAAAGAAAGAUGGGAAGUUGAGAGCACCCGCUGACGGGUCACAGUGGAGAAAAAUCGAAAGAAAGUACUGGGAUGAGUUUGCAAAGGACCCAAGGAAUGUAUGGUUUGCUUUAAGCGCGGAUGGCAUUAAUCCUUUCGGGGAGCAGAGCAGCAAUCACAGCACCUGGCACGUGACUCUAUGUAUGUAUAACCUUCCUCCUUGGAUGUGCAUGAAGCGGAAGUUCAUUAUGAUGCCAGUUCUCAUCCAAGGCCCUAAGCAACCCGGCAACGAAAUUGAUGUGUACCUAAGGCCAUUAGUUGAAGAACUUUUACAGCUGUGGAAUGAAAACGGUGUACGUACGUGGGAUGAGCACAGACAGGAGGAAUUUAAACUUAAGGCAUUGCUGUUCGUGACCAUCAACGAUUGGCCCGCUCUCAGUAACCUUUCAGGACAGACAAACAAAGGAUACCACGCAUGCACGCACUGUUUAGAUGACACUGAAAGUAUAACCUGGACAAAUGCAGGAAGAAUGUGUACCUGGGCUAUCGUCGAUUUCUUCUGACCAACCAUCAAUGUCGAAAGAAAGGCAAGCAUUUCAAAGGCGAGACAGAUCACCGGAAGAAGCCCGCCAUGCGCACCGGUGAUCACGUGCUUGCUAUGGUCAAUAAUUUACACUACGUAAUCUUUGGAAAGGGUCCCGGUGGACUAGCUGUUCCGAAUGACGCUGAGGGACACGCACCCAUGUGGAAGAAGAAAUCUAUAUUUUGGGACCUACCCUACUGGAAAGACCUAGAGGUCUGCUCCUCAAUCGACGUGAUGCACGUGACGAAGAACCUUUGCGUGAACCUGCUAGGCUUCUUGGGCGUGUAUGGGAAGACAAAAGAUACACCUAAGGCACGGGAGGACCUACAACGUUUGCACGAAAAAGACGGCAUGCCUCCGAAGCAGUAUAAAGGUCCUGCCAGCUACACUCUUACGAAAGAAGAGAAAAAAAUCUUCUUUGAAUGCCUGCUCAGUAUGAAGGUCACGACUGGCUUCUUGUCGAAUAUAAAGGGAAUAAUAAAUAUGCCAGAGAAAAAGUUUCAGAACCUAAAGUCUCAUGACUGCCACGUGAUUAUGACGCAACUACUUCCGGUUGCAUUGAGGGGGCUUCUACCGGAAAACGUCUGAUUAGCCAUUGUGAAGCUAUGUGCAUUCCUUAAUGCAAUCUCUCAGAAGGUGAUCGAUCCAGAAAUCGUACCAAGGCUAAGGAGUGAUGUGGCGCAAUGUCUUUUCAGUUUCGAGCUGGUGUUCCCACCAUCCUUCUUCAAUAUCAUGACGCACGUCCAAGUUCAUCUUGUCGACAAGAUUUUCAUCCUGGGACCCAUAUUUCUACACAAUAUGUUCCCCUUUGAGAGGUUCAUGGGAGUCCUAAAGAAAUAUGUUCGUAACCGCGCUAGGCCAGAAGGAAGCAUCUCCAUGGGCCAUCAAACAGAGGAUGUUAUCGGGUUUUGUGUUGACUUCAUUCCUGGCCUUAAGAAGAUAGGUCUCCCUAAAUCGCGGUAUGAGGGGAGACUGACUGGCAAAGGCACUCUUGGAAGAGACUCAAUAAUAUGCAGGGACGGAUAUUCUUGGUGUCAAGCACACUACAUAGUUCUACAGAACUCUACCUUGGUGACCCCGUAUGUCGAUGAACACAAGAACAGUCUGCGCUCCAAACACCCGGAGCGGUGCGACGACUGGAUUACAUGUGAACACAUCAGGACUUUCAGUAGUUGGUUGGAAACACGUCUCAGAGGUGACAACACUGUUUGUGAUGAGUUGUACUUGUUGUCCAGGGGACCAUCUUUGACUGUAUUGACUUACAAAGGAUACGAGAUAAAUGGGAAUACAUUUUACACGAUCUCCCAAGAUCAAAAGAGCACCAACCAAAACAGCGAUGUCCGCUUUGAUGCAGCAACCGAAAUCGGAAAGGACACAUAUUAUGGUUACAUAGUGGACAUAUGGGAACUUGACUACGGACCUGAUUUUAAGGUCCCUUUGUUUAAGUGCAAAUGGGUCAAUCUGUUAGGCGGCGGGGUACAGGUAGACCCAUAGUACGGAAUGACAACAGUGGAUCUGAAAAAUCUUGGGUACACUAUCGAACCGUUCGUCCUAGCCAAUGAUGUGGCACAGGUUAUCUAUGUGAAGGACAUGUCUACCAAACCGAGAAAAAGAAGAGAUAAGGAAGCGAAUACAUCAUACGAUGAGCCAAAGCGCCACAUAGUUCUUUCAGGAAAAAGGGACAUCCUGGGAGUGGACGGCAAGACAGACAUGUCUGAAGAUUAUGAAAAGUUUCAUGAAAUUCCUCCCUUCAAUGUCAAGGCUAACCCAAGCAUCCUGAUAAACAAUGAAGAUUAUCCAUGGUUACGGCGCAAUAAGCAAAUGACACAAGCGAAGAAAAAGUGAAGACUUUCUCCCGCAACUAUUAUGAUGAUACCAUGCCAACUUUGUAACACACGAACAUGCUACCAUUAUCCGUUUUGUACAUGCACAUGCUAUGUGGGUGAAAUUAUGAUACCAUCCCAACUUUCAACUUUUUCAGAGUUCAUUUGAAAGUGAUUGUCCAUUUUGUACACGAAGUGCAUCAAGUUUUCUCUAUAAGCGCAUCUAUUCUCAUUUUUUUAGUAAGUUAAUCACAAACUUGUGAUGCAAACAAUUUUCAAAGAAUUCAAAUUUUAACUAUUCAAAUUUGAAAACUAAUGGCACUAACAGAAUGUUUAUAAUUUUUCUAAAACUAAUGGCACUAGCAGAAAGUUUAUAAUUUUGCUAACCUAAAAGCAAACAGAAUUAAAAAUUAAAGCAAAAAACAAAAGAAAAUAAAUAAUGCAAAAAAUUCAAAAAAGCAGGAAAAAACUAUUUUUAUAAUAAAGUUAAUCUCAAAAUAAAAUAAAUAAAGCAACAAAGAAAACAAAAAAACUGAAAAAGUGUUUUCAAAUUUGAAAACUAAUGGCACUAACAGAAAGUUUAUUAUUUUUCUAAAACUAAUGGCACUAACAGAAAGUUUUUAAUUUUGCUAACCUANNNNNNNNNNNNNNNNNNNNNNNNNNNNNNNNNNNNNNNNNNNNNNNNNNNNNNNNNNNNNNNNNNNNNNNNNNNNNNNNNNNNNNNNNNNNNNNNNNNNNNNNNNNNNNNNNNNNNNNNNNNNNNNNNNNNNNNNNNNNNNNNNNNNNNNNNNNNNNNNNNNNNNNNNNNNNNNNNNNNNNNNNNNNNNNNNNNNNNNNNNNNNNNNNNNNNNNNNNNNNNNNNNNNNNNNNNNNNNNNNNNNNNNNNNNNNNNNNNNNNNNNNNNNNNNNNNNNNNNNNNNNNNNNNNNNNNNNNNNNNNNNNNNNNNNNNNNNNNNNNNNNNNNNNNNNNNNNNNNNNNNNNNNNNNNNNNNNNNNNNNNNNNNNNNNNNNNNNNNNNNNNNNNNNNNNNNNNNNNNNNNNNNNNNNNNNNNNNNNNNNNNNNNNNNNNNNNNNNNNNNNNNNNNAUGGCACUAACAGAAAGUUUAUAAUUUUGCUAACCUAAAAGCAAACACAAUUAAAAAUUAAAGCAAAAACCAAAAGAAAUUAAAUUAAAUAAUGCAAAAAACAAAUCAAAAAACAGGAAAAAACUAUUUUUAUAGUAAAGUUAAUCACAAAAUAAAAUAAAUAAAGCAACAAAGAAAAAAACAAAAAAGUGUUUUCAAAUUUGAAAACUAAUGGCAUUAACAAAAAGUUUAUAAUUUUUCUAAAACUAAAAGCAUAAAGAAUUAAAAAAUAAAGCAAAAAACAAAAGAAAAAUAAACAAAGCAACAAAAAACAAAAAAAUGCCACCUACUGGGCCACCACGGCCUGAAUACGACUAGAAACCCUACCAUGGGCCAGGAUUCAGGCCCGCAGCAGGCCCAGUAGGCCCACAGGCAUUGCAGUGACAGAUUAGGCCCAAAAGCCUGCAGUUGAGAGGAGCUCGGGAGGGUGGGCGCAGCAGUGCUUAUAAACCACUCCCGAGCCAUCUCAACUAGCGAGGUGGGACUAAACUUUUGGGCGCGGGGCAGCACAAGGCCAUUGGUCCCGGUUGUUGGCACCAACCAGGACUAAAGGGGGUAUUGGUCACAGUUCGUGGCACAAACAGGGACCAAUGCACCCAUUUAGUCCCGGUUGGUGCCACCAACCGGGACCAUAGGCCUCUGCUUCCCGCCCUUUCGGCUGCUGAAAAGAGACCUAUGGUCCCGGUUGGUGGCACGAACCGGGACCAUAGGUGUGCAUUGGUCACGGUUCGUGCCAUGAACCGGGACCAUUGCUCUGGGUAUAUAAUGUAGCACUUGUGAAAACUUCGCCAACCGCUCCCAUUCGUACCCGACGCCGCCAGGCCGUUCGUCGUCGUUGUCGCCGCCCCGAGCCCGUCGUCGCCCGCUCCCCGUCGCCGUCGCGCCGCGCCGCCGUAGGCCUUCUCCCCUUCGCUGCGUGCGCCAUCUCCGGCCCCCUCCCCGUCGCCCCACGCCGCGUCGCCGGCCUCCCCCGCGCCGUCGCCGGCCUCCUCCCCGUCCCCGGCCUCCUCCCCGUCGCGCCCCCAGUGAGCUCCCCGCCCCUUCCCAUCGAUCCCUGUCGCUCUGACCAUCGCCGCCGCCGCCGCUGCUCUCUGUGUGCGAUAAAUUUUUUCAGAUGUGUAUGUAUAUGCUCAUAUGUAUUUGGAUUUGGCUAUGUAUGUAUGUAUAUGCUCAUAUAUAUGUACGUAUGUAUGUAUAUGCUCUCUGUAUAUGGAUUUGGCUAUGUAUAUGCUCUCUGUAUAUGCUCAUAUGUAUGUAUGUUCAUAUAGCAUUUUUCUAUAUAUGAAUUAUUAUUUUUGUUCAUGGAUAUAUGCUAAAGAAAAUGAGGGGGUGAUAGAUGAUGAUGAGGGGUCGAGAGGGGGACGAUAGGUCGAGAGGGGUCGAGGGGAGAAAAACAAUGUUAUCAGGGACGAGGGUCGUCGAGGGGUCGAGAGAGGGACGAGGGGUCGAGAGGGGUACGAACCGGGACCAAUACUCUGUGUAUAUAAGCAUGACUUAGAAAGAAGAAGAGGAGAGGAAGAAGAGGAGAAAUAAAUAAGAAGAAGAAAAAAGAAGAAAAAGAAGAGGAGAAGAAGAAAGGAAUAGUGGAGAAGAAGAGAAAAUAGAAUAUAUAUUCUAUUUUCUCUUCUUCUCCACUAUUCCUUUCUUCUUCUCCUCUUUUUUUCUUCUUUUUUUCUUCGAUCUUCUCCUCUAGCUAUUCCUUUCUUCUUCUCCUCUUUCUUCUUCUUCUUCUUCUUCUUCUUCUUCUUCUUCUUCUUCUUCUUCUUCUUCUUGUUCUUCUUAAUUUUUAUUGGGAACGAGGGUGUCGAGGAUCGCCGAGGGGUCGAGGGUCGGGAACUAGGGUAGAGGGUCGAGGGAUCGAGGGUCGAGGGUUCCAGGGUCGUCUAGGGGUCGAGGGUUCCAAGGUCGUCGAGGGUUCGAGGGGUCGAGGAUCGCCGAGGGGUCGAGAGAGGUUUCCUAGUGUCAAAGUAUUGAAGAAAUCCAUGGCUUCAUCAUUAGCCGGAAGUAACCAGGGCAUGACGAAGUCCUCCAAAGUUAUUUUGGAAUGGUGUCCUGGAUAGGAUAAUUUGCCUUUUUGUAUGAAUUUCAGCAAAGGCCUUCCAAAUAGCGAUAUUUGGAAGGUUCUUGCUGAACUUUGUACCAAAAGGCGAAUUAUCCUAUCUAGGACUCCGUUCCAAAAUAACUUUGGAGAGCUUCGUACCAUCAUGCACCUGUUACUUUCGCCUAAUGAUGAAGACAUGGUUUUGUUGAAUCCUUUGACACUAGGCAACCUCCCGACCCCUCGGUGAUCCUCUCGAACAUGAGAGGAAGAAGAGGAUCGCCGAGGGGUCGAGGGUUCCAGGGUCGUCGAGGGUUCGAGGGGUCGAGGAUCGCCGAGGGGUCGAGAGAGAGAUUUCCUAGUGUCAAAGUAUUGGAUAAAUCCAUGUCUUCAUCAUUAGCCGGAAGUAACCAGGGCAUGACGAAGUCCUCCAAAGUUAUUUUGGAAUGGUGUCCCGAAUAGGAUAAUUUGCCUUUUCGUAUGAAUUUCAACAAAGGCCUUCCAAAUAACGAUAUUUGGAAGGUUCUUGCUGAACUUUGUACCAAAAAGCGAAUUAUCCUAUCUAGGACUCCGUUCCAAAAUAACUUUGGAGAACUUCGUACCAUCAUGCACCUGUUACUUUCGCCUAAUGAUGAAGACAUGGUUUUGUUGAAUCCUUUGACACUAGGCAACCUCCCGACCCCUCGGCGAUACUCUCGAACAUGAGAGGAAGAAGAGGAUAAAAAAAGAAGAGGAAGAAGAAGAAAAAGAGGAGAAGAAAUAAUAGAGGAGUUCUUCUCCUCUAUUCUUUCUUCUCCUCUUUUUUUCUUCUUCUUCCUCUUUUUUUAUCGGGAACGAGGGUCGUCGAGGGACAUAUAGAUGUAGUGUCGUCGUUGUCGAUAUAUACCCCCUCCCGAUAGCUUCAACACGUGGGGGGGGGUCGAUAUUACCCCCUCCUUGAAGCGUUUUCGAGGCCACCCCAAACCCUUGAAGCGUUGUCGAGGCCACCCCAAACCCUAGAGAAGCAGCGUCGAGGCCACUAAUUAAUAUAUAUGAUUCCUUACUAUGAUUAGGUAGCUAGUUCUACGUUUGGCACUAAUAUAUCCAUCUGUCAUGUUUGAAUAAUAAUUGCCAUGUUGUAAAUAUUUGUAGAAACUAUGGACACCGCCCGAGACGAAGCAAAAGAAGCGUUGUUGAGGGACAUAAUUGCAGAAGGAAGUGAUGUCGUCUCGUUGUUUCUCAAUGAUACCGAUGGUCUGGAAGGAGAGGGUGAAGAAGCUGGCUACGGUGACCUAAUGCCGGUGCAAGAAGAAGAACAUGAGGACGGCUCCGGUGACCCAAUGCCGGUGCAAGAAGGAGACCGUGAUGACGGCUCCGGUGACCGAACCGAGUCCGGCCAGGUAUAUAUAUUAGUUAAGCCUGUGCUGACUAGCUGAUUGAUGCAUUCAUUGUUUUGGUAUGUACACAUAUUAAUUAAGUCUUUGUUCUUUUUUCUAGCCCUCCGGAUCGAGCACAACUUCGGUAAAGAGACGAGGCCCGAAGAAAAAGUUGAGCUCGGAUGAAAAGUUUGAGAUCAUAGCAAUCGCGCCCGACGGCCAACCGAUUGAACCCAUCCGAACAAAGAACGCAUUUGUUGCUCAGUGCGGGGUUCUGGUUAGGGACAAGAUCCCGAUAAGCAUCCAGCAAUGGUUUAAGCCGGCUACAGAAGACCCUGAGGUGUCUUAUGUCAAUGAUAUGCAGAAAAAUGAUCUUUGGACUGCGCUGAAGUCAAAUUUCACCCUACCGCCAGAGGAUAAUCCAGAGAACCCAGUUAAAGAGCAAUUAAUCAAGUCUUUUGCUCUUAAGAGGAUGGCAGAACUAUUCAGGAGGUGGAAGAAAGAGCUGAAUAAGUUUGUCGAAAAUAAUGGGACACCAGAAUUCAAGGGCAGAUAUGAGAAGAUCAGAGAUCACUGGCCCGCAUUUGUGGCCCACAAGACAUCGGAAAAGAGUAAGAAGAUGUCGGCGACAAACAAGCAAAAUGCUGCGAAGAAGAAGCUUCACCAUCGCACGGGGUCAGGUUGCUACCUCGUAGCCCGGCCUAAGUGGGCCAAGACUGAGAAUGAUCUGGUUGAUAAAGAGAUCGAACCAGAGACAAUUAGCUGGCCAGACCGUUGCCGGACUUGGUUCUUUGGGGCUGGCGGAACCUUGGACCCUGUAACAGGGAAGUGCAUUUGGACGAACGAUCAAAUGGACAUACCAGUCAGGAAGCUUAAGCAGUAUAUCGAAGCAGCGCAGCAAGGGAAGUUCUUUUCAGAGGCAUGCCAGGCUCUCAGGAAUCCUGAGCACCCUGGACGAACACGAGGCAUGCCAGGCUCCAUUCCGUGGAAGGUUGGGUUUCCGGACGCAGGCGGUUACAAAUCCCAUGAGACGAGGAAAAAAGUGCAGCAGACCCAAAUGCAGGUGCUGCAAGCAAGGGUAGACGCGAUAGAGGAACGAGAAGCAAAUCGCAGCAAACGUACUGCCGAAGCUUCCCCCGAAGCUACACCGCCAUCUCAGUGCAGAAGCAGCGUGGCUUCCACCGAGCUGCUUCAGCCGGAGCAUGCCUUGACGGCUCCUGCCAGCUAUCCCGUGGAUGCUAUCACAGAGUCUCAAAAUUGCCACCUUAUGACGCAAUGGAUGAAUUUGAAGGUCAAGGCGGCUGUUGGCUCUGUUUAUCCUACUGAACCCAGCGCAACUUUUCACUGCCGGCCGAUUCCAGAAGGAUAUGCUAGGGUGAUGGUGGAUGAAAUAACGGAGGGAUUUGAGGACCUCCAGCUUGACCACCCUACCGGUGAAGGGGAGACUCGGCUGGGGUCUGCUCUGAAGACUCCAUGCCUAUGGCGGAAGGAGCUCAUCAACCUUCCGAACUGGACGCCUCCGCCUCCUCCUCCUCCUCCGGCGAGUCAGGGCACUCCGCCUCCUCCACCGCCUGCUCCUCCGGCGAGUGACGAUCAAGGCCCUCGGCCGGCUCCUUCUCUGGCGCGUGGCGGCACUCCACAUGCGCCGGCGCGCCCGAGCAGCCAGCCUCCUCCUUCUCCGCCUCGUCAGCAAGGGCGGAAGAGACCCGCCGCCGCUCCAGCAGCUACUCCGGCACGUCGUAGUCCUUCUCCUCCGCCUCGUAAGCAAGUAAAGAAGACAACCGCUUCGUCUGCUCGUCCGGCGUCUAGCAGAACAACCAGAGACGGGAGGACAUACAGAUUCGGUCCUUCUCUGAAGAGUCCACAGAAGUUACCAUACGAGAGGACCCCGGAGGAGAACGCGAAGAUCGCGCGAACCGAAGUGGAUGACUGGUUUCAAGGGUUGAAAGCAAAGAGACAUCCACCUCCGGAGGAGAAGGUAGAUCCGGUGAAAGUGAAGUGCACUCUGGCUGCCCUGGCAAAACCACCCAAGUCUCCGCCGAAAGGCAACUAUGAGCGCAUUAUUGCAAAGACAUGGGCCGAAGCGGAGCGGUAUGGAAGUACAGUCAGUGAUCAAAGGCUGAAAGAACGACGAGCAGCUGGGAAACAAAUUGCCCAGCUCGGCGAACAAGCGAAGCAAUCGUGCCCCCCGCUCAAGGUGCCUAGCGACAUCGUCGAUCCGAGGAUGGUGCCCGGUUAUGGCAAUGUUGACGAUUACCUGCCCUACGAUGUACAUUAUGAUCCCAUGGAGGUGCAGAUACACAGAUACGAGUACGGGAAGCCUCUCGUCAAAGAUGAAAAAUCUUUAACAACGAUGAUGCGAAGAUUACAUGAUUGGUACUUGAAAAUCUGCAGAGAGUCUGGGGGGAGGAGUACUUUGUAUGCGAGAGUUAAACCGGAGCAUGACCUCAUUGGAAUUGAAAUGUUGCCUAUUCCAUUUGAGGAGUUCUAUCAGUUUUUCAAUCAAUUGGCCCUCGAUAAAACAACGAUCAUCUGCUACUGUCUAUAAGUACUACUACUUCUGUCAUUAAGUCUCUCUAUAUAGCUCAUCUCUUUCAUUGCAUGUAUUUAUAAUUAUCCUUACUAUAUUAUGCAGAUUGAAGAUCGCCGAAUUGAAGAAAAGACAAAUCGGUGAUAUUGGGUUCGUUAACACAUAUCUCAUAGAUGCAACUGAGGUUGAACAUCGUCCCGAAGAUACCGAGGCCAACUUGCUACGAUCAUUCAAAAAAAUGAAAACAAAGAUAUAAUACUCUUUCCUUACAACUUCAAGUGAGUGUUACUGUCUUGUGCAUAUUCGGUUUCCCUUAUAUAUUAGUCCAGGUUAUAGUAAUGUAAUUGAUGAGUUAUGCAUGCGUGUGCAGUUUCCACUAUAUUCUCCUAGAGAUUAGGCUUGAGCAGGGAGUAGUAACCAUCUUGGACUCUGUCGGGGAUAUACCCCGCGGCGUAAACCGGCCGGAAGUAUAACCCGGCCAGACUUGGCGGUUUACUUGAGACCCGGCUGAGACUUGACGAUUCACUGGUGACCCGUUUGGACCUGGCGGUUUACGAUUCAUUGGUAAUCCGGCAGGCGGGUCAGAGGAGCGACAAGACCCGGUGGCCCAACGGGCGGUUCAUGAAGGCCGGUUCAUAUUAUGGUGGGCCGGUUUAAGAGGAAAGGCAUGAGGAAUAUUUACCUUACAAGGAGUUAAGACCAGGACUUGUAUCCGGUUUGUAUUAGAGAUAGACUAGUCCUAAUCCUAAUAGGAUUCCACAUGUAAACCGCCCCUUCAACAUAUAUAAUGAGGGGCAGGACUCCCCAAAGAGGGACGAGCAAGAAGAAAGGGCUAGACACAAAGAGGAGAGCCGGUUUACGGCAACUCCCUCGUGAUGAUAAUGAGACCUAGCCUCAAACAGCAUGUAGGGCUAUUACCGGAUGAUGUUUCCCGGGGCCCGAAGCUGUCUAAAUCCUUGUCUCGCAUGUUGAUCCGCCCCGCGUCUCUCGUCCCACUCAACCCCUCUCCAGCUACCACAUAGAAGCGUUGGCCUCGCGACUAAGUCCUGACACUAAGGACAUCUGCCGUGACAAAUCCACGACAGUUGGCGCCCACCGUGAGGCUCGCGCAGGGUGGUGUUGAGUUCUUGGAGGGAUUUCAUCUAGGGAUCAACGGGCUCGCAAUUUUGUCAGUUAAGGAAGAUCCGGCAGGUUCAUUGUUUGGUGGUCGAGAGCAUGAUUAACUUUGGAGCUGGCAGUACAAGGUUUGAGAUCAAAAGAAGCUAGGGUUCCGUGCGUGUUGCCGCACGCGGCCUGUUUGUCCGUCCGGUUGAGGAGGGUUGAUUUCCAUCAAAACAGCCAGUAUUACAAUCCGGCGAGACCGAGACCGACUCCGUUAUUUAAUCGCCGUUUUGCCACAAGAGCUGGUGCGUGUGAAAUUUGGAUCCACGGCAGUCGACAUAGGUGGAUUCGCUUCAAAUCUCGAGGCUACUGCCUUGCUGCUAUUACCAUGCACUGCAUCCAAAUAUUAAAUCAGAACCAGUACUAGGUACUGGUGGCCGGUUUAGUACUCACGAGGAGGCAUUCAAAAAAUUGGAUAUACCAGUUAAUUGGAAACAAACCUGUCCUGCUGAGCCGCCCGGCCGCUCCUCCUUCUCCUAUGCCGCUCCGCCUUGCUGCUGUUGAACCGCCCUGGCCGAGGGCUACCCGUGAACCGCCGCCUGGACUCGCCUCGGGUGUCUUCUUCUGUCGUAAGCUGCAGUAUCAAAUCGCCGUUCCGGAUGAGCCGCCACCAAGCGCACCGGUUUACCACCAGCACUUGCGCCCUUGUCUUCUUCUGCUGUGCGUCGCAGCCGUCGUGAGUCGCCGCCCUUACUUCGCCUUGAUCCGCCGUGGUCGAUCCGUUGUUGCUCCGUCUGAGUCAGACCGACCUGCUGCCGCCUACUCCGAGGCGUCGUCGUUCCUACUGGCCGAGUCCGCCCGCAAGCCGGCCGACCUCCGCCGUCGCCGCUUCAGCCUUGCUCUGAGUCACCGGGAGGGCUUCAUGCCGAGUUGCUUCAACUCGCCGACCUGCGAGUCACCCUUGCUCCGUUUCUCUGCAAACCGACUCCGAGCCGUUGCGGUGCGGCCCUGCCUCGCCGGAUUCAUCAACCCCUCAAGCAGCGGCUGAGUCGCCCGAACUUGCGGCCCUGGGCUGUAUCACUCGCGUCAAACCGGCGUGCCGCCUGAUCCACUUUCGUCGUCCGCGCCUGGGGUCGUCUUCGUCGCGCGUCGAGCUGCCGCCGCCGUGACCUGCCGUUGCCGCCUCACGCUCUUGCUGGGCUCGCGCUUCAAGUCUCGAGGUAGCAGUAUACGUACUUGCUAUUACUUCCUAAUGAAAUGAUGGAAGGAAAAGUACUACGUCAAGUAGUAGUCCAUGGGAUCAAAAUUUGCUGAAGCUUUGUCUGAAGAUCAUGAUUUGUAAAAGGAUCGGGACGUGAGUUAUAGCCGCUGUCGUCUGAGCCCCAGCCCUCGCUUGAGUCACUAGUUGCCACCAAGACAGCGAUGGAAGAGCUCGCACUUCAUCAACCACGUGCCGCCGUCGCUAUAAAUCGCCAGUGCGCCCCGUCUGCAGCCGGGUUAAGCCGCUACUGCGACCUUAGCUUCUGUCUUCGCUGCGCUGACCCGGCCUUUCAUCUAUCUGAAGUUGCAACCGCGUGACGCUGCGGCAGCGGUAACCCGCCUCGUUUAUGCCACAGAUCGCCGGGCCCCUCCGCCGGGUUACCGCGUCCCGCCUUGGUUACCCAGCCAGUUCCGCCUGCUGAAUUUCUGGUUUGGCCUUGUGCUUAAAGAACCUGUUUAAGUCACAUAAUAAUGGAGGUAAAAGGAGCUGAUGUUCACAAAAAAAAAGACGCAAGCAACACACUGAGUCAAACUAAGUGACGUGGCAAGGAGACUAGCUGUUCAUGCAAAAAGAAGAGAAGGACAAUUAUAUUCAGAAAGAGACAGGGCAUGAUAUUUUAGCAUCUUGUCAGAGAAAAACACGGGGAUACUUUGGCGCUAAAUACCUAUUAUCUGGAGCUAAAAAGCUACUGUUACUUCACAUCCAAACAAAAGUAUGGAGAAAAGGAGAGGACACACGGUACAUGUAUCAGUUGAUGCUGGCAGUCUGCGUGCAGAUUAUCUAUCGCCAAAAUAAAUCAGGUGCUAUCCAUCUAAAGUUUAUUUUAUUUAGCACACAUUGUUUUUUAUCAAAAGAACAAUUACUUUGAUUUAUAUAUUUUUAUACGCAGGACAAACUGUUUCAUGUUCAUGGCAGAUAUGAUGAUAUCAUCUGUCAUCCAAAUACAUCAGGACAAUUAUUCACCACCGAAGUGGAGUUAUAUCACGGAUAUGGAGUGCAUAGCAUCGUCAUUUUCCACUACAUUUAUCCGUACUGCCGUGCUCAACGGAAGUGCUUACACUACCGCCCUUGCGGUCUGGUCUACAUCAACACACCGGGCCGCACCUGUCUGCAUGAGGUGUCUAUUGAGUGUGAGCAAGUCACUGCUUGGGUAGCCCGGUUUUUCUUCCAAUACAUUGGAGGCAAAUUAUCAUUCAGCCGCCGUCUGCACUGGAUGGAUCAAUGGACAUGUGCACAAAUCGCUGCUACUACAAUUUGGUCAACUUCAAACAACCAGUUGGAAGGAACCAUUGGCCGAGUUGCUGACACGGCUCAUACGGGAUCAUUUAUAACCCGCCGCAGUCACCUCAAUCUUCUGUGGAUUUACAUCGUGUUAUCAACACCAAUGAUAUAUACCUUCUGCUAUGGUCAAAGUACAGAGAAUCUCAAGACAACUCCUUGAGUCAUCUUAAGACUCGGGGGCUACGAUGAUAUGAUGCAGUAAGUCUGGCCAGUUUCAGCAAAUUCAAGUGCACCAGGACAUUGGAGGGAAAGAUAACCCGGUCACGGAGGCUACUAUCAUAUGGAUGAAAAUUUAAAGGCCGUCAGAAAAUUUCCGGUUCAAAAUGAAGAAUGCUGGUUUAAAAUCCGGUUCAAGGAAAAUCCGUUCUCCUACAAAGCUUUGAAGCUCUCAAAUCCGGUUUAAGAAUUUCCAGUUCAAAAAGAAUUAAUUUCUCGCAAGUUCAAGCUUAAAGCUUCCAGCUAAAAAUGAAGAUUCCGGUUUAGAAUCCGGUUCAAGGGAAAGAUGUCUCCCAUAAAGCUUUGAAGCUCUCAAUAUCCGGUUCAAAAUCCCGGUUCGAGAAGAAUUUAUCUCUUGCAAAAAAUUAAGGGUUGCCGAAGAGGACCUGCUGCCAUGAUGCCCGGUUUAAACAUGGGUAUCCUGCCAUAUUGGCUUAUCAUAUUAUUGAUCACGUGGAGGCUUCUGUUUAUAAAGUGGAGUCCGGUUUACCACUUGAUUCAGCUUAUCAACGCGUUAUAUAACAUCACUUGGGGGCUUGGUCGUAUCCGAACCAUAGCUACACCUCUUGAUCUGUGCAAUGCCACAACAUCACUUGGGGGCUUGGUCGCAUCCGGACCAUAGUCACACCUCUUGAUCGUCUCAAAGCCAAAUCAAUCCGGGCCCAAAGAGAGUGUUGGAAAACAACAACUCAAACAUAGGCACCGGCUGAGCACAGCUCAAAAUGUUACUUGGGGAUUCUUUGCUGUCGAAAUGAACAAAGAAUCUACACAUGUAACAAGCUAUCAAGCCAUGGCUUGGAAGCCUGGUGUAUACACAUAAAACCCCGGGUUAGCCUGCCUAUUUAAGUAAGUCACUCUGCCCAGGUAAACCUGGUAUGACCCUUCGAACUUUGACAAGUUACUCUAAAUAAAGACCCUGAACUUGUCAACUUAAAACGAUGAUUGGUUAAGGAUUGAGGACCAUCUUAAAAGGCUUUGUGAAAUGGUUUAACUCAGUGGCCUGGCAGCCCAUGAAAAGCCUCGAAUUUGGGGCCUGGCAGCCCGUGAAAAGCCUCGACUACAAGGGUUUCAUUUGCUUUUUGCUAAGUUUUUUCUCUUUUUUGAUAGCGCUUAUGAUGUUUUUGAUAAACCGGCGUUCAUUGACCCGGCUCGGCUUUCAACUAUAAGUUGUCAGUGUUGGAAAUAUGCCCUAGAGGCAAUAAUAAAAGGAUUAUUAUUAUAUUUCCUUGUUCAUGAUAAUUGUCUUUAUUCAUGCUAUAAUUGUGUUAUCCGGAAAUCGUAAUACAUGUGUGAAUAACAGACACCAGCAUGUCCCUAGUAAGCCUCUAGUUGACUAGCUCGUUGAUCAACAGAUAGUCAUGGUUUCCUGACUAUGGACAUUGGAUGUCAUUGAUAACGAGAUCACAUCAUUAGGAGAAUGAUGUGAUGGACAAGACCCAAUCCUAAACAUAGCAUAAAGAUCGUGUAGUUCGUUUGCUAGAGUUUUUCCAAUGUCAAGUAAUUUUUCCUUAGACCAUGAGAUCGUGUAACUCCCGGAUACCGUAGGAGUGCUUUGGGUGUACCAAACAUCACAACGUAACUGGGUGACUAUAAAGGUAUACUACGGGUAUCUCCGAAAGUGUCUGUUGGGUUGACACGGAUCAAGACUGGGAUUUGUCACUCCGUAUGACGGAGAGGUAUCACUGGGCCCACUCGGUAAUGCAUCAUCAUUAUGAGCUCAAAGUAACCAAGUGUCUGGUCACGGGAUCAUGCAUUACGGUACGAGUAAAGUGACUUGUCGGUAACGAGAUUGAACGAUGUAUGGGGAUACCGAUGAUCGAAUCUCGGGCAAGUAACAUAUCGAUUGACAAAGGGAAUUGCAUACGGGAUUGCUUGAAUCCUCGACAUCGUGGUUCAUCCGAUGAGAUCAUCGUGGAGUAUGUGGGAGCCAACAUGGGUAUCCAGAUCCCACUGUUGGUUAUUGACCGGAGAGUCGUCUCGGUCAUGUCUACAUGUCUCCCGAACCCGUAGGGUCUACACACUUAAGGUUCGGUGACGCUAGGGUUGUAGGGAUAUGUAUAUGCAGUAACCCGAAUGUUGUUCGGAGUCCCGGAUGAGAUCCGGAUGUCACGAGGAGUUCCAGAAUGGUCCGUAGGUAAAGAUUUAUAUAUAGGAAGUCCUGUUUCGGGCAUCGGGACAAGUUUUGGGGUCAUCGGUAUUGUACCGGGACCACCGGAAGGGUCCCGGGGGUCCACUGGGUGGGGCCACCUGUCCCGGGGGGGCACAUGGGCUGUAGGGGGUGCGCCUUGGCCUACAUGGGCCAAGGGCAGCAGCCCCAAGAGGCCCAUGCGCCUAGGGUUUCAAGGGGGAAGAGUCCUAGGAGGGGAAGGCACCUCCUAGGUGCCUUGUGGGGGAGGGAAACCUCCCUUGGCCGCCNNNNNNNNNNNNNNNNNNNNNNNNNNNNNNNNNNNNNNNNNNNNNNNNNNNNNNNNNNNNNNNNNNNNNNNNNNNNNNNNNNNNNNNNNNNNNNNNNNNNNNNNNNNNNNNNNNNNNNNNNNNNNNNNNNNNNNNNNNNNNNNNNNNNNNNNNNNNNNNNNNNNNNNNNNNNNNNNNNNNNNNNNNNNNNNNNNNNNNNNNNNNNNNNNNNNNNNNNNNNNNNNNNNNNNNNNNNNNNNNNNNNNNNNNNNNNNNNNNNNNNNNNNNNNNNNNNNNNNNNNNNNNNNNNNNNNNNNNNNNNNNNNNNNNNNNNNNNNNNNNNNNNNNNNNNNNCCCCCUUGGCCCUCCUAUAUAUAGUGGGGGAAGGAGGGCUUUUGAUCCACGCCUUUGGUUGCCUCCUUCUCCCUCUCCAACACCUCCUCCUCCUCCAUAGCGCUUGGCGAAGCCCUGACGGAGUACUGCAGCUCCAUCAUCACCACGCCGUCGUGCUGCUGCUGGAGCCAUCUUCCUCAACCUCUCCUUCCCUCUUGCUGGAUCAAGAAGAAGGAGAUGUUACGCUGACCGUACGUGUGUUGAACACGGAGGUGCCGUCCGUUCGGUGCUAGGAUCUCCGGUGAUUUGGAUCACGUCGUGUUCGACUACCUCAUCCCCGUUCUUUGAAUGCUUCCGCUCGCGAUCUACAAAGGUAUGUAGAUGCAUCCGAUCACUCGUUGCUAGAUGAACUCAUAGAUGGAUCUUGGUGAAACCGUAGGAAAUUUUUUGUUUUCUGCAACGUUCCCCAACAGUGGCAUCAUGAGCUAGGUCUAUGCAUAGUUCUUCUUGCGCGAGUAGAACACAAUUUGUUGUGGGCGUAGAUGUUGUCAACUUUCUUGCCGCUACUAGUCUUAUCUUGCUUCAACGGUAUUGUGGGAUGAAGCGGCCCGGACCAACCUUACACGUAUGCUUACGUGAGACCGGUUCCAUCGACUAACAUGCACUAGUUGCAUAAGGUGGCUGGUGGGUGUCUGUCUCUCCUACUUUAGUUGGAGCGGAUUUGAUGAAAAGGGUCCUUAUGAAGGAUAAAUAGAAGUUGACAAAUCACGUUGUGGCUUUCACAUAGGUAAGAAAACGUUCUUGCUAGAACCCUACUUCAGCCACGUAAAACUUGCAACAACAAUUAGAGGACAUCUAACUUGUUUUUGCAGCAAGUGCUUUGUGAUAUGAUAUGGCCAAAGUUGUGAUGAAUGAUGAAUGAUAUAUAUGUGAUGUAUGAGUUGUUCAUGCUAUUGUAAUAGGAAUCACGACUUGCAUGUCGAUGAGUAUGACAACCGGCAGGAGCCAUAGGAGUUGUCUUUAAUUUUUGUAUGACCUGCGUGUCAUUGAGAAACGCCAUGUAAAUUACUUUACUUUAUUGCUAAACGCGUUAGCCAUAGUAGUAGAAGUAAUAGUUGGCGAGCAACUUCAUGGAGACACAAUGAUGGAGAUCAUGGUGUCAUGCCGGUGACAAGAUGAUUAUGGAGCCCCAAGAUGGAGAUCAAAGGAGCUAUGUGAUAUUGGCCAUAUCAUGUUACUAUUAUUAUUUGAUUGCAUUUGAUGUUUAUCAUGUUUUGCAUCUUGUUUGCUUAGAACGACGGUAGUAAAUAAGAUGAUCCCUCAUAAUAAUUUCAAGAAAGUGUUCCCCCUAACUGUGCACCGUUGCGACAGUUUGUUGUUUCAAAGCACCACGUGAUGAUCGGGUGUUUGAUUCAAAACGUUCGCAUACAACGGGUGUAAGACAGAUUUACACAUGCAAACACUUAGGUUGACUUGACGAGCCUAGCAUGUGUAUAGACAUGGCCUCGGAACACAGAAGACCGAAAGGUCGAGCAUGAGUCGUAUAGAAGAUACGAUCAACAUGAAGAUGUUCACCGACGUUGACUAGUCCGUCUCACGUGAUGAUCGGACAUGGCCUAGUUGACUCGGAUCAUGUUAUACUUAGAUGACUAGCAGAGGGAUGUCUAUCUAAGUGGGAGUUCAUUGAAUAAUUUGAUUAGAUGAACUUUAUUAUCAUGAACUUAGUCUCAAAUCUUUACAAUAUGUCUUGUAGAUCAAAUGGCCAACGUAGUCCUCAACUUCAACGCGUUCCUAGAGAAAACCAAGCUGAAAGACGAUGGCAGCAACUAUACGGACUGGGUCCGGAACCUGAGGAUCAUCCUCAUAGCUGCCAAGAAAGAUUAUGUCCUACAAGAACCGCUAGGUGAUCCACCCGUCCCACAAAACCAAGACGUUAUGAACGCUUGGCAGACACGUGCCGAUGACUACUCCCUCGUUCAGUGCGGCAUGUUUUACAGUUUAGAGCCGGGGCUCCAAAAGCGUUUUGAGAGACAUGGAGCAUAUGAGAUGUUCGAAGAGCUGAAAAUGGUUUUUCAAGCUCAUGCCCGGGUCGAGAGAUAUGAAGUCUCCGACAAAUUCUUUAGCUGUAAGAUGGAGGAAAAUAGUUCUGUCAGUGAGCACAUACUCACUAUGUCUGGGUUACAUAACCGCUUGACUCAGCUGGGAGUUAAUCUCCCGGAUGAUGCGGUCAUUGACAGAAUCCUCCAGUCGCUUCCACCAAGCUACAAGAGCUUUGUGAUGAACUUCAAUAUGCAGGGGAUGGAAAAGACCAUUCCUGAGGUAUUUGCAAUGCUGAAAUCAGCAGAGGUAGAAGUCAAGAAGGAACAUCAAGUGUUGAUGGUCAAUAAAACCACUAAGUUCAAGAAGGGCAAGGGUAAAAAGAACUUAAAGAAGGACGGCAAAGGAGUUGCCGCGCCUGGCAAGCAAGCUGCUGGGAAGAAGCCAAAGAAUGGACCCAAGCCCGAGACUGAGUGCUUUUAUUGCAAGGGAAGUGGUCACUGGAAGCGAAGCUGCCCCAAAUACUUAGCGGACAAGAAGGUCGGCAAAACAAAAGGUAUAUAUGAUAUACAUGUAAUUGAUGUGUACCUUACUAGUACCUGUAGUAGCUCCUGGGUAUUUGAUACCGGUGCAUUUGCUCACAUUUGUAACUCAAAGCAGGGGCUGCGGAAUAAGCGGAGACUGGCAAAGGACGAGGUGACGAUGUGCGUCGGGAAUGGUUCCAAGGUCAAUGUGAUCGCUGUCGGCACGCUACCUCUAUAUUUACCUUCGGGAUUAGUUUUAAACCUUAAUAAUUGUUAUUUAGUGCCAGCUUUGAGCAUGAACAUUGUAUCGGGAUCUCGUUUAAUUCGAGAUGGCUACUCAUUUAAAUCCGAGAAUAAUGGUUGUUCUAUUUAUAUGAGAGAUAUGUUUUAUGGUCAUGCACCUAUGGUGAAUGGUUUAUUCUUAAUGAAUCUCGAGCGUAAUGCUACACAUAUUCAUAGUGUGAGUACCAAAAGAUGUAAAGUUGAUAAUGAUAGUCCCACAUACUUGUGGCACUGCCGCCUUGGUCACAUAGGUGUCAAACGCAUGAAGAAGCUCCAUGCAGAUGGACUUUUAGAGUCUCUUGAUUACGAAUCAUUUGACAUGUGCGAACCAUGCCUCAUGGGUAAGAUGACCAAGACUCCGUUCUCAGGAACAAUGGAGCGAGCAACCAACUUAUUGGAAAUCAUACAUACUGAUGUGUGCGGUCCAAUGAGUGUUGAGGCUCGCGGUGGCUAUCGUUAUGUUCUCACCCUCACUGAUGAUUUGAGUAGAUAUGGGUAUAUCUACUUAAUGAAACACAAGUCUGAAACCUUUGAAAUGUUCAAGGAAUUUCAGAGUGAGGUUGAGAAUCAACGUGACAGGAAAAUCAAGUUUCUACGAUCAGAUCAUGGAGGAGAAUACUUGAGUCAGGAAUUUGGCACACACUUAAGAAAAUGUGGAAUAGUUUCACAGCUAACGCCGCCUGGAACACCUCAGCGUAAUGGUGUGUCUGAACGUCGUAAUCGCACUCUAUUAGAUAUUGUACAAUCUAUGAUGUCUCUUACCGAUUUACCGCUAUCUUUUUGGGGCUAUGCUUUAGAGACUGCCGCAUUCACUUUAAAUAGGGCUCCGUCGAAAUCCGUUGAGACGACACCGUUUGAAUUAUGGUUUGGGAAGAAACCUAAGCUGUCGUUUCUAAAAGUUUGGUGAUGCGAUGCUUAUGUCAAGAAACUUCAACCUGAAAAGCUCGAACCCAAGUUGGAAAAAUGCGUCUUCAUAGGAUACCCUAAAGAAACUGUUGGGUAUACCUUCUACCUUAGAUCCGAAGGCAAGAUCUUUGUUGCCAAGAAUGGAUUCUUUCUAGAGAAAGAGUUUCUCUCGAAAGAAGUAAGUGGGAGGAAAGUAGAACUUGAUGAAGUGUUACCUCUUGAACCGGAAAAUGGCACAACUCAAGAAAAUGUUCCUGAGGUGCCUGCACCAACUAGAGAGGAAGUUAUUGAUGAUGAUCAAGAUACUUCUGAUCAAGCUCCUACAGAAAUUUAAAGGUCCACAAGGACACGUUCCGCACCAGAGUGGUACGGCAACCCUGUCAUGGAAAUCAUGUUGUUAGACAACGGUGAACCUUCGAACUAUGAAGAAGCGAUGGCGGGCCCGGAUUCCGACAAAUGGCUAGAAGCCAUGAAAUCCGAGAGAGGAUCCAUGUAUGAAAACAAAGUAUGGACUUUGACUGACUUGCCCGUUGAACGGCGAGCCAUAGAAAAGAAAUGGAUCUUUAAGAAGAAGACAGACGCGGAUGGUAAUGUGACCAUCUAUAAAGCUAGGCUUGUCGCUAAGGGUUAUCGACAAGUUCAAGGGGUUGACUACGAUGAGACUUCCUCACCGGUAGCGAAGCUAAAGUCCGUCCGAAUCAUGUUAGCAAUUGCCGCAUUCUACGAUUAUGAAAUAUGGCAGAUGGACGUCAAAACGGCAUUCCUUAAUGGUUUCCUUAAGGAAGAAUUGUAUAUGAUGCAGCCGGAAGGUUUUGUCGAUCCUAAGAAUGCUAACAAGGUGUGCAAGCUCCAACGCUCGAUUUAUGGGCUGGUGCAAGCAUCUCGGAGUUGGAACAUUCGCUUUGAUGAGAUGAUCAAAGCGUUUGGGUUUACGCAGACUUAUGGAGAAGCCUGCGUUUACAAGAAAGUGAGUGGGAGCUCUGUAGCAUUUCUCAUACUAUAUGUAGAUGACAUACUUUUGAUGGGAAAUGAUAUAGAACUCUUGGACAGCAUCAAGGCCUACUUGAAUAAGAGUUUUUCAAUGAAGGACCUUGGUGAAGCUGCUUAUAUAUUAGGCAUCAAGAUCUAUAGAGAUAGAUCAAGACGCCUCAUAGGUCUUUCACAAAGCACAUACCUUGAUAAGAUAUUGAAGAAGUUCAAUAUGGAUCAGUCUAAGAAGGGGUUCUUGCCUGUGUUGCAAGGUGUGAAAUUGAGCUUAGCUCAAUGUCCGACCACGGCAGAAGAUAUAGAAGAGAUGAGCGUCAUCCCCUAUGCCUUAGCCAUAGGUUCUAUUAUGUAUGCCAUGCUGUGUACCAGACCUGAUGUAAACCUUGCCGUAAGUUUGGUAGGCAGGUACCAAAGUAAUCCCGGCAAGGAACACUGGACAGCGGUCAAGAAUAUCCUGAAGUACCUGAAAAGGACUAAGGAAAUGUUUCUCGUUUAUGGAGGUGACGAAGAGCUCGUCGUAAAGGGUUACGUCGACGCUAGCUUCGACACAGAUCCGGAUGACUCUAAGUCACAAACCGGAUAUGUGUAUAUUUUGAAUGGUGGGGCAGUAAGCUGGUGCAGUUGCAAGCAGAGCGUCGUGGCGGGAUCUACAUGUGAAGCGGAGUACAUGGCAGCCUCGGAGGCAGCACAUGAUGCAAUAUGGGUGAAGGAGUUCAUCACCGACCUAGGAGUCAUACCCAAUGCGUCGGGGCCGAUCAAGCUCUUCUGUGACAACACUGGAGCUAUUACUCUUGCCAAGGAGCCCGGGUUUCACAAGAAGACAAGGCACAUCAAGCGUCGCUUCAACUCCAUUCGUGAAAAUGUUCAAGAUGGAGACAUAGAGAUUUGUAAAGUACAUACGGACUUGAAUGUAGCGGAUUCGUUGACAAAACAUCUCCCUAGAGCAAAACAUGAUCAACACCAAAAUUCCAUGGGUGUUCGAUUCAUCACAAUGUAACUAGAUUAUUGACUCUAGUGCAAGUGGGAGACUGUUGGAAAUAUGCCCUAGAGGCAAUAAUAAAAGGAUUAUUAUUAUAUUUCCUUGUUCAUGAUAAUUGUCUUUAUUCAUGCUAUAAUUGUGUUAUCCGGAAAUUGUAAUACAUGUGUGAAUAACAGACACCAGCAUGUCCCUAGUAAGCCUCUAGUUGACUAGCUCGUUGAUCAACAGAUAGUCAUGGUUUCCUGACUAUGGACAUUGGAUGUCAUUGAUAACGAGAUCACAUCAUUAGGAGAAUGAUGUGAUGGACAAGACCCAAUCCUAAACAUAGCAUAAAGAUCGUGUAGUUCGUUUGCUAGAGUUUUUCCAAUGUCAAGUAUUUUUUCCUUAGACCAUGAGAUCGUGUAACUCCCGGAUACUGUAGGAGUGCUUUGGGUGUACGAAACGUCACAACGUAACUGGGUGACUAUAAAGGUAUACUACGGGUAUCUCCGAAAGUGUCUGUUGGGUUGACACGGAUCAAGACUGGGAUUUGUCACUCCGUAUGACGGAGAGGUAUCACUGGGCCCACUCGGUAAUGCAUCAUCACUAUGAGUUCAAGUAACCAAGUGUCUGGUCACGGGAUCAUGCAUUACGGUAUGAGUAAAGUGACUUGCCGGUAACGAGAUUGAACGAGGUAUGGGGAUACCGACGAUUGAAUCUCGGGCAAGUAACAUAUCGAUUGACAAAGGGAAUUGCAUACGGGAUUGCUUGAAUCCUCGACAUCGUGGUUCAUCCGAUGAGAUCAUCGUGGAGUAUGUGGGAGCCAACAUGGGUAUCCAGAUCCCGCUGUUGGUUAUUGACCGGAGAGUCGUCUCGGUCAUGUCUACAUGUCUCCCGAACCCGUAGGGUCUACACACUUAAGGUUCGGUGAUGCUAGGGUUGUAGGGAUAUGUAUAUGCAGUAACCCGAAUGUUGUUCGGAGUCCCGGAUGAGAUCCCGGACGUCACGAGGAGUUCCGGAAUGGUCCGGAGGUAAAGAUUUAUAUAUAGGAAGUCCUGUUUCGGCAUCGGGACAAGUUUCGGGGUCAUUGGUAUUGUACCGGGACCACCGGAAGGGUCCCGGGGGUCCACCGGGUGGGGCCACCUGUCCCGGGGGGCCAUACGGGCUGUAGGGGGUGCGCCUUGGCCUACAUGGUCCAAGGGCACCAGUCCCAAGAGGCCCAUGCGCCUAGGGUUUCAAGGGGGAAGAGUCCUAGGAGGGGAAGGCACCUCCUAGGUGCCUUGUGGGGGAGGGAAACCUCCCUUGGCCGCUGCCCCCCUAGGAGAUUGGAUCUCCUAGGGCCGGCGCCCCCCCUGGCCCUCCUAUAUAUAGUGGGGGAAGGAGGGCUUUUGAUCCACGCCUUUGGUUGCCUCCUUCUCCCUCUCCAACACCUCCUCCUCCUCCAUAGCGCUUGGCGAAGCCCUGACGGAGUACUGCAACUCCAUCAUCACCACGCCGUCGUGCUGCUGCUGGAGCCAUCUUCCUCAACCUCUCCUUCCCUCUUGCUGGAUCAAGAAGAAGGAGACAUUACGCUGACCGUACAUGUGUUGAACGCGGAGGUGCCGUCCGUUCGGUGCUAUGAUCUCCGGUGCUUUGGAUCACGUCGUGUUCGACUACCUCAUCCCCGUUCUUUGAACGCUUCCGCUCGCGAUCUACAAAGGUAUGUAGAUGCAUCCGAUCACUCGUUGCUAGAUGAACUCAUAGAUGGAUCUUGGUGAAACCGUAGGAAAAUUUUUGUUUUCUACAACGUUCCCCAACAGUCAGUAGAUGAUCAGUUAUAAUCCGGCACUUAUUGACCCGGUCUGGUUUCGACUACAAGUCGCCAGUAUUAUAUAUGGAUAAUCCGGUGUUUAUUACAACCCGGUAUGGUUUUGUUACAAAUCGGCAAAUAUGGGAGGAGUUAUCACUACUCAAGAUUUGGGUUAUCACCCUUACUACAAAAAGUUGGUAAAACCAACAAUGUGAUUCAAUGUCACAGGUAUGAUAUAUUUCAUAUUUGAUUAUUCUUAAGUGCAGCCUUGGUUAUAAACCCGGGUUAUGUGUUGGGCAUUAUGACCCGUCCGGCGGUAAACUGCCAGGACACUUUAAACUUGUUGUAUGCAGAAACAGGUUUGUUAAACCGGCCUGGCUUUGGACUAUAAGUCGCCAGUAUAUAUAUUUGGAUUGCGCCAUUGGAAUCAUGCGCUUAUAAAUCAUUGGGUCAUAUUAUUCAAAUAGCCAAACUUGGCUGAAUUUUCAUUAUGAUAUUGAAUGAAUAAGGUUUUCAUACUGGAUUAUAUUAUCUUGAAUAGCCAACAUGGCUGGAUUUUUAUGGUUAUUAAUAACCGGUAUUAUUAAGUUUUCAAAGUUGCUUUAGCGCACUGGCUAUUAUUUUAUCAAAUGAUAUGAUUUAUUCUACAAUGAAAGGAAUAGUCCCGAGUCAUUGCAGGUUUACAACCCGGCACUUGGGGGCUAAUGCAAAGUCAUUUUUACUAGUCUUAUUGAAGACCCGACUCAUCAUAUUAUAAUGAGCCAGCCCUUCGGGGCUACCAAUUGCUCCUGUCAACAAUUCAAGGUACACAAGUUUUCAUCCAUAAUAUUGAAGAAUCCAUUGCUCAGUUGGUAAAGCACAAAGCUCUUAACCUUGUGGACGUGGGUUCAAGCCCUACGAUGGAAGCUACAUUAUAAUAUGUUAUUUUCAUUAAAGUGUAUAUAUCAAGUCCCGGUUCAGUAUUAUCUUACUAAGCCGGCCUUUGGGGGCUACACGUUGCUGUUCAAAGUUUACAAGAUUAUAUUUACAAAGUCCUUGCUCAUUAUUGCAUAAUAACCCGGCCCUUGGGGGCUACACUGGUUGAAGUUUUUAUGAGCAUCAAGCAAUUACAAGUCCCAGGUUGCUGCAAACAUGACAACCCGGCACUUGGGGGCUACAUAUAUGGAGUAUUCAGUUUAUAUAAUUGAGAUGAACAAACCGGAUUUCUUCAAGGUUGAAACACUUAUUGGAGCAAGUCUUAAGUUAUCACUAUGUUCUCCUCUUAAGACUUGGGGGCUACAUGUAUUAUGCAUAUAAAGGAGGAACAUCUUCUUUUUAUCAGUUUUGAGCAAAUCAGGAAGAUCAAUUACAUGACCCGGUGUCGACAACAAUUAUGACCCGGCGCCAUCAAUAUUUAUAAACCGGCUAUUUUGGUAAUAUUAAACCGGCAAGUUUUACAUCCUCAAACCGGUUGAAUAUCAGAUAAGUAUUUUCAAACCCAUAUUUCUUAAACCGGCGCUUUGGGAGCUGAGUCAAAGGAGUCAUUCUUCACGAUAUUUCUCGGUGACAAACCAAGGUCGGCAAAUUGAUUAUGAAGCUGGUCUGUUGACUCGGAUUUAUCAGAAGGAGGAAAUGACAAGGACUUAAGGAUGAUCAGGAGCCGGUCUACAAGAAUUCUUAACCCGGAGCACAACCUGUCAAAUUUGUUCUUGUGUUUAUUUUACAGGAUCAGUUUAACAUGGAUAAAUCCAAGUUAAACUAGGGGCUAAUGUAGGGAUAUACCCCGUGGCGUAAACCGGCUGGAAGUAUAACCCGUCCGGACUUGGCGGUUUACUUGAGACCCGGCUGAGACUUGACGAUUCACUGGUGACCCGUUUGGACCUGGCGGUUUACGAUUCAUUAGUAAUCCGGCAGGCGGGUCAGAGGAGCGACAAGACCCGGUGGCCCAACGGGCGGUUCAUGAAGGCCGGUCAUACUAUUGUGGGCCGGUUUAAGAGGAGAGGCAUGAGGAAUAUUUACCUUACAAGGAGUUAAGACCAGGACUUGUAUCCGGUUUGUAUUAGAGAUAGACUAGUCCUAAUCCUAAUAGGACUCCACAUGUAAACCGCCCCUUCAACAUAUAUAAGGAGGGGUAGGGCUCCCCAAAGAGGGACGAGCAAGAAGAAACAAUCUUAGGGCUAGACACAAAGAGGAGAGCCGGUUUACGGCGACUCCCUCGUGAUGAUAAUGAGACCUAGCCUCAAACAGCAUGUAGGGCUAUUACCGGAUGAUGUUUCCCGGGGCCCGAAGCUGUCUAAAUCCUUGUCUUGCAUGUUGAUCCACCCUGCGUCUCUCGUCCCACUCAACCCCUCUCAAGCUACCACAUAGAUGCGUUGGCCUCUUGACUAAGUCCUGACACUAAGGACAUCUUCCGUGACAAAUCCACGACAGACUCUAAACGAAAAGAUCCCCAGGAGUAUGCAGACAUGACUGAAAUCCUCAAGAAGUAAGUUAAAUCGAUCAUUAUCCACCAUAUCAGUAACUUUGUUCAUUUCCUGAUAUCAAGUAAUUGUUUUCUUUGUCCGGCAGGGUUUGGAGAAAAUUCACCAGAAAAGUUCCAGGACUGCCGAAGGAGCUGGAAUUUAGACACCCGAAAGUAAGUACUAUACUAGCAUGUUCCGCGCAUCUCCUAGUGAUUCAAGCGCUAGUUUCAUCAAUACCAUUUAGCAUUCUUGCUUAUCAGUUUGAUUGACCUCUAUUUCUUGUAAAGUGGUUGUGGCAGGAACAAGGGAAUGAUUUCUGUGGAUACUACGUCUGCGAGUCCAUCCGCCACACGACCUGUGAGCGGGGCAGGUACUCUGACGAACAAUAUGAAGUACGUAAAUAACAACAUUCACAAUUUUAUUUUAUUACCAUCAUUUGUGUUGAGUUUCAUUCAUUCAUAUAUAUAUGUAUUGACCCCCUUCUUCAAAUUAGAUGUUUCAGAAGCGGGAUGAACUCCUAGCACCAGCUCGCAUGCGAGCAAUUCAAGAGGAAUUGGCGGCAUUCUUUCUUGACCACGUGAUCGCUGAAGACGGAGAAUACUAUGUGGACCAUGAGUCCGUAUGAUUAUAUUUGUAAGAGAUAAUUAUUGUAUAUAUGUAGCCGGUAGUGUCGGAUAGAUAUACGAGAACUUGUUGUUCGACCAAUCUCUCGGAGAAGGAGAGGUGGUCGAUAUCACUUCUCUCUGUAUGCAUAUAUGUUCAUGAUGAUCUUCUGUUUCCUUCGUUUGCUUACUAGCUAGCUAGCGUGUCUAGUCCUCUCUAUACUUAUGUAUAGUACGUAGCGUCGACCAAGCAUGGACAUAAGAGAGGACACUUCUCUCUAUUAAUUAUAGCUAGCUAACACAAUAUAUGAAACACCUAAAUUAACCCCCCAAAACCCCUAAACCCCCCCCCCUUCAAAAAAAGAACAAAAACCCCAGCCAUAGAAAUGCAUACGCCUGGAUGCCUAUUGGUCCCGGUUAGUGCCACCAACCGGGACCAAAGGGUCUCCUGCCUGGGCUCCGCGCAUAGGCCAUGUGGAGGCCCAUCAGUCCCGGUUCUGGAUUGAACCGGGACUAAAGGGACAGGGCAUUAGUACCGACUUUAGUCCCGGUUCAGGAACCGGGACUAAAGGCCCUUACGAACCGGGACAACAGGCCCUUUUUCUACCAGUGGAAGCACAACCAGCUAGUCGUAGUUUAGCAUCUAUCGCAUUUGAUGUUGUUAAAUCAUAUGUGUGUAUCUUCCCAUCUUGGAAAUAUUAUACUGAAGAUGAAGGAAAAUGCCAAUUGCAGGUGUUUGUCCAGGAGUUAUGUGUAAGUAAUGUUAUUCAUGGCAAUUACUUUGCUUCGCCCCAUACAUCCUACCUCCAUGAUGGUUAUAAUACAACAAAUUUUCCCAUUUUUCUCUAUAGAGAAGGACCAAUUUGGAAACUCAGGAUGAGGUAACCUAUGCUAAUACCUCUGCUAUCUUCAAGAAUGCUUGGUGGCAGUAUCGGAAUUACCUGAAGAAAACGUACUUCACCGGCAAAGAAACUCAUCAAAUUCCCUUACGUUCUCCUGAGAGACAUUUACUGGACAAUGACUGGGAAUGCCUUGUUCUGUACUGGUCCCAAACUAAGAAUGUGGUAAGGUCUAUGAGCUCAUUUCUAUUUUAAGUAUUAUAUUCUUGCGUCUUACUGUACUCUGUUCAUGUAGAACAUGUGCCUAAACCUGAAGAACAAUUGUUCUAAUUUAAGAUUCCAUUGCUACCAUAGGACAUAGAUAUAUAUUUGUUUGAUGCUUAUAUUAUGUACUAGUACUUGGCAAUAGAAGACUUGGUAGUUUAAUCCUGUCCACCUUACUAAUGAACUGGUUCACCGAAAUGAGUUUCAUAUACUAGUACAUGUUAAACUUGUUAUGUGUCUAUUGUUUCUUCUUUUAGAAUGCUGACAGAAUAUUGGGGAAGAGUGCCUUAUUAAGCAACGGUAAAGGAAGUAAUGCAGAUAAAGUUCAGGAUAGUGACACAUCCUGUCUUGGUUUAGUGUUGGAGUUACUGGCCACUACCGCUUGCACAAGCUAUUCAAACUCACUAUCUGAAUCAGUUCGGUUUCUUAAGUCUCAACUACAAGCUGAAAGACAUCGAUCAGCUGUGCUGCGAAAAGAAGCGGAAGGACUGCAGAAGUCCUUGGAGCAUUCAGAUGCAUACUUUCUGGUGCAACAGCAAGUGUUGGAGGAUUUUAGCGCCGAACAUGACAAAGCUAAUCAGCUUGCUAAGCUUAUUGCCAGCAUGGUGGAUACUCAGGAUAAUGUUUCUUGAGCUCUUGUGAAGUUGUUUCAGUUAUGCUCUUGUUUUGCUACCGCAUUUAUUUGCACUGGUGGCCAAUUUGGACGGCCAGUGUAUAUGAUAUGCUGCUUUGUUCCCUAUUCUAGAUGAUUCCCCGCGCGUUGCAGCGGGAAUUAGUAGCUCAAAAUUUCUUGAAAUAUCAUUAAGAAGAUAUGAGAUUAUUAAACAAAUAAUUCAUCACUGAGAAUAGCAAUGACUCAUUUUUUCCAUGAAAAUGAAAAACGGGAAAUUGUGAUUCCAUCAGUGCAAAUUGAUGUGAAAGUUAGCAUUGCAGUAUAUACUUUUAAGGAUUUUGGGGACUAAAACAUUUCUAAUAUCUUGUAGAACAUUAACAAAAAUAAUCAUCAGCAAGAAAAUAGUAUUGGCAAAUGAUCAAUGCUUCCAUUCCCUUGCAGACACAUUCAUUCAGUCUACAAUGUUAUAAUAAUGUACAACCAGUAUGGUUAGAGAAAGAAUUACAAUUUGCAACAGGAAUAUAUAUUAGCCAUUAUGGGGAAAAGAAGGUAGCCUGCCAUUUCAGAAAGCAUUAUGGAGGCAUGCCAUGGAGCAAUUAAAACAUCGGAACCACAUUACGCAGCAGAGUUAUAUAUAUGAAAUCAGGGAGAUAGGGUCUUUUUCUGCACUUAAACCAACAUGAGAUGAAGUAAGGUAUUAUGAGGAGGGAUAUAGUAUACAUUAUACGGUACUUAAAAAUCAUUAAGUGUAUUUGAUAACCCACAAGUAUAGGGGAUCGCAACAGUUUUCAAUAAGUAAGAAUGUCGAACCCAACGAGGAGCUAAAGGUAGAACAAAUAUUCCCUCAAGUUCUAUCGACCACCGAUACAACUCUACGCAUGCUUGACGUUCUCUUUACCUAGAACAAGUAUGAAACUAGAAGUACUUUGUAGGUGUUUUCGGAAAGGCUUGCAAGAAAGUAAAGAGCACGAAAAUAAAAGUAGGGGCUGUUAAGGUAAAGAAGCAACUAAAGUAAAUAUAGCGAGUGUGGAAAAGUGGUGGUAGGAGCUGCGAAAUUGUCCCUUAAGCAAUUGACUACUUUACUAGACCGAUAGCAAGUAUUAUGUGGGAGAGGCCACUGCUAACAUGUCAUCCCUGACUUGGAAUUCUAUGCACUUAUGAUUGGAACUAUUAGCAAGCAUCCGCAACUACUAAUGUUCAUUAAGGUAAAACCCAACCAUAGCAUUAAGAUGUAUUGGUCCCCCUUCAUUCCCGUAUGCAUCAAUAUCUAUGCUAGGAUGAAGCUUCUGUCACUCUUGCCCUCCAAUACAUAGUCCUAUCAACAUACAACUAACCCUAGGGUGUGAUCCACGCGCGCAAUCAUAUGAUGGGCACCAAAGGACAUCAACAUAACCACAAGCAAAUUAAAUCAAUCAUAGUAAUUCAUCAACCACCGAUAGGACAACGAAAAUCUACUCAUACAUGAUAGGAUGGCAACAAAUCAUUGGUUAAUAAUAUGAAGCAUAAAGCACCAUGUUCAAGUAGAGGGUACCGCGGUUUGCGGGAGAGUGGACCGCUGUAGAUAGAAGGGGGAAGGUGAUGGGGAUGUUGGUGAAGAUGGCGGAGGUGUUCGUGAAGAUCGCGGUGAUGAUGAUGAUGGCCACGGCGGCGUUCCGGCGCCACCGAAGGAGAGGGGUAGAGGGGCUCCCUUCUUCCUCUUCUUCCUUGACCUCCUCCCUAGAUGGGAGAAGGGUUUCCCCUCUGUUCCUUGGCCUCCAUGGCAUGGGAGGGGUGAGAGCCCCUCUGAGAUUGGAUCGAUCUCUCUGUUUCUCUCUCGUUCUGCGUUCUGUUCUGGCUCUGUUUCACCGUUUUGUGUAUAUAUGGAGAUCCGUAACUCCGAUUGGCCUGAAACCUUCGCCGUGAUUUUUUCCGAAUAUUAGCUUUCUUGCGGCAAAAGAAGAGCGUCAACCACCUUACGGUGGGCUCACGAGGGUAGGGGCGCGCCCUAAGGGAGGGUGCACCCCCUGCCUCGUGACCACCUCGGGCACUGGUUCGCGUUGAUUUUCCAUCCGAGUCUUCCAUAUUUUCCAAAAAUAAGGUCCGUCCAUUUUUAUCCCGUUUGGACUCCGUUUGAUAUGGAUAUUCUGCGAAACCAAAAACAUGCAACAGACAGGAACUGGCACUGGGCACUGGAUCAAUAUGUUAGUCCCAAAAAUAAUAUAAAAAAGUUGCCAAAAAGUAUAUGAAAGUUGAAUAAUAUUGGCAUGGAACAAUCAAAAAUUAUAGAUACGACGGAGACGUAUCAGCAUCCCGAAGCUUAAUUCCUGCUCGUCCUCGAGUAGGUAAAUGAUAAAAAGAUAAUUUUUGAUGUGGAAUGCUACCUAGCAUAAUCUUGAUCAUAUGUCUAAUCAUGGCAUGAAUAUUAAGACACGAGUGAUUCAAAGCAAUAGUCCAUCCUUUGACAUUAAGACAAUAAUACUUCAAGCAUACUAAUAAAGCAAUCAUGUAUUUUCAAAAUAACAUGGCCAAAGAAAGUUAUCCCUACAAAAUCAUAUAGUCUGGCUAUGCUCCAUCUUCACCACACAAAAUAUUCACAUCAUGCACAACCCCGAUGACAAGCCAAGCAAUUGUUUCAUACUUUUGACGUUCUCAAACCUUUUCAACUUUCACGCAAUACAUGAGCGUGAGCCAUGGACAUAGCACUAUAGGUGGAAUAGAAUAUGAUGGUGGAGAAGACAAAAAGGAGAAGAUAGUCUCACAUCAACUAGGCGUAUCAAUGGGCUAUGGAGAUGCCCAUCAAUAGAUAUCAAUGUGAGUGAGUAGGGAUUUCCAUGCAACAAAUGCACUAGAGCUAUAAGUGUAUGAAAGCUCCAACUGAAACUAAGUGGGUGUGCAUCCAACUUGCUUGCUCAUGAAGACAUCGGGCAUUUGAGGAAGCCCAUCAUCGGAAUAUACAAGCCAAGUUCUAUAAUGAAAAUUCCCACUAGUAUAUGAAAGUGAUAACUCAAGAGACUCUCUAUAUGAAGAAAAUGGUGCUACUUUGAAGCACAAGUGUGGAAAAAGGAUAGUAGCACUGCCCCUUCUCUCUUUUUCUCUCAUUUUUUUUAUUUUUUUUGGUGGGCUUCUUUGGCCUCUUUUUUUAUUUUGGCUUCUCUUUGGCCUCUUUUAUUUUCUUUGUAAAGUCCGGAGUCUCAUCCCGACUUGUGGGGGAAUCAUAGUUUCCAUCAUCCUUUCCUCACUGGGGCAAUGCUCUAAUAAUGAUGAUCAUCACACUUUUAUUUACUUACAGCUCAAUAUUACAACCCGAUAUCUAGAACAAAGAUAUGACUCUAUAUGAAUGCCUCCGGCGGUGUACCGGGAUGUGCAAUGAUCUAGCGUAGCAAUGAUGUCAAAAAUGGACAAGCCAUUAAAACAUCAUGCUAGCUAUCUUACGAUCAUGCAAAGCAAUAUGACAAUGAAUGCUCAAGUCAUGUAUAUGAUGAUGAUGGAAGUUGCAUGGCAAUAUAUCUCGUAAUGGCUAUGGAAAUGCCAUGAUAGGUAGGUAUGGUGGCUGUUUUGAGGAAGGUAUAUGGUUGGUUUAUGGUACCGGCGAAAGUUGCGCGGUACUAGAGAGGCUAGCAAUCGUGGAAGGGUGAGAGUACGUAUAAUCCAUGGACUCAACAUUAGUCAUAAAGAACUCACAUACUUAUUGCAAAAAUCUAUUAGUCAUCGAAACAAAGUACUACGUGCAUGCUCCUAGGGGCAUAGAUUGGUAGGAAAAGACCAUCGCUCGUCCCCGACCGCCACUCAUAAGGAAGACAAUCAAUAAAUAAAUCAUGCUCCGACUUCGUUACAUAACGAUUCACCAUACGUGCAUGCUACCUGAAUCACAAACCUCAACACCAGUAUUUCUAAAAUCCACAAUGACCCACUAGCAUGACUCUAAUAUCACAAUCUUUAUAUCGCAAAACUAUUGCAAGGAAUCAAACAUAUCAUAUUCAGUGAUCUACAAGUUUUAUGUAUGAUUUUAUGACUAACCAUGUGAAUGACCAGUUCAUGUCAUCUCUCCAAAUAGAUAUAAGUGAAGAAAGAGAGUUUAAUUCUUUCUACAAAAGAUAUGCCCCUGCUCUAACAAAUAUAAGUGAAGCAAAAGAGCAUUCUGCCAAUGGCGGUUGUCUAAGUAAAGAGAAACAGGCAGUCCAAACUUCAAAUGUUAUAAGUGAAGCACAUGAAGCAUUCUAUAAAGCCAUACUCAAAAAAUAUAAGUAAAGUGCAAAGAGCAUUCUAUAAAUCAACCAAGGACUAUCUCAUACCAGCAUGGUGCAUAAAAAGAAAAAUAAAAAACCUAAAUGCAAAAGACGCUCCAAGACUUGCACAUAUCGCAUGAACGAAACGAAUCCGAAAACAUACCGAUAUUUGUUGAAGAAAGAGGGGAUGCCUCCCCAGCAUCCCCAAUCUUAGACGCUUGAGUCUCCUUGAAUAUUUACUUGUGGUGCCUCCUGCAUCCCCAAGCUUGAUCUCUUGCCUCUCUUCCUUCUUCUCACAUCGACACCUUCUCGUUCAUCGAACACUUCAUCCACACAAAACUCCAACAAAAAACUCGGUAAGAUCUGUUAGUAUAAUAAAGCAAAUCACUACUCUAGGUACUGUUGAAAACCAAUUCAUAUUUUGCUUUUUCAUUGUGUCUACUGUAAUAUAACUUUUUCAUGGCUUAAUCCACUGAUAUAAAUUGAUAGUUUCAUCAAAACAAGCAAACUAUGCAUCAAAAACAGAAUCUGUCUAAAACAGAACUGUCUGUAAUAAUCUGAACAUUCACCAUACUUAUGUUACUUGAAAAAUUCUACCAAAAGUAAAAAUAAACAAUUUGUAUAUGAAGACAGCGCAAAAACAAUCAGAACCAUUUGACGUUCCAGCAAAAAAUGUAAAAUCGCGCACUACAGCCAAAGUUUCUGUCCUGCACCGUACAAACCAUCAAGCAAAUGCAAACAUCCUAAAGGCAAACCUUGGCACAUUAUUUUUAUAAUAAAAUGGAAUUGUACAAGGGGAUAAUUAUUUUUAUUGAAAAGUUUUUGUAAUCAAGAUUCACAAAGUUGCCGUGAGCAUGAACAAAGUUCAAGGAGCUCUCCCACUUCAACAAUGCUUGUCUUUCUCACUUUCGGUUUCCUUUUUGAAAAGGUUUUGGGUUCCUCUCUUUAUUUUUGUUGUUUUUAAACUAUGUGAAAGCACUGAACAGAAAUAAAUGACUCUCUAAAACUUCCGGGUUGUCUCCCUGGCAGCGCUUUCUUUAAAGCCAUUAAGCUAGGCAUAUAGUGCUCAAGUAAUGGAUCCACCCGGAUCCCAAGGUAUAUCAAAGCCAAUUUUAAUUAACAAUGAUUUGUAAUUUAGUAGUGAGCACAAAGUAACAUAUAUCAUGCAAUGACGAAGUCUAACUCUCUUCCUAUGCAUAGGCAUGUCAUAAAAGAACAAUUCAUGCACACAAAGUAAAUGCCAAUGCAUAGUAUAAACAGUUUCUUGCAAUUUUAUCAUAUUGGAAACAUAGAGAGGUGGAGAUAUAGUUCCUCUCUCAUAAUAAUUGCAAGUAGGAGCAGCAAGCACAUGCAUAUUAUAUUCAUCAAAAUCAUCAUGUGCAACGGUAAAAGGCAACCCAUCAAUAUAUUCCUUAAUAAGAGCAAACUUCUCUGAUAUAGUGUAGUCGGGAGAAUUCAAAAAGAUAAUAGGACUAUCAUGCGUGGAUGCAAUAGCAACAAUUUCAUGUUUAACAUAAGGAAUUAUAGCAAGUUCAUCUCCAUAAGCAUAAUUCAUAUUGGCAUCUUGGCCACAAACAUAGCAAGCAUCAUCAAAAAGGGAUAUUUCAAAAGAAUCAACGGGAUCAUAACAAUCAUCAUAGCAAUCAUCCUUAGGUAAGCACGAAGGGAAAUUAAACAAUGUAUGAGUUGAAGAGUUACUCUCAUUAGAAGGUGGGCACGGGUAGCUAAUCCGCUCUUCCUACUUUUGUUCUUCGCUCUCCUCCUCAUCUUUUUCAUCCAAUGAGCUCACAGUUUCAUCAAUUUCUUCUUCCAUAGACUCCUGCAAUAUAUUAGUCUCUUCUUGGAGAGCGGAGUAGUAAUCAAUAUAUGGUUCAACAUAGGCAUUAGAAGCAUAAUUAUCAUAACAAUAUUUAAGUAUGUCAAAAUUUUCAGAUUUGUAAAGAGUAGCAUUAUACUUAUCAAUCAAAGAAGCAAUUUCGUAAGCACCCUUAAAAGCAACAAAUUCUUCAAUUUGUUGAACAUCAUAGUAACUAUAAACACCCUUAGCAUAAGAGGAUACGAUUCCGUUGUCACUAAACAAACAUUGGUAGGGAAGGUGUUUCUUAGGGUCUUCAGAACAACAGGUAUAAUCAUAUAUUUCACAUAAAUUCCAAGCAUAGCAUUGCAAACGAUGAAUUUGAUCCAAUAAAGUUUUCCCUUUUUCAGAUAUUCUGUGUCGCACAUAAAAAUAAUGCUCAUCUGAAGAUUUGCCCUCAACUAAGCUAGUUGGGGUUUCAGCAUGAGCACAAAGGGAUCGAAGAUGAUCCAAGUAAUAAGCUUCCACAGUGUGAUAGAUUUUGAGUCGUUCUUCAACCAUUGGUUAAUAGGUACAACUAAUUUUUUUGGUAUUUUGCGUACCCAUAACUAAAGAUAGAAACAACUAAGAACAGAAAAUAAAAAUUACUUAGUGAUAAAGCAAGCAAGCACACACGAGAAUAUUCAUCCCCAUGCUAUUGCUCCCAGGCAACGGCGCCAGAAAAUGGUCUUGAUAACCCACAAGUAUAGGGGAUCGCAACAAUUUUCGAUAAGUAAGAGUGUCGAACCCAACGAGGAGCUAAAGGUAGAACAAAUAUUCCCUCAAGUUCUAUCGACCACCGAUACAACUCUACGCACGCUUGACGUUCGCUUUACCUAUAACAAGUAUGAAACUAGAAGUACUUUGUAGGUGUUUUCGGAAGGCUUGGAAGAAAGUAAAGAGCAGGGAAAUAAAACUAGGGGAUGUUAAGGUAAAGAAGCAACUAAAUUAAGUAUAGCGAGUGUGGAAAAGUGGUGGUAGGAGUUGCAAAAUUGUCCCUUAAGCAAUUGACUACUUACUAGACCGAUAGCAAGUAUUACGUGGGAGAGGCCACUACUAGCAUGUCAUCCCUGACUUGGAAUUCUAUGCACUUAUGAUUGGAACUAUUAGCAAGCAUCCGCAACUACUAACGUUCACUAAGGUAAAACACAACCAUAGCAUUAAGAUAUAUUGGUCCCCCUUCAAUCCCGUAUGCAUCAAUUUAUAUGCUAGGUUGAAGCUUCUGUCACUCUUGCCCUCCAAUACAUAGUCAUAUCAACAUACAACUAACCCUCGGGUGUGAUCCACGCGCACAAUCAUAUGAUGGGCACCAAAAGACAGCAACAUAACCACAAGCAAAUUAAAUCAAUCAUAAUAAUUAAUCAACCACUGAUAGGACAACGAAAAUCUACUCAGACAUCAUAGUAUGGCAACAAAUCAUUGAAUAAUGAUAUGAAGCAUAAAGCACCAUGUUCAAGUAGAGGGUACAGCGGGUUGCAGGAGAGUGGACCACUGUAGAUAGAGGGGGUAAGGUGAUGGAGAUGUUGGUGAAGAUGGCGGAGGUGUUGGUGAAGAUCGCGGUGAUGAUGAUGAUGGCCACGGCAGUGUUCCGGCGCCACCGAAGGAGAGCGGGAGAGGGUCCCCUUUUUCCUCUUCUUCCUUGACCUCCUCCCUAGAUGGGAGAAGGGUUUCCCCUCUGGUCCUUGGCCUCCAUAGCAUGGGAGGGGCGAGAGCCCCUCCGAGAUUGGAUCUAUCUCUCUGUUUCUCUCUGGUUAUGCGUUCUGUUCUGGCUUUGUUUCACCGUUUCGUGUAUAUAUGGAGAUCCGUAACUCCGAUUGGCCUGAAACCUUCGCCGUGAUUUUUUACGAAUAUUAGCUUUCUUACAACAAAAAAAGAGCAUCAACUGCCUUACGGUGGGCUCACGAGGGUUGGGGCGCGCCCUAAGGGGGGGCGCCCCCUGCCUCGUGAUCACCUCGGGCACUGGUUCGCGUUGAUUUUCCUUCCGAAUUUUCCAUAUUUUCCAAAAAUAAGCUCCGUCCGUUUUUAUCCCGUUUGGACUGCGUUUGAUAUGGAUAUUCUGCGAAACCAAAAAGUACUGGGCACUGGAUCAAUAUGUUAGUCCCAAAAAUAAUAUAAAAAAAUUGCCAAAAAGUAUAUGAAAGUUGAAUAAUAUUGGCAUGGAACAAUCAAAAAUUAUAGAUACGACGGAGACGUAUCAGUAUUCUUAGAGGCCAAAUAGGAGACCUGGAAAUUAUGCUAAUUUAGAUCUACAUGUUCAAAAUAUCAAUUUCGGUAAACUUGGUAUAUUUUAGAAAGAGAGGUGCCAACCUGAAAAAUAUAAUUUACUUCUCUUGCAAUGACCCGGAGCUAAAUUCCAUAUAUACAAAUCAGUUUACUAUGCAAUACAUACCCAAAAAAUACACCAUCUUUGGCAAGUCUUCAAGCUACAAUCUUUUCUUGCACCAGUUUCAGCAUCAAAUAUAUGUGUUAUAGGUUACUACGAAGGAGAUAUAGAGUAGCUGAUACAAUAGAGAGAUGACCUUAGUACAUGAAUGUAAGAAUAAUAUAACCAUAGAUUGCAAGAAUAAUCCACACAAAGAAAAGACUCUACACAAAGUACAGGAAACAUAAUAAUAGAAGUACAGAUCAAAGAUUCUCGCAACAAAAUCAGUAAUUGUAUGGAUCAUGAGCCGGUUCAAGAUGAAGCAGAUGUACAUAAAUAGUCAAAGUGACCUUCAGACAAAAUAAAGUAACAGUGACCAGAGAUUAGGGAACUAAGAGAAAUCAUGAAUUUGGCAUCACAUUUACCUCUAAACAUCAUUGUAAAGGAUAGAGGACUCUAGGGCAAUGCUACUGUAUGUCAUAUUUUAAGAUUUUGCUUUAGAAAGAUUAUGAACAUACUCAUAAUUCAAUAUUUUACUCAUCUCUGAACAUACUCAAGGUAGGCACUAAAAAAUGGAUAUAUGGUAAAAAAAACAGAGUAGAGGAAGUAUUUGGGGGGAGGGGGUCAGGAAGAACCUGAUAUGGAGAAGAGAUUGAAACAGGUUGUUGUGCCGGCCAAAACUGCAGAUGUUCCCCGACCAGCAGGCACCGCAUCAACAGUCAAUCGAUUUGAACAACAGGGACUUCAAAACCAAAACCAAGGAUCAGGAAGAUUUGCUUCCAAGAUGCCCCCAAACAAAAAGCCACAUGUCAAUCUCCCUCCUCGAUAUGCGAAGAACUGAGGGGACUAAUAGAUUGGACACGGGUAGCAGCAAGAAUGGAUCACCUGGAAUCAUCUUGACCUGCUCCUUCUAGCGGUGCCUCUUGAACUUGGGGAGGUAACAACCGCAGGGAACCCACAGUAUAUAGCAGGGCAGAAGCGGAAUCGGUGCGCCAUAAAAACUGAAUCGGCGUACUCGUAGAUGAGGAGAACUAAAUCCAGCCGAGGGAGAGGGGGAUUGAUAGUGGGAGAUUAAUUGCCGUGCAGAAGAUGGAGAGUUCUGGAUGCCAUUCUACGGGAGCAGAUGGACCAAUCUAGAACAAAUCUUUGAGGGGAUGGGGAGCCAGAGGAGCGCACUCACGGAGAGUUGGGAUCCCAGCCGCCGUGCAAAAUAUGGAAUGAAUCUUGGGGAUGGGGAGCACGACUGGAAACACACUCAUUAAUCAGCGGUCAUGCAGCAGGAGGAGCGACUAUCGGAGAGUUGGGAUCCCAGCCCGCUGCACGAAAUUGAUUUUCGUAGGGGAGGAGCGGUCGAUGGGUUCCGACUUGUGAGGGAGAGAGAGGUAUGUAUCUUUCGGCGAAGGAACACGCUGACGUGGAUACCUUGCAUGUUAAGAUAAAAAUGAUAGUGGGGAUGAACUUCUUAUGUAUAUAGGAUUUGCACUGGUGGCGAACUUUGGUGCCCAGUGGAUGUAAUAUGUGUAAUAUCCAUGAUAACCUAGCAUUAGUUGCUUGCUUAUUUAUUUUCUUGUUGUCUUGUUUAUUUAUUUGCUUGUAGUCAUUGCAGUUCUUUUUCCGCGGUUAACAAGUGGCUGCAAUAACCUAUUUUUUUUAAACUAGGUCACAAUAACCAUGGGCUAAUAUUUACUGUAGUGACACUGGGCCUCCUACGGGCCCUAGAAACAAUGGGUCUUCUAUGGGCCGUAGAAACAGUAGGCCUUCUACGGGUUGUAGAAGCAAUGGGCUUUCUACGGGCCAUAUCAUCAAUGAGCCGUAUGAUCGAUUGGCCAAACAUGGACCAAUAACAGGCCGCAUUAUGGCCGUAAACGGGCUAGAGACGGAAUCGUCCGUUCAUGGGCCGACCGUAACGGGCCAUCUUUAAUAGGCCGUAUUUGAUGACGCUAUGUAAACGGCCCAACGUAUUAACGGACCACAAAUGGGCCGACUGUAACCACGGGCUAAAUUUGGCCCACAAGCAGAAAAUGAUAGUAACGGGUCGUAAGUAAACGAAUGCUGGAAAUGAGCCCAAGAAUAAAUGGGCUCUGAGAAGGCCGAAAGAUAACAUGGGCUGGAAACGGCCCAACGGAAUAACGGGCCGUUAAUGGGUAUAAAGUGAUACACUGUUCAUUACGGGCCAGUUUCACCACGGGCCGUUAAUGGGUGUAAAGUGAUACACUAUUCAUUACGGGUCAGUUUCACCACGGGCCGUUAAUAGGUCAAGAGUUACAUAGGGCCUCAUAUGAGCCAAAAGACGUCAUGGGCCAUACAUGGGCCAGAAGUGAAAAUGGGCUGGAAUCAUAUUGGAUGGCCUAGAUGACGCUACUGGGCCUAAUUCAGAUAGGGCGUAACGGGCCUUGGGUUAGCGGGUUGUAAAUGGGCUAUAUGCGAAUAGGCUGUUAACAGGCUUUCCAUGGCCGCCCACCACCUUUUGACCAAGUCAAACAGGCCGGCCUUUUCACAGGAAUGGGCCUCUGUUGUGCCGUGCCACGUGUCGACGUAUCAUAGGCGCCUAUCUGACCCACUGACGAGCUGACACAUGUUUCGUCCGGCCAAUAAGAAUUUUACACGUAGAAAUUUCCCAUUGGUCGGGGCCGUUAACGGGUUAUCGGAUCCAAAACCCGACCCGAUAGCUUAACGGCGUUCCGUUACGGUGGAUGCCACGUGUCGGUCACCCAUGACGAAAACACUUCUGUGACGCGCGAUUUAUCAUCAUGGAAGUGGACACUUCUGUGAUGAUAAUUUUGGUAAUGUCAUGGAACACUUCUACGACAGCACAGGUAUGACUAUCUUGAUUCUGUCAUAAAUUUGUCAUGGAUGUACAUCCAUGACAAAAAAGCGACCUACUAUGACAAACACAUAUCAUCACGGAAGCGUAUUUUUUUGUAGUGUAUGUGAACGUAGACUACAUGACACUUCACCAUUAUUUGGGCCUAGAGGAAGGCAUUGUGAAGUAAUAAGUAGAUGAUGGGUUGCUAGAGUGACAGAAGUUUAAACCCUAGUUUAUGUGUUGCUUCGUAAGGGGCUGAUUUGGAUCCAUAUGUUUCAUGAUAUGGUUAGGUUUACCUUAAUACUUUUGUUGUAGUUGCGGAUGCUUGCAGUAGAGCUUAAUCAUAAGUGGGAUGCUUGUCCAAGUAAGGGCAGUACCCAAGCACCGGUCCACCCACAUACCAAAUUAUCAAAGUACCGAACGCAAAUCAUAUGAAUGUGAUGAAAACUAGCUUGACGAUAAUUCCCAUGUGUCCUCGGGAGCGCUUUUCGCUAUUUAAGAGUUUGUCCAUGCUUGUCAUUUGCUACAAAAAGGAUUGGGCCACCUUGCGGCACUUUAUUUACUUGUGUUACUUGUUGCUCGUUACAAAUUAUCUUAUCACAAAACUAUCUAUUACCUAUAAUUUCAGUGCUUGCCGAGAAUACCUUGCUGAAAACCACUUAUCAUUUCCUUCUGCUCCUCGUUGGGUUCGACACUCUUACUUAUCGAAAGGACUACGAUAGAUCCCCUAUACUUGUGGGUCAUUAGUCUACAUAGUUCUCGAACCUGUAGGGUCCGCGCGCUUAACGUUCGAUGACGAUCAGUAUUAUGAGUUUAUGUGUUUUGAUGUACUGAAGUUAGUUCGGAGUCCCAGAUGUGAUCACGGACAUGACGAGGAGUCUCAAAAUGGUCGAGACAUAAAGAUCGAUAUUUUAGAAAGCUAUGUUUGGACACCGGAAUGGUUUUGAAUGAGUUCGGGCAUUUUCCGGAGUACGGGGAGGUUACCAGAACCCCCCUGGGGAGUCAAUGGGCCUUAUUGGGCCUUAGUGGAAGAGAGGAGGACGUGGCCAGCUGGAGGGCGCCCCCCCAAGCCUAAUCCGAAUUGGGGUGGGGGCCGGCCCCCUUUCCUUCUCUCCCUCUCCCUCUUCCUUCUUCUCCUACUCCAACUAAGAAGGGGGGAAACCUACUCCUACUCGAAGUAGGACUAUCCUCCUUGGGCGCGCCCUAUGAGAGCCGGCCCUCUCCUCCUCCCCCCUUUAUAUACGGGGGAGGCACUACAGGAAACAGUUAAUUUGCCGUCAGGAGGCGUCUUUGCCGUCAGCUUUUCGUCGGGCGGACGGCAAAGAAAGGGUUUGCCGUCAUCAGUAGACGGCAAAGAAAAACAAAUGGUAAAAUAGACUUUGUCGUCUGCAAAAAAACACGGACGGUAAAUCUCUCACUUUGCCAUCUGCAAAAAACAAAGACGACAAAUCGCUCACUUUGCCGUUUACAAAGAAAAACACAAACGGCAAAGAUCCUUGUCGUCUGCAUUUUUUGUUACAGACGGCAAAGAGCAUGUUUCGCCAUGUAUAAUAUAAAACACAGACGGCAAAGAUAUUACAGACAACAAAAUAUGCUCUUUGUCGUCUGUAAUUGAAAACACAUACGGCAAAGAAAAAACACAUCUCACGGAUCGAUCUCCUGGAUCGAUGAGGUGGCACGAUCCUUACCACACGUUGUCUCCCACAUCUCUCGCACGCCCCCACGUCCUCUCUCUCUCUCCCCACGUUCUCUUUCUCUAUCCACCCACCGACGCAACCGGACGGCCCCACCCACCUCGCCCAUCCUCUCACCCACGAUAGCCACAAAUCCCACCGAGAGGCCCGCGCCCGUGCUCCCCCCGAGAGGCCCCCGCCCGUGCUCCCUCCGCAGCGCUGCCGGCGCAUCGCCGUCGCGCGCCUCUGGCGCGGUCUGCUGCCUCUCGCGCACCCCCUCGGGCACGCAUGCCUCUGCCCCGCCCGAGGUCUCACCUCCUCCCCCGACUCUCCUCGUCCAGGCGGGCACCAGCGCCGGCGGGCACCACGUGCCAGCCAGGCGACCAGCGCGACACGUCAACCGCCGCCGCCAAAGACGGGCGCCUCCUCGUACGCGUGCAGCUAACCCUCGCUGAACUACUCUGUAGCUGCCUCUCGCCGGACCCCGUUGCACUCGAGACUCCCCACCCUCUUUCUUUCCGCCCCUUGCCGGACCCAGCCGCGGCCAUCCCUCACUAGACCCCGCCACGGCCGCCCCUCGCCGGACUACACCGCAGCCGUCAGUCACCGGACCCCGCCGCGGCCGUCCCUCACUAGACCUCACCGGAGACCGGACCCCGCCAUGGCCGCCCCUUGCCAGACCUCACCGCGUCGGCUCCCUAGCCUCCACUACAAGAAAUAUGUCAACUAGUGACCUUCUGUCAGUGACCCUGGAAGAAAUGGGCAUAGAUCUAUGACCAUUUCAUACCAAUUGGUUAAAAGUUGCUCAGGGGGCUCCAAACCCUAAACCAUUGCGACCAUUUUGGUCAGAAAUGUCGUAAUUUCCUUACAUGAAAUGGUCAUAAAGCAAACAGCGCUAGUCUGCUGCCUUAUUUCUAGUUGUUAACGACCAAUAUAGAUGGUCACAGCCUUGUAAAUUGUGGUGGGUUGCUAUGACUAGGCGCCACCUCAUCAGUUUUGCCUAUGUGUCAUGUCCAUGUGACAGUUCUUGCCCUAGGUUGUGAAGCAACCUAUAUUUCUGUCAUUUCCAAAAUUCCCAAAAAAAUUCUUUGGGUCAUAUCUUCGUCAAAUAUGUAAAAACCUUCCUUACCUAGUUCAAAAAUAAUUCAAAAAUAUUCAUUUUCCUAUUCUGUUCAGAACAACAGUUUGUGAAGGAAGUACCACUUUGGCAUGUCCAAAUAGUAUCCAUUUUCUACAGUGCUUUCCUAUGCCCAAAUAACCAUCCUCCACCAAAUGCCAGCUCAAUCUAUUCAUUAUUUUGAGCCGAGCUUCAACAUUCGUAUUUAUGUCCAGUGUGGUAGUUUGCAAAGCAAGUACCACCUAGGAUCCUCCUUUUGAGCUGAAAAUUUGUGAAGACGGUCUUCUUAGUAACUGACCAUCCUCAGCCAAAACUCACACCCAUUAGCCAUGUACAUUUCCCGUACCGCUAAUCAAACACUUGGCUGCUAAUUCAUGUUUGAGCAUCGAUCGGUCUCCUCGUGAGAAUCUUAUGUUGUAAUUUUCUUCCUAGCACCUACCUGGGGAGUGCCCAACCCACUAAACAUGCCUAGCCUGCCCAGAACACAUGGCAAUGCCACGGUCACGCGGUGACCACGCGGCGGGCAUGCGAGUUUACGCGCUCUAGAGUUGGGGGCCUCGGCAACCGCCAAAACCUCGACGUAUCGCCACCAAACCAUGUAUUUAUGAUUAAAUAGGUACUUAUGUAACUAUAAAUGAUUUUUGAAAAAAAAAAUAGCAAACUAUGAGGCAGCUGUAGUUCAAAUUUGACCCGCUUCCUACUAAAUCGGCAGGAAUUUGUCUUUUUCACCAGAGGUGGAUCAAAACUUUUUACACCCAACCAUUUUGUCAAUUGUGCAUUAAAUAUGGCCUAGUAUUUUAUAAAAUUGAUUUGGUCCAAUUUUGCAACAAUUAUUUGGGAGGUCCUUCACAAAAAAACCUCCUUUUGGGCACCCGAAAAAUGGAAAAUGGUAUUUUCGUCCAAAGAAAAUGGAAACUUCCUGAGGCAACAUUGUUUGCCAUUCCAAUAUGCACCCUUGUGCACAAUAUGAGAUCAUUUGAACAACUAUGCCAUGAAUGUGGCCAUAAGAUUGAUCAUUUGGCUUGAAAGCCAUUGAUCUCCAUACGUGAUAGCUCGUUUCUGAGAACACUUUUUUAAAAUAAUUGCCAUAUUACAAGUUUGUUAUUUUUCCUGGGAACUUGGCCACAUAUAGUGACACAAUGCGAAGGUUUCCCAAUUUUUUUAUUUUUUUUGAAUUUUUUAUGCCCCUUUCAAAAUAUGGUCAAAACGACGGGAAUGACUGUUCCUCGCUAGUGGUUGAAUCUUGGAAUUUUUUUGGUGUUUCUCUGAUCAAAUAGAUACUUAUGUACCUAGAAAUUAUUUUUGGAAAAAAUAAAUAGCAAACUAUGAGGCAGCUGUAAUUAAUAUUUGACCCGCUUCCUACUGAAUCGGCAUGAAUUUGUCUUUUUCACCAGAGGUGGAUCAAAACUUUUUACACCCAACCAUUUGGUCAAUUGUGCAUUAAUUAUGUCCUAGUAUUUUAUAAAAUUUAUUUGGUCCAAUUUUGCAACAAUUAUUUGGGAGAUCCUUCACAAAAAAAUCUCCUUCUGGGCACUCGAAAAAUGGAAAAUGGUUUUUUCGUCCAAAGAAAAUGGAAACUUCCUGAGGGAACAUUUUUUGCCAUUCCAAUAUGCACCCUUGUGCACAAUAUGAGAUCAUUUGAACAAACUAUGACAUGAAUGUGGCCAUAAGAUUGAUCAUUUGGCUUGAAACCCAUUGAUCUCCAUACGAGAUAGCUCGUUUCUGAGAACACUUUUUUAAAAUAAUUGCCGUAUUACAAGUUUGUUAUUUUUCUUUGGAACUUGGCCACAUAUAAUGACACAAUGCGAAGGUUUCCCAAUUUUUUGAUUUUUUUUAUCCUUAUCCGCUUGGCCGCGGCAGUGAACUAGUACAUCAAUGAAAGAAGGAGUAUGGCUACUACCCAUGUGUGACUGUUGUACUGUUGUGAAGAAUCAACAAAAAUAGUCCACUGCAGUUGGUCUUUUGUUCUGGUCGCUGCGCCUGGUCUUUUCAAUGAGUUCACUUAGCUUUCAUUUUAUGUUUCAAGUAGUAACUUUCGGGCUGCAGUUGGUCUCUACGCCAAUCACAGAACGUGCCAUCUAAUAUAUGAAGGAAGGAAGGAGUAUGGCUACUACCCACGCAAGGGGGCCCGAACCGUCGUAAACCUGUGCCCUGCAUUCAGUUUGAUGGCAUUUGGUGACUUUCCACUAGCAAAGAAAUCACAUGCAACUAUUGUACUAUUGGGAAGAAUCUAGAAAAAUAUCCUCAAAAACAUUCUUCCGUGUCAUCACCGCCACACCCUCUCUUUCCCAGGUAGACAUAUUUGUGAUGUUGGGUCGAUGUUCUCAUAUUUUUGGGAACAUUUUCACCUAACCAAUGUGCCCUAUUAAAGAUGAUGCAAAAGCCGAAAGAUAUGCAAUUAAGCAUGCAUGAUUGAACAAGAUUGACUAAGGUUCAUGCAAUUGGCCACACAUGACCUGCUGCGAUGCGUCCCACAAAUCAAUUUAAAAGCAUGGAAAGGAAAAGAAAAGGUUGUAAAUCAUGGAUAUUUUUCCUUCUUUUAUCUCUCUACGAAUGUUCUUUUCUUACAGGCCAAGGAAUUGCCAGUAGUAUCUCUGAUGGGACCCUGUUUCUUUGUUCCUGGAACUAAUGUUAAUAGUUUAUUGAUAUUUCAUACAUGAAGCCGAAGAACCCAGCUAGCUAGCCUACUACUUUAGGCUUUCUUUACGUAUGUUAGGCUUCGCAUGGAACUUGCACGUCAAUUCUAUAUUUAGAGCUAGAUUAACACAGAUAUGCUCUAUACUUUGGAUGUCACUCAGGGUUAGUAUAUGUUCAACAAUAUAUUUCUAUGUUAUUUCGUAGUGUUGAGCAAAAUAAACAUAUGGACCAAUUAAUCAGUGGCCUGCAGAAAACGGUAAUAGCUUUAUCGAGUAUGUGUUCAUAGCUCGAAGUGCGGACUUUACAUGGACAUUCACUCGUUCCUGGGAUUUGGAAUGUCGAGAAAACCGACAGCCCCUUGUGCUUCCAGAUGGUGUAGGGAAUAAAACUGGAGCAGCAGAGGCAGAUUUAAAUGUAUUUAUUUCCAUCAUCCAUGGUUCUACUUGUAAAUAUCAAUUUUUCCCACAGAAAAGUGUAAAUGUAUACAUAUGAAUUGAUUUCCAUGGCGAAUGUACAUGUACCAAAAUUCUAGCUAGCUUCCCCUAGAAAAACAUUUUAGCAAGGUAGUCAGAAGCUUCCUUAAGAAAGAACAGAAAAGAAAAGAAAAGAAAAGAAAUGGUACCUGAUUCGUGCCCUUUGUUUGUUGAAGGAAGUAGUUUAUAGUAGUAUAACAGUGCAUGCAUGGCUACCGCUUGGUCCGUCCAUGCGUACGUAGUUUUCCUAUAUAUAGAGAGAGAUUAGAGAGCGGAGGACCAACACAAGUCAUAAGCGGCCAUCGAUCUAUCCCAGGCCACACGUAGUAGCACAACAAUCAUGACGAUUUCCGCUAUGCCGCUGCUAUUGCUUCUUCUUGUCAGCUUGUCUGUAGGUUCUUGUGUGGGUGACCAUCAUCAGCUCCUCAACUUCAUGACAGUGAAAACAAGCUCCCUAAAGCAUAUCGCAGAAGGCGCCGUCUGCUCCGGACACAAGGGUGAGUAUCUAAGGGUACUGCAUGCAUGCAUAUGCAUACGUUAUUUAGUACAUACUCGCUCCGUUCGGAAUUACUUGUCGCAGAAAUAGAUGUAUUCGAAAUAUGUCUAAAUACAUCCAUUCCUGCGAUAAGUAAUUCCCGAUACAUCCAUUCCUGCGACAAGUAAUUCCGAACGGAGGAAGUACGUCGUAUAGUAGCUAGCUUAAUAUUGAGCUCAUUGAUGGAUAUGCAUGCGUGUUAACCUGUCGCCUUCGUCUGUCGACAAACAGUGACAAUGCCGUCCGGCGACGGUGUCAGGUGGGUACCGAUGAACCGCCCGCACGGCCCAUGCUCGUCAGCGGCGGCGACUACGGUCGUCGACGGCAUGCUCCUGUGGGACCAGCUACGCACCAGCUCAAUCCGGAGGAAGCUCUCCGGCGGCAGGGCCGGCGAUGGCCUGCCGGUCAUCCACUCCCGUGAAGCCAAAACUAGCAACAUCGACAGCAGUAUGACUGCGAAAAGCACGCUGGGGGGCAGCGGCGGGACAAGCUCCACGACAAUGGAAAGGACCAGCGAACACUUGUACUCCAAGGUGAGCCAAACGGUGGUGGUGGACACGAGCAGCGACAUUCCGUGGGUGCAGUGCCUCCCGUGCCCCGCCCCGCAGUGUCACCUCCAGAAGGACCAACUCUACGACCCCGCCAACUCCAGCACGUACGCACCUAUCCCCUGCGGCUCCCCUGCCUGCACGGAGCUCGGUAGCAGCCACAGCAGUGGCUGCUCCGCCGGCUCCGACCAAUGCAAGUACAUCCUCGACUACGGCGACGGCAGGGCCACCGCCGGGACAUACGUCACCGACACGCUGACCUUGUCGCCCACCAUCGCGGUCAAGGGCUUCCGGUUCGGGUGCAGCCACGCCGUGAGGGGCACCUUCAGUGACCAGACCGCCGGCGUCCUGGCCCUCGGCGGCGGCGCUGGGUCCCUCCUUGCGCAGACCGCGGAGACCUUCGGCAACGCCUUCUCCUACUGCGUCCCGCACCCGAGCUCCGAUGGAUUCCUCUCGCUGGGCGGGCCGGUGGGGAACUCGUCGCAGUUCACGAGCACGCCUCUNNNNNNNNNNCUCUGAUCAAGAACCAACACGCUCCGACGUUCUACAUCGUCCGCCUGGAGGCAAUCACCGUGGCCGGGAGGCGGCUCGACGUGCCGCCGGCUACGUUCGCCGGUGGUGCGGUGAUGGACUCAGGGGCGGUCGUCACGCAGCUGCCACCGUCGGCAUACGCAGCGCUGCGGGCAGCGUUCAGGAGCGCCAUGACGGCGUAUGGCCCGCUUGCGGAUCCCGUACGCAACCUUGACACGUGCUAUGACUUGACCCGCUUCCCCGAGGUCAAUGUCCCCAAGGUGUCCCUAGUGUUCGCAGGCGGUGCCACCUUGGAGCUCGAGCCGGCGUCCAUCAUGCUGGACGGCUGCCUGGCUUUCACGGCCUCCCCUGGCGGCCACGGCUCCAUCGGAUUCAUCGGCAACGUGCAGCAGCAGACCUACGAGGUUUUGUACGACGUCGGCAGCGGGAGCGUGGGAUUCCGCAGUGGCGCGUGCUGAUGUGGCAAGCUGCAGGCCAACCACGGCCACUUGUACGUGUGAUGCAUGAUUGGCCCCCUAAUAUAUAUCUGGGUCUACAAGCUAGCUUGCUCAUUGGGAUGGAGCUAGUUUGUGAGUAUAAAUAAAUGCAAGAAAGAAGAUUGAUGUAAUACUUAUAUAUGCAUGUAAUUUUAUAUAGUUUUAUAUAUGCAUGUAAUUUUGUUCAACGGUUGUAUGAUUGUAAACCUUAUAAUAUAACCUUACAGAUUGUCAAGGAAUUCAACCGAUAUAAUUACUCUACUUAUUGAUGUGCAAUAAUGUAAUAUGACUAUUAAG
RNAcentral lists this long non-coding RNA (164324 nucleotides) under Triticum aestivum (bread wheat). Its description in RNAcentral is "long non-coding RNA (TAES_LNC014023)". The stretch from base 140908 to 140976 matches the Rfam family "tRNA". The record is from RNAcentral. Lineage: Eukaryota; Viridiplantae; Streptophyta; Magnoliopsida; Poales; Poaceae.